RNAcentral lists this long non-coding RNA (94486 nucleotides) under Sorghum bicolor (sorghum). RNAcentral's name for it is "long non-coding RNA (SBIC_LNC000666)". Lineage: Eukaryota; Viridiplantae; Streptophyta; Magnoliopsida; Poales; Poaceae. The record is from RNAcentral.
AUAUACAUAGAUAGAUUAUCUUUCCAUAAGGUUGAGCGAUCUGAUCUAACAAAUGUUAUAAGUGCUACACUCAUGAACUUAUCAUCCAUCAACUUGUCUUGCUCACUAUGCUUAAGGUUAGAGAAGAACAAAUACACUUUUGGUUCUGUUGGUGUUUUCCACCAAUAGGGCCCAUGCACUUGAUCUCUGCCUUGUCUCUAUGAGCAGGUACACUUUGAGCAAAACACGGAGGAGUUUUAUAACUCUCAGACUCUACCAAGUGAAGGAUCUGAAUCUACGAGCACAAACACACUGAGCAGGUUACUGCCAACGCCGCACUUCGAACUACUGGGCAAACGAAGAACAUGGGUGACACUGUAUUAAAAGGUGCAGACGUCAAGGUCCGCACCUGAAUCAAAUGACGCACCUGAAGAAUGAACACGAUGAGAAAUCUUGACAAGAAGACUUAAAACAUUGAACCCUCGCCGAAAGGUAAGAUUGGUAGUUAUCCAUAUUUAUCCUUUCUGCAUUCCCUUUUCCCUUUAAUUAUUUACUUUCCUUAAAUAGAUUUUUAGAUAAUCAUGCUAUCUUGAAAAGAAAAUAAAAAUGUUAAAAAAUACUAAGCCCCAUGUGAGUAUACGAGUGGCAUAAAACCCAUAAGUACCUUCACUGCGGUGGCAUAAAAAUAAAAUAAAUAUUUCUUUUCUACUUUAUAAAAUAAAAAAAACAGAGAGUAAUAUUUAUUGAGGAAGCUCAACGUGAUGAAGGCUAGAUAUUUAUGCUAACACUUAAUUAGUUCCACAAGCUUUGUUGUCUAUUUGAGCUCCACAGAAUUUAAGAAUCAAGAAGACUAGCAGACGGAGGACAUUCUAACCGCUGUCAGAAUGCUGCUGACUUUCAAAUACACCUCUGCCACCUGCUAGCUACAUCAAGAGAAAUUACGUCAAAAUUCAGCUUGGGGGAGAGCACCCCUAUUUAUCUCGCUAAGUAUUUCUACCUAUCUUUAUACUUAUAUUAUAUUAGAAUAUUAAAAUACAUAAACUAUGAAAAACCAAAUAAAGAUUUUGUGCUUAUAUAUAUAUCUUUUGCUUAGUGUGUUUAAUAAAUAAAUAAAGUGGCUAUGCUAAUCUGAAUCUUAAUAAUAAAACUCUAGCAUGGAUAUGAUGAAUAGUUGCUCUGCCUAAUUUGCAAAUUUGAAGUUCUCUCUCAAGUUUAGACAUAACUGUUAUAAUUUAAAGCUUGCUCUAGAUCUAAACUUGUGGGAUAAAAACUUGAUCUGAAAUCUAAGUUGUUAACGGAUAUGAUAUGGGAAUGUUGAGCUGCUGUUUAUCUAUUCCUAGAGAUGCUAGAAUUCUGGAGAAUUUUAUCUUUGAAAAUUUUUUAAAAUAUUGCAUGAUGAGUUCCUGUAUGAUGAAAGUUUUAAUUCCUACCACAGCCAUAUAUACAUGCUUGCUAGACUUCGAGCCACACAUUUAUUUACUGCUUAUGAGCAUUGAGUGUGGUCAAGCUGUGUAGACCCUUAGGAGCUUGUCAUGUGGUUAAAUCAAGAUUCACUUGCACGUUCACUCAUAUAUAUGCUACUUCUACUCCGAAAGUACCAUCCACAUAUAUCCAUCCAUUUCCAUCUCCAGAAUCACCUAAAAAUAUUCUACUCCUAAUUCGGGAGAGAAUAGCCAAAAACAUCUGUGUUUUUCCCUUGUGAAAUAAAUGCUCAAGUUAUCUUUCUACUACCACUUGCUAUAUUAUCUCAAGAGAUGAGUGCUCUGAAAAAAAAGAAGAAAAAAAGAAAAGAAAAAAAAUAAUAAACGAGGAAAUAAAAAGGGGCAAGUGCCCGAAACCUCGAAAGAAAAGAAAAGAGUGAGACAAGAGGUAAAAAUGGACAAGUGUCCGACAGUAGAAUUAGGGGUACAAGAUACCCACCUGAGAGGAAAAAAAAGAGCAUCUCAUUCUCCUCAUAAAGUUUCAAAAAGCAAGGAAGGUAUGUAUUCCCUCAUAAGAGCAAAAGUAGAAUUAGACUUUCACCAUUGUUAUCACCAUCAUCACUAUACACCAUUCAUUCGCCACACAUGCACAUCUUGAUUUGGCUUAUUGAUUUGUUUCUUUGGAUCCAUGGUUUGACUAUACAAUAAAUGUCUUGUAAGUAUGUAUACUUUAUCUCCCACCUAUGAGCUCCAGAUAUUAAAGCCUUAUUAGAGUAGGGUGAGAGAGAAGACAAUGUCACUAUCCCUUAUACCACAAAUACCACAUAUUUUGAGAGAAGGCAUAUACCAUCACUGCCUUGGUAAGGAUCCAGAAAUACCACAAAAGAGAGAUAUGAGAGAGUCAUACAAAGGAAUCUCUGAGUUUUAUUUGAAAAUCUGCAAAAACUCCAGAGCUAUAGCUGAUCAAGAAUAAGAGACAUGGCACUUGGCUAGACUGUUCUAUCUUUUAACUACUCAAGACAGAAGUGACAGUUACAAGUCCCAUGGUGAAAGGUAAAGUAAGUAAGUUUUAGUUCUUGACAGUUUACUCUAACUUAGAGAUGAGAUCUUAUUUAAAAGCAUGUGUACCGUUAAAUUUUUAAGAUAUUGCAACAACUUCUGAUCCAUUGCUGAGUCUAUCCUUGCUCAGGGACGAGCAAGAGGUAAGCUUGGGGGAGUUUGUUGACGGUCCUUAAGUAUCAAAUUUAACUAUCAAAUAAAUAAAGAAAAGGAUCCAAAUGAAAUCAACAUCAAGACUUAGGGUUUUAUCUGACAGAAUUCCACGAGUUUUGGUGUUUGUCUAUUUCUGCAGGGGGUUAUCAGGAAAUAUGGAAGAAAGGCCCACAUGUCGGGAUUACGUAAAGAUAUUAACGUGCUGCGCAAUUAUCUUACAUCUAGAAGACUCCAGAAGCCACGAGACCGAAGCGGAGGCAAAACGGGGCCAGAGACAGGGCGCCCGCCCUGUCCUACUGGGCGCCCGCCCACCUCCUGUGGCCAAUCACGCUCAAUCUCGCGGAUUAUGCUCCACCGACCUAAAUGAUCAAGAAUAACCGUUCAAUCAAUGUCGGUUUGAUCCGACGGCCCAGGUUCACUUGAGGGGACUAUAAAACCAGACCCCCUGGCCCCUGGAGGAGACACCCCUUGAUCAUUAUUCAUUAUUCAUAGACAGAGCAAAAGCUAGGGUUUAGAGAUGAGAGCUCUCCUCUCUUCUCUAAACUAGAGUAGAUCUAGAUAGUAGCGAGAUGGAGAGCGAAGGAGGAUUAGAGGAGAGGCCGGCCUGUCGGUUCUUCCUCCGGUUGUACUUCGCCAUGAUCAAGCUCUAAUCAAGCUUGCUCAUGGGAUGACUCUGGUAAUCUACUUCUAAUUCAUUAUGCAAUUACUAAUCAUGUAUGUUCUGGUUCACAACUCUUUUGAGUACUUCUAAUCUAUAGGACCCUAUAGGUUAGAGUUGUAGUAUAGGUGUAAGCGUGGUGCUUAGACCUAGAUUACUUGUGGAUAUCCCCUGACUAGCUGGAUCGUGUGGUAGGCCGCGUAGGUGACAGUUACGUUGGUCCCCUGUAGUCCACCUCUCGUUAGCAGGACGGGUAGGGUUUAUCGGCCUAUGGAUAAGCAUCCUUUGUGGUGUACUCUUAUCACGUGGUUCGUCCCAGACAUAGACAUACCACUUUGAAGUAGAGAAACCAUAGUUAUCCUCUCUAUUCUGCUACCAUCGCCCAUAUACUAGAAUUGCUCUAUUCUCUAUUCCCAUAUUAUCACUCACUGUUAUCUUACCUUUAAUAUUGUUCUUAUUCGAUUCUACCAUCUUUCCUAUUCACACCUAUUUACUUAUCUUGGUUAAGUUAGAACGUAGAUCAGUUCUCCCGCUUCCCUGUGGAUACGAUAAAACCUUUAACCGGGUAAAAGCUUCAACGGUAUCCGUGCGCUUGCGGAUUAUCUGUGUGCAUAUAAAUACCAUAGUACACUCUAGUGCCACGCUGGGGAUGACAACCUAGUAUUCAAGUGGUGUUAGCAAGUGUCAACACAUAUGUGAUGCACAUAUAAAUGCAACAUACAAGUUUAUGAGCUUGCUCCCCCUACUUGUGUGCUUCAAAAAUUUUAAUUGAUCCCCUUCUUUUAUCAUGUUACUCCCCUAUCUUAAAUCUUUGGGAAAUUUUCUCCCCCUUUGUCAUCAAUGACCACAAAAGGUGAGCUCAAAUUAUAGAUAGGUUAGUGUGAAACCAUGUGAAGUGAGAUUAUUUUCCCAAAUUGGUCCAAUCUAGAUUACUUGCCUAAGAUAUUUAACUCGGUUUGAUCCAAGGAUAAGCUUCUUCACACCUCCAAACAAGGGUUAUCUUGUGCCAUGUUGAGUUAAACACUUAUAGCUUAUAUUCUAGAUCAAACACUAGGAUUGCAAGCCCACAAACAUGUCAUAUGCUACCACUAGAUCAAGUCAAGCAUAGAAGCAAUAGUGGUACCAUAUAAGCGUCAAAUUCAUUUGAUUUUCAUGAAUGAUCCUAAGACAUGUAAGGAAUGACUAGAUGCACUACACAAGUCCUUAGCAUAGGAUGGAUGACAUGUCAAACAAUUUUACCUUGCUUUGUUUGAAGGUGAGGCAUGUCAUAUAGUGGGGGUGCAUCAACACAUAUUUGAGAAGUCAAGUAUGUUCAAUUCAUUCCUUAGCUUGCAAAACCUCUUCUCAUCAAGUGGCUUGGUGAAUAUAUCAGCAAGUUGAUCAUCGGUGCCUAUACUCUCAAUGCAAAUGUCCCCUUUUUGUUGGUGAUCUCUUAUGAAGUGAUGGCGGACAUCUAUGUGCUUUGUUCUUGAGUGUUGAACCGGAUUGUUGGUGAGCUUCACGGCACUUUCAUUGUCACAUAGCAAGGGCACUUGUUUGAAAUUGAUUCCAAAGUCCUUCAAUGUUGCCUUCAUCCAUAGGAUUUGUGCACAACAACUACCGGCCGCAAUGUACUCUGCUUCGGUGGUUGAUAGUGCAACACUAUUUUGCUUCUUGGAUGACCAUGAGACAAGUGAUCUUACCAAUAGUUGACAUGUGCCCGAUGUGCUUCUUCUUUCAACUUUGCAUCCCGCAUAGUCCAAAUCAGAAUAUCCAACAAGUUCAAACUUUGCACCUUUGGGAUACCACAAACCAACAUUUUGUGUAUGCUUCAAGUACCUGAAUAUUCUCUUUGUUGCUCUCAGAUGACUUUCUCUUGGUGAGGCUUGGAAUCUUGCACACAUGCAUACAAUAAACAUGACAUCCGGUCUUGAUGCGGUAACAUAGAGUAGGCUUCCAAUCAUAGACCGAUACAAUUUUUGAUCCACCAUAUUUCCACUUGUAUCACUAUCAAGGCUUCCAUUUGUUCCCGUUGGAGUGCUAAUUGACUUUGCAUCAUCCAUUCCAAACUUCUUGAGCAUGUCUUUUAUGUACUUGCCUUGACUCACAAAUGUGCCAUUCUUCAAUUGCUUGAUUUGAAGACCAAGGAAGUAACUAAGUUCUCCAAUCAUUGACAUCUCAAAUUCAUUAGCCAUCAUGUUGCCAAACUCCUCACAAAAUUCUUGGUUGGUUGAUCCAAAUAUGAUAUCAUCAACAUAGAUUUGCAACACAAACAAGUCCUUGCCAAUCUUCUUGGUGAAGAGAGUGGUGUCAACCUUCCCCAUCUUGAAACCUUUAGAGAGUAAGAAAUCUCUCAAUCUCUCAUACCAUGCUCUUGGUGCUUGCUUCAAACCAUACAAUGCCUUUCUUAGCUUGUAGAUAUGGUUGGGUUUCUUAUCAUCUUCAAAACUAGGAGGUUGCUCAACAUAAACUUCUUCAUUGAUAUAGCCAUUGAGAAAUGCACUCUUAACAUCCAUUUGGUAGAGCUUGAUGUUAUGAGCACAAGCAUAGGCUAGCAAGAUCCUAAUUGCUUCCAAUCUUGCAACCGGGGCAUAUGUUUCACCAAAGUCAAGACCUUCAACUUGAGUAUAGCCUUAUGCUACCAAUCUUGCUUUGUUUCUUACAACUAACCCAUCUUGAUCUUGUUUGUUGCGAAAGACCCAUCUAGUGCCAAUGACAUUAUGAUCACUAGGCCUCUCAACUAAUUCCCAUACUUGAUUUCUUUUGUAGUUGUUAAGCUCUUCAUGCAUAGCAUUAACCCAAUCAACAUCUCUCAAUGCUUCAUCAAUCUUCUUUGGCUCAAUGUGAGACACAAAGGAGAAAUACUCACAAAAUGAUGCUAGUCUUGAUCUAGUUUGCACUCCUCUUUGAAUGUCACCUAUGAUAGGAUCCAAUGGAUGAUCUCUUGCAAUGUUUGUCGGUUGGAGUAUUUGCACUUGAUUGCUUGCACUUGGUUGAUCAUGAGAUGAUGUACUAGCUUGUUGAUCUUGCACUUGUGUACCACUUGUACUAGCUUGAUUUUGAUCAUGAGAACCACUAGCUUGCACAUUAGAGGUAGGAAGCACUUGAUCUUUGUCAUCUUCAACAUCAAUCACCUCUCUAGGCCUUAAAUCACCAAUGUCCAUGUUCUUCAUUGCAUCGGCCAAUUGAGUGCCUCUUACAUCAUCUAGAUUCUCAUCUUCCUCUUGAGAGCCAUUGGUUUCAUCAAACUCAACAUCAUGCACCUCCUCAAGAGUACCACAAGCCAAAUUCCAAACUCUAUAAGCUUUGCUAGUAGUGGAGUAACCAAGCAAGAAACCUUCAUCACAUUUCUUCUCAAAUUUACUCAAUCUAGUGCCUUUCUUCAAUAUGUAGCAUUUGCAAUCAAAAACCCGAAAGUAUGCAAUAUUGGGCUUUCUACCAUUCAAGAGCUCAUAUGGUGUCUUCUCCAUCAUUGGGUGACAAUAGAGUCGGUUGCUAUAGUAGCAAGCCGUGUUGAUUGCUUCAGCCCAAAAAGAAUGACUCAUAUUGUAUUCACUCAACAUUGAUCUUGCCAUGUCAAUUAAGGUUCUAUUCUUCCUCUGAACAAGACCAUUUGAUUGUGGAGUAUACUUGGCCGAGAAUUGAUGCCUAAUGCCAAAUUCAUCACAAAGCUCAUCAACUCUUGUGUUCUUGAAUUCACUUCCAUUGUCACUUCUCACUUUCUUGAUGGUUGUUUCAAACUCAUUGUGUAUUCUCUUGACAAAUGUUUUGAAGGUUGCAAAAGUAUCACUCUUGUCACUAAGAAAGAAUACCCAUGUGUAUCUUGUGAAAUCAUCCACUAUCACAAAUCCAUAUUUGUUUCCACCAAUGCUUGUGUAUGUGGUGGGUCCAAAUAAGUCUAUGUGCAACAACUCAAAUGCCUUGCAUGUACGUACUCAUGAUACUCUUCUUUGGAUGAGUGUUGCCAACUUGUUUUCCGGCUUGACAUGCACUACAAAGCUUUUCUUUCUCAAAUGUGACAUCUUUCAAGCCUCUAACAAGAUCAUGCUUGACUAACUUGUUUAAUUGUUUCAUUCUAACAUGACCAAGCCUUCUAUGCCAUAACCAACCCAUGCUAGAUUUAGUGAGCAAACAUGUUGAUAAUUGAGCUUCACUAGCAUUGAAAUCAACCAAGUAUAGAUUCUCAUAUCUAAAGCCUUUGAAUAUCAAGCUAGAGCCAUCUACACUUAUGAUUUCUACAUCAUCAACUCCAAAUAUGCAUUUGAAACCAAGAUCACAAAGUUGAGCUACGGAUAGCAAAUUGAAGUUCAAGCUCUCUACUAGUAGCACAUUGGAAAUGCUCAAGUCAUUGGAUAUAGCAAUUUUACCAAGCCCUUUGACCUUGCCUUUGCCAUUGUCACCAAAUGUGAUACUAUGAACACCAUUGUCAUCAUUUGGAUUGAUUGAAUUGAACAUUCUUGAAUCACCGGUCAAGUGUUGUGUGCACCCACUAUCAAGCACCCAAUGCCUUCCUCCAGCUUUAUAGUUUACCUACAAAACAAAUCAAUAUUUCUUAGGUACCCAUACUUGUUGGGUCCUUGGAGGUUAGUGACUAAGCUUUUUGGUACCCAAAUGGCCUUCUUCUUUGGACCCACAAUUGGUGUACCAACAAACUUAGCAUGCACAUCCUUGACCACUAUGGCUUGUUCUAUGCUCUCUGUAAGGAUCCUUGGUAAGCCUAGAGGGGGGGUGAAUAGGCGUAUCUACUAAUUUUCUACACAACUCAAAGUCACUUGUCAGCAACUGUCGGAAGUUAUGACAGUUCAGGUCGGAACUUCCGACGCAAAGUGUUAGAAGUUCCAACGCAAACUGUCAGAAGUUCCGACGCAAACCGUCAGAAGUUCCGACGCCUACAGGAAAUGAACUACAAGUGCCUAAAUAAACUUUGUGAAGGCAAUAACUUACAACCCACUUUCUAGUGGUAAGAUGAAGUAAUCCAAGUGCUUCCUUGACCUUGAACCGCCACCAAUUUGUAGAUCGGGACCAAAACCUAAGAAAUGGAUUGAGAGAGAAAGAGACAACAAAGAACAAGUAAUCUCAAGUAAUCACAACAACAAUAAGCACACGGGACACAAAGAUUUAUCCCCAGGUUCGGCUCGCCACUAAGGCUUGCGUACGUCCUCGUUGUUGAGGUGACCACUAAGGUCGGAGUCUCUUUCACCUCCUUGCCUCUCUCAAGCAACCACAAAGGUAAACUUGAGUUCUUCACUAGAAAAUCAAGGGUAAUACAAACUUUCCAAGGUCCUCCCAAAGAUCGGGAGCUCUUGGGCGACGCCUAGCCGGCUAGGGUUCCAAGAACCCAAGAGUAAUAGACGCAAAUCCAAUCUGCUUGACGAAGAACUCAAGUGCUCAAGCUUGUCAGAUGAUUUUCUCACUCAAUCUACUCUCCUAUCACUCAAAUCCUUGGGGAAUCGAAGUUUAGAGCAAAGGGGAGAGGAGAGGAGAGCCUUGAGAGCUUGAGAGCUAUUGGGUUCGUGAGUGAGUUGCUUAGAAUGAGUCCGUAACGGUUAGAAACGUUGAGAAAGCUAUUUAUACAAGAAGCUAAAAACUAACCGUUCAGAUCUAUGUCGGAAGCUCCGACGCGGAUCUCGGGACUUCCGACAUAUACUAAAAACACUGUUCACUUGGUCAGAAGUCUAUACAAAACUAGUCAACGUCAUCAGUUCCGACGCACGUCAUCAGUUCCGACGCGUCAUCAGUUCUGACACAUGUCAUCACUUCCGACACGUCAUCAGUUCCGACGUACGUCGGGACUUCCGACGCAAGGGCGAGCAGAGGUAGCAAGAGGGCCAGGUGUCGGGACUUCCGACGAACGUCAUCAGUUCUGACAUGCGUCAUCAGUUCCGACGCGCGUCGGGACUUCCGACGCAAUCGCGAGCAGAGGUAGCAAGAGGGCCAGGUGUCGGAACUUCCGAUGAACGUCAUCAGUUCCGAUAUGCGUCAUCAGUUCCGACGCACGUCGGGACUUCCGACGCAAGCGCGAGCAGAGGUUGCAAGAGGGCCAGGUGUCGGGACUUCCGACGAACGUCAUGAGUUCCGACAUGCGUCAUCAGUUCUGACGCACGUCGGGACUUCCGACACCACAAGUCUUAAAAAACUAUUCUACGUGCUCGUGAAGUGCUAGAGUGUCUCUCUUUCGAUUUAGUUUUAAUACUUGAGCACUCUAUCUUCCUCAGACCAACUAAAUUUGCAUCCCUCUUUAUAGUGCGGCAUAGCCUAAACUCAAGAUUAAAUAUUAAAUAAUUAAAAUGCCUUUGAGUCCAUCACCACAUCAUUUGGUAAUUGGGCUUUUGCCAUCUCACAUAUCAUGUGUUACCCUCAUUCUUAUUUUACCUGCUUGCCAUCUCAACAAAUCUCAUUAGUCCUCUAAUUGUGUGGUCAUUAUCACUAAAACCCACAACUAGGGCUUGAUUGCACUUACAAUCUCCCCCUUUUUGGUGAUUGAUGACAACACAACUAGAGCUUACAAAAAUAUUUAAAGUAUAACUGAGAUUUCAAAGUCAUGGGUGUAGAGACUCCCCCUAAAUAUGUGAAUGUAGAAUUGAAUUCUCAAACUGGCAUAAGAGGCCAAAAUUCACAUAUAGAGUUAAGUGAUGGGGCUUCCUCUACAUCCAUGCUUCUGUGGGGUGCUGCACAUAGUGUCACAGGAAUAUACGUGAUGCGUAUGACAAGUAUGCACACAAUCAUUCAAGGCAAGGAAAAAAAAUUGUACCCCCCUCUCAUUCUCCCCCUUUGGCAACAAGCACCAAAAAGUGAGAAAAGAAGAAAGAGGGAUACAACACACUUAACAUAUUAUGGUCAGCAACAGAUGAACAAGAACAAGUAAUGACCAUAAAAUGCAAGUUCUCUUUUGAUAAAGCAUUUUGAAGCGUAAUAAGAACCUUUUUGCAAACCUUUUGCCUAGAUACUAGUUGAUCAAUCAAAGGUGUGCUAAAUUUCAAACCACCUUACGGGAAUCAAGUAUAUUUAGCUCACUACGCAAAGCACAAAACCUUGUCUCGUCAAGAGGCUUAGUGAAGAUAUCGGCUAGUUGCUUUUCGGUGCUCACAUGGCGAAUUUCGAUAUCUCUUUUGGCUUCGUGGUCUCUCAAGAAGUGAUGUCGGACGUCUAUGUGCUUAGUUCUUGAAUGGCUUACGGGAUUGUUUGCAAGCUUUAUGGCACUUUCAUUGUCACACAAUAAUGGGAUUUUGGUAAAACGACAUCCGAAAUCACGAAGGGUUUGCCUCAUCCAAAGUAGUUGAGCACAACAUGCACCGGCUGCAACAUACUCGGCCUCGGCGGUGGAAAGGGCUACACAUUUUUGCUUUUUAGAACUCCAAGACACUAGGGACCGUCCAAGGAAUAGACAUGUCCCCAAAGUGCUUUUUCGAUCCACUGCAACCGGCGUAAUCGGAGUCCGAAUACCCAAGUAGAUCAAACUUAGAGCCCUUAGGAUACCACAAGCCAAGGUUAGGACUGUGUACUAAAUAUCUCAAGAUUCUCUUAACAGCCACUAAGUGGCACUCUUUUGGGUUAGCUUGAAAUCUAGCACACAUGCACACACUAAGCAUAAUAUCAGGCCUAGAUGCACACAAAUAGAGUAGAGAGCCGAUCAUGGAGCGAUAUACCUUUUGGUCGAUGGCUUUCCCUUCCUCAUUAAGAUCAAGAUGUCCAUUGGUUGGCAUGGGAGUUUUUAUGGGCUUUGCAUUCGCCAUGUCAAACUUCUUUAGCAUAUCAUGGGUGUACUUAGUUUGGCUAAUGAAAGUUCCAUCCUUUAAUUGCUUGAUUUGAAAACCAAGAAAGAACUUCAAUUCACCCAUCAUAGACAUCUCAAAUCUCUUGGUCAUGAUCCUACUAAAUUCCUCACAAAAUUCUUGGUUAGUACUACCAAAUAUUAUGUCAUCGACAUAUAUUUGGCACACAAAUAUAUCUUUAUUGACUUUGCGAGUGAAAAGGGUAGGAUCAGCUUUGCCUAUUUCAAAGCCUUGUUUGAGCAAGAAUUCCUUAAGGCAUUCAUACCAUGCUCUUGGUGCUUGCUUAAGCCCAUAGAGCGCCUUUUGGAGUUUGUAGACGUGGUUGGGGAACUUGGGAUCUUCAAAACCCGGUGGUUGCUCAACAUAGACAAGCUCUUGGAUAGGGCCAUUGAGGAAUGCACUUUUGACAUCCAUUUGAUAUAGCUUGAAGUCAUGAUGGGCAGCAAAGGCUAAAAGCAUUCGGAUUGCCUCAAGCCUUGCCACUGGUGCAUAUGUUUCUUUAAAGUCCAAGCCCUCUACUUGAGUGUAGCCUUGAGCAACCAAUCUUGCUUUGUUCCUAGUCACCACUCCAUUUUCAUCCUGCUUGUUUCGGAAGACCCACUUGGUGCCAAUCACAUUCGUCUUGGGUCUUUCCACCAAUGUCCAAACUUGAUUUCUUUCAAAGUUAUUCAUCUCUUCUUGCAUGGCCAUCACCCAAUCCUCAUCUUCAAGAGCCUUUUCAACCUUAACUGGUUCCACAGGAGAAACAAAAGAGUAAUAUUGACAAAAUUUGCUAAAUGAGAACGUGUCAAUACCCCCUUUCGAAGACUCCCAAGGAUGUUGUCGACGGGGUGAUCUCGUUGAAUGAUUUGCUUGAGUCUUGGAUGCUCGAUGGCCUCUUGAUUACUUUCUAGAUCUUCAACUUCUUCUUCUUCUUCUUCUUCUUCUUCAAAUAUGGGUUGUAGGUUUUGUCCUCGAAUUUGAGUUGGACUUGCUGCUGUUGUUGAAGGGGGUGUGGCAUUACCACUCUUAGGUGUGGCACAACUGCUCUGUUGUGCUGCAGCAGGGGUUUGCGGAAACUUGUUCACCAGCAGCUUGGGAAACCACCACAUCAGUGACUUCAUCUUCUCGUGGCCUAAUAUCACCAAUAGCCAAUUGUUUGAUUGCAUCACAAGGUGGAUCCUCCUUUCCUACAACACUUGAAUCAACUUGCUCUACUUGAGAGCCAUUAGAUUCAUCAAAUGUCACAUCUACCGCUAUUUCAACUCUCCUAGAGGUUUUGUUGAAAACACGAUAGGCAUGCUCAUUUGAUCCAUAACCAGGAAGAAAACCUUCAUCAACUUUAGGUGCAAACUUAGAUGUUUUGGGUUUCUUGUUAAGUAUGAAACACUUACACCCAAACACUCUAAAGUAAGACACCUUUGGUUUGUUACCGGUUAGAAGCUCAUAUGAAGUUUUCUUCAAUUUCUUGUGUAGGUAGAGGCGAUUGAUGGCAUGGCAAGCGGUGUUGACAGCGUCACACCAAAACAAAUCUGAAGUCUUGUACUCAUCUAGCAUUGUCCUUGCCAUAUCAAUGAGUGUUCGGUUCUUCCUCUCUACUACACGAUUUUGUUGAGGGGUGUAUGGACUUGAGAACUCAUGCUUGAUGCCCUCUUCAUCAAGGAACUCCUCAACUUGAGUGUUCUUGAAUUCGGUCCCAUUAUCACUUCUCAUCUUCUUGAUGGGGAGACCAAACUCCUUUUGAGCUCUUCUAACAAAUGUCUUCACUUUGUCCCUAACUUGACACUUAUCAAACAAGAAAAAUACCCAAGUGAAACGGGAAUAGUCAUCAACAAUAACAAGACCAUAUUUGUUACCCCCGAUACUUAGGUAGGCGACCGGUCCAAAGAGAUCCAUGUGGAUGAGCUCCAAUGGUUGUGUGGUGGUCAUGAUGCUCUUUGGUGGGUGAGGUACGCCAACUUGCUUUCCGGCUUGACAAGCUCUACAUAUCCUAUCUUUCUCAAAGUGAACAUUUGUUAGUCCAAGAAUGUGUUCAUCCUUUUGAAGUUUGGCCAAGUUCCUCAUCCCAACAUGGGCUAGUCGGCGAUGCCAAAGCCAACCCAUGCUAGAUUUUACCACUAAACAGGUCUCAAGAUUAGCUUUACUUUUAUUGAAAUCAACUAGGUAAAGCUUAUUCUUUAAACGACCCGUAAAGACAAUAGAGGAAUCCUCCCUUCUAAAGACUUCCACACCCUUAUCCGUAAAGAGACAAUUGUAACCCAUCUCACACAAUUGAGAAACGGAUAACAAAUUGUAGCUCAACGAAUCAACAUGCAAAACAUUUGUAAUUGAAUGCUCAAAGGUUAUAGCAACUUUACCGAGACCAAGCACAUCCCCUUUAGAAUUGUCUCCAAAGACAAUGUUCUCAUUUGAGUCCACCUUUGGGGUAUAUGAUUGGAACAUACUCCUUUCUCCGGUCAUAUGAUUUGUACAUCCACUAUCAAGCACCCAACUUGAUCCACCGGAGGAGUAUGCCUGCAAAACAAGUUUAGUUGCUAGAUUUAGGUCCCCAAAUAGACUUGAGGCCUUGCAUGUUAGUCACAAGUAUCUUAGAAACCCAAAUGGAAGUAUUCUUGUAGACAUUGGUCUCCUUGCCAACAUACUUAGCAACAACUUCACCACGGUUGUUACUUUUCAACACAAAGCAUGAUGACAAGCUUUGUCGAGGUGCAUGGACCUUUGGUUGAUAAGCAUACUUGUUUGGAGUUCCCCAUAUUAAUUCCUUUGGCUUCUGGGAAAUCUUCUUUUCCUUGUAUGUCACUUUCUUUUCGGGCUUAGUUUGAUUAGGAACAAAAUUGGUAGCCUUCCCAUUUUUGCGGGGCGUGACAUUACCGCCCUUCAUCAUGGUAUUGCCACUAUGUGGCACUACCGCUCGGGGACGUUGUACUGUCACAAUCUGUGCAGGCCGCUCUACACCAAUUUUGCCCUUGCUUUCAAACUUGACACACUCAUAGCCAUUGAUUAUCUUUCUUCCAUUUGUCUUGGCUCCUAUUGUGUGUCCAAGCCCAUACUUGAUUGAGGGAUGUCUCCCUUGCUUGAAUUGAGGCCCUUUUGGAUCAUUUUCCCUUUUAUCACUCACGUGAGCCUUACCACCCAAGCAAUUCUUACUAAUGAUCUCAUUGAGCCUUUCAAUCUCCUUUCUCAUAGUCUCUAAGUUAACAAGGUUAGUAGAAUGAGCAUUCAAAUCAAGAUUAUAACAUUUUCCACAACCUUGACUAGUGGAGAGAGUAGAGCCAUCCUUUGUCUUAGAGGGAUGUGAGUCGCUAUCCCAAAGAAUGCUAUAUUGUUCCUCAAGUUGCUUGUACUUUCCAUCUAAGUCACAAUACUUUUGCUUGAGGGCAAUAUUUGCUUUCUUUGUGAUAGCAUGGUCCCCUUGCUCUUUGGCCAAAGCCUUGCGCAAGGAUUCCACCUCACUUCUCUCUAAAACAAGAGCUUCCUUGCUAGCAAUAUAAAGGUUCUCUUGUUUGAUAAGAGUCUCUUCACUAGAUUCUAACUCAGCUUGAACACUCUCUAAAUCCUCCAUUAGCUUAGUGAUGAACAAUUUGGUCUUGCUAUCCAAAUUUUUAGUUAUGAUAUCAAUUUCUUCAUCACUAGACACAUCAUCACUAGAGUAAUCACUUAUAUCACUACUAGAUGUCUCACUAGGGGGAGAAGGAUUGGAUUUGGAUUUUACCUUCUCACCCUUUGCCAUAAGACAAAUGUGAGGGGAGUAGUAGUCAUCAUCAAACAUGUUGUUGAAGAGCCUUGGUGUGGAGGAUGGCUCGUGAAUAGCCACAGUUGCAAUCUUCUCAUCCUCCUCACUUGAGCUAUCUUUUGUUGAGUCCCAUUCAUGUCCAAUGUGAGCUUCUCCCAUGUGUCUUUUGCUCUUUUUGUAGUCGGUCUUGCUCUCUUUCUUGUCUCUCUUGUAAUUGUUGUCUUCGAUUUCAUGAGGACAAUGAGCAAUGAGAUGUUCAGUGCUUCCACAAUUGUAGCAUAGCCUCUUCUUCUUGUUUGGGAACUUUCUCUUCACUACCUUGUAGCCUUGCUUUUUGAGUCCCUUUUGAUAUCUUCUCAAAAAAAGAGCAAUAUCUUGCACUUUCUCAUAUUGUUCACUAUCAUUUUUAUCUUCACUUGAUGAUGAUGUUGUCUCUACUUCUUUGACUUGCUUUGGUGCUUUGGUCUUGCUAGUUGAUGCUUGCUUGUUGGACAUGGACUUGCUUGUAGAGGGUCGUUUGGUUGACUUGUUGGCUUUGAGAGCUACAUCAUCAUUGAUCUUGAUGCCUUCUAGCUUUGCUUGCAGCUCACCAAGCUUCUUUCUUUCAUUGGCUUCUUCUCUUUGCAUAUCAAAUGUCAAAAUCCUCCCAAGUACAUCAUUUGGUGUGAAGUACUCAAACUUCUUCUUAUCUCUAAUUAGAGUUACUACGGUCUCAUUUCUUGGUGAAUAAGCUUCCAACAUAAUCUUGACAACUUUAUGAUCAUCUAACUCAUCACAACCAUAGCCUCUAAUCUUGCCCACCAAGGACAUCAACCUAUCAAACAUCUCUUGUGGCCCUUCUCCAUCCAAGAUAACAAACCGGUUGAGCUUGGCCAUCAUCAAAUCAAUUCUUGCCUUCCUUACUUUGUCAACUCCUUCAUGUGCAAGGUGCAAAGUAUCCCAUAUUUGCUUGGCAAUGUCAACACCAAUCACUCUAUUGUACUCAUCACCAUCCAAAGCACUAAGCAACACACUUGUGGCUUGACCAUUGAGGUGAAUGAUUCUCAUCUCUUCUAAUGUUGGGUUCUUGGGAUCAACUGGUAACUCAAACCCAUUGCAAACAACCUCCCAAAUGCCGAGGUGGAGACCUAUAAGAUAAGCUCUCAUCAAGUGCUUCCACUUGGCAAAGUUAGUCCCAUCAAAAUGAGGUAACUUCCCUGCAGGCACAUUAAUAAAGACUUGCGAUCAUGGUUAGUCAUAGACAAAGAAGAAUAGUUAAAGGAUACUGCGGCAUAUUUGUUAUUGUCGUUCUUCUUGCCCUUUCCUUUCUUGUCCUUCUUGCUAUGCACUUGAUAGGACUCAUCAUCAUCACCAUCUUCGGAGCUGCUAGAAAGCUCACUAGAAGAUGUGUUGGGAGCUUUGGCUUCUUCUUUCUUCUUCCUAGCUUCCCUUCUCUUUCUUCUUUCUUCUCUCUUGAGCCUUCUAGCUUCUUUUCUUGCUUUCUUCUCAUCUAAUCGUUGUCGCUCUUUCUUCUUUUCUCUUGCUUCUCUUUUCAGCUUUCUUGCUUCUUUCCUCUUUCUCUUCUCUUCUUCAUCGAGAACCCUUUCACCAUCGGUAGGCUCGAGAUGAGGAAGUGUGGUUUUGCUUGUUGUCGAUACACUGAGUUGGAUGCUAUCAGUGUCAGUGUCAUGCAAGCCCAUUUCCUCGGGACGGACUUCCGUAGACUUUGCACCGCUCGAUCCUCCUCCGGGCUCCAUACCUCACGCGGUGAAGCGCACACGAGGUAACCGGCUUUGAUACCACUUGUAAGGAUCCUUGGUAAGCCUAGAGGGGGGGUGGAUAGGCGUAUCUACUAAUUUUCUACACAACUCAAAGUCACUUGUCAGCAACUGUCGGAAGUUAUGACAGUUUAGGUCGGAACUUCCGACACAAAGUGUCAGAAGUUCCAACGCAAACUAUCAGAAGUUCCGACGCAAACCGUCAGAAGUUCCGACGCCUACGGGAAAUGAACUACAAGUGCCUAAAUAAACUUUGUGAAGGCAAUAACUUACAACCCCACUUUCUAGUGGUAAGAUGAAGUAAUCCAAGUGCUUCCUUGACCUUAAACCGCCACCAAUUUGUAGAUCGGGACCAAAACCUAAGAAAUGGCUUGAGAGAGAAAGAGACAACAAAGAACAAGUAAUCUCAAGUAAUCACAACAACAAUAAGCACACGGGACACAAAGAUUUAUCCCGAGGUUCGGCUCGCCACUAAGGCAUGCGUACGUCCUCGUUGUUGAGGUGACCACUAAGGUCGGAGUCUCUUUCACCUCCUUGCCUCUCUCAAGCAACCACAAAGGUAAACUUGAGUUCUUCACUAGAAAAUCAAGGGUAAUACAAACUUCCCAAGGUCCUCCCACAGAUCGGGAGCUCUUGGGCGACGCCUAGCCGGCUAGGGUUCCAAGAACCCAAGAGUAAUAGACGCAAAUCCAACCGGCUUGACGAAGAACUCAAGUGCUCAAGCUUGCUAGAUGAUUUUCUCACUCAAUCUACUCUCCUGUCACUCAAAUCCUUAGGGAAUCGAAGUUUAGAGCAAAGGGGAGAGGAGAGGAGAGCCUUGAGAGCUUGAGAGCUGUUGGGGUCGUGAGUGAGUUGCUUAGAAUGAGUCCGUAACGGUUAGAAACGUUGAGAAAGCUAUUUAUACAAGAAGCUGAAAACUAACCGUUCAGAUCUACGUCGGAAGUUCUGACGUGGAUCUCGGGACUUCCGACAUAUACUAAAAACACUGUUCACUUGGUCAGAAGUCUAUACAAAACCAGUCAACGUCAUCAGUUCCGACGCGUCAUCAGUUCUGACACAUGUCAUCACUUCCGACACGUCAUCAGUUUCGACGUACGUCGGGACUUCCGACGCAAGCGCGAGCAGAGGUAGCAAGAGGGCCAGGUGUCGGGACUUCCGACGAACGUCAUCAGUUCCGACAUGCGUCAUCAGUUCCGACAUGCGUCAUCAGUUCCGACGCGCGUCGAGAUUUCCGACGCAAGCGCGAGCAGAGGUAGCAAGAGGGCCAGGUGUCGGGACUUCCGAUGAACAUCAUAAGUUCCGACGCACGUCGAGACUUCUGACGCAAGCGCGAGCAGAGGUUGCAAGAGGGCCAGGUGUCGGGACUUCCGACGAACGUCAUCAGUUCCGACAUGCGUCAUUGUUGAUAUUUGGGAACGCAAUAAGGAAUUGAUCCGCAAGCGCACGGAUAUCGGUGAGAACUUCACCCGGGAAAUUAUCCAGAGUAUCGUAUUUAUUUUUUUACCACUAAGAGAAAGAGUGCAUCUGACUAACCGGUCUAUUACUACUAACCUUUAGGCACAAAGAAUGUCUUUCGAUGUGAGUGAUAAAUAGAGAAGACUGCAACCGUAGUCUCCUUCUAACCUUGGUAAGGAUGAUUUACUGUUCUAAUGGGGAGGCUAACGGAAUCUAGACAACACAAAGGAUGUUCGACCUGCACCUAUAAACCCUAUCCUUCCUGCUAACGAGAUGUGAUCUACAAAGGUAGCUCAGAAUUGUCACGUUCCUCACUACUACUACUACGGUCCAGCUAGUCAGGGAAUAUCUAUGAGUACCCCAGCCUAAACACCACGUUUACGCCAGCAAUGAUUACUCUAAACUCUACGCGAAGAGAUUAAAGUAAACUCAUAAACCAUAAGAACAAUAAAACAAGAACUUACUAGAAUUUAGAAGUCGAAUUACUGAAGAAUCCUAGGAGCAAGCUUCGGGUUAGGAGAACUUGAUCCCGCAGGUACAAGCUUGGAGUGGACACCGACAGGCCGGGCUUCCUCCACUCUUCACCUCCACUCUAUCUCUCUCAAUCUAGUAGAAACUAGAAGAUCUAUUUCUACCUUACAUUGGUUGCUAAGCCUAAAAAGAAAUAUUAAUUAGAGAAGAGGUUUUCCUUCGAGGGCACCCCUUAGUCUCUAUGAUAAUUUCUUCAUGUCUUCUCCAGGGGCCAGGGGGGCCUUGCUUAUAUAGUCCUCCCCUUCUAUGCGUUUUUGGGUCGAUAGGCGAGGUGGUACUAUGUUUUUCUUGAUCCAAUAGGUCGGUGGAAUAUCCCGAACGAAGAGAGUCCCGAAAGCAAUCCAGAGGGGGGCGGGCGCCCAGGCCUCCAGGGCGGGCGCCCUGGGCCUGGCCCCGUUUCGCCUCCGCUUCGGUCCCGUGGCUUCUGGAGUCUUCUAGAUGAUGUAAAAUCGCGCGGUGCGUUGAUAUCUCUAUGUAAUCCCGACAUGUGGGCCUUUCUUCCUUAUUUCCUGAUAACCCCCUGCAGAAACAGAUAAACAACAAAACUCGUGGAAUUCUGUCAGAUCAAACCCUAAUUCUAGGUGUUGGUUGCAUAUUGGUCCUUUCUCUUGUUUAUUUGAUAAUUAAAAUUGAUACUUAAGAACCGUCAACAAAUACCCCCAUACUUAGGCUUUUACUCGUCCUCGAGAAAAGGAUGGUUAAGAAUAAUAUCUGGGGUAAACAUUUUAAAGCAUUCUCUAUAUAAUUGCAGGGUGUCAAAAAUCCACUGUGUACCAUAGUCAAGGAUGUUUAUGGUCAAGAGUAAAGAUCCUUUCUUCUCAAUCCUGCCACUUGGAGUUUUUGUAUAUUUUUGAAAGAAAGUUAGCAUACCUUUUUAUCCUCAUAGGUUCUCUCAGAUCACUCAUUAGCUUUUACAUAUAUCUCACUGAGGCUGUUUUAUUUUGCAAAAAUUCUCAAGCAUUCUUACUUUGCAUUUAUUGCCUGAUCAAAACGGGAUCCGAGGAGGGGAAUGUCAUACUCUUAGAUCAAAGACUUUGGAAAUUAAAAUCUUUGUCAACUCUUGCUGGCAUAUUGCUUAUUAGAGGGACCAUGGGCUAUCAUUUUUUUCUCUCUUUUCUCUCUUUUUUUUAAGUGGAUACUGAGGUACCCCUAAUUCUACUGCCGGACACUUGUCCAUUUUUUCUGCGAGGUUAUCGAGCACUUGCUCCUUUUUAUUUCCUCGAAAUAUUUCUAUUUUUGCAUAGCCCAUGCCUCUAAUGCAAUAAUACUUCGGAAGAGUGAAUCUUACUGAAAUAAUGUCUUGAUCUUAGGAGCAUGAUAAAUCUCUCAACAAGGGUCUAACUCAUUUUGAACAAACUCAAUACAGAGCAGAUAGCUUUUAUAAUCAUAAUUAAUAUUUUUAGUUUUAUCAGGCAUAUAAAACACUGAGGAUGGUAGCUAGAAAUUUGAAUAUUUUGAAAUAAAUUCUCCAAGCAACAAUGAUAUCAAGAAUAAUAAACUCAUACUCUACCAUCACAUAUUCCAUAUUGACUUAAGUAACACAGGGUUUUAAAAUGAUUUUGCAAGUUUUCAGGAAAUAUCACAAAUUGAGAUUAAUCAUGAUUAGAAAUAUUUUAAUCUUUUUAUUUUAUCAUGUCGGAAACAAUAAUCUGCAUAAUCCAAAAUAUAUGUAUGUGUAAAGUAAAAUGUGCAGAGUGUGUACCUGAAUCGUGGAGUGGUGUAGUCGGAGUGUGUUUAGCAUGUCGAGGGAUCUCCCCCAUACUUGUUUUCUGCUUUCUUGCACAAAAAUAAAGUAGAGACACACAAGACAUAAUAAUAAUACUCUUUAUUAAUCUUGAGGCAUUUAGUACAAAAGACUGAUAGCAAACUGAUAGUAAUAGUAAACCUAAACCGAAUUUAAAGAUAGAUGACUAAGAUGCAUUGCCUCAAGGUAUAAUCUAGAUAACUUAGCGGCGCUCUAAUUCCUUGAUCUUCUUGUUGGCACUGGCAAGAUCCUGCCUAAGGCCUAGUAUAAUGAUGUUGUGGUUAGAGAGCUGCCUAGUGAGGGAAUUAAUCGAGGACUGGAGGUCUAUGAUAACUCUAUCUAGCCUGCGAACUUCCUCAUCAAUAUCCAUUAUAGUUUUGCGACGCUUGGGAGGUGUCUCAAAAGCAUUGAGAGAGUGCUUCGGGGCUGCCUUUGGAGGGAUGAAACGGACUUUGGCUGCUCUAAUCCCUUCAAAGUAAGGCCUUUCCUCCUCCGUAGUGUAGCGAAUACUGCUGAUCUCGCCGCUUCGGUUGGUCUUGACUCCAACGACCCUCUCAUUGGGUCUAGGUGGAAGGAUCCUUGUGCCGAUUGGCACCUUGAUAGUGGUCUUCGUCUUGGAUGAUGAUCCUUUGAGGAGUAGGGGUUGUGGUGGUGCGGUGAGAACUGGUUGAGCAUGGUAAGAUUGGGCGGAGUUACGUUGGCGUAAUGGCAUGGCUCCUAGCUGUCUUUCUGUGUGGCCGGGACGAGAGCACGGGCAUCGGAGUCUUCCACAGGCUCCAUGUUGAGGUUGAAGGGGACGACUUCCCAAUCAUCGUGGUACUUCUCGGCCAUUGGAACAGCAAGGAACUAAUAAAACUUUAAUUGAAGUAGAGCUAAUCAAGCUCUAAUUGAAGGAGAGCUAAUCAAGCUCUAGUUGAAGGAGAGAAAGCUUGGUGGCUUGGUGUUUGAAAACUGAGGUCAGGGGUCUGUUUAUAUAGGGGUCAAAAGGGUGCCUCUAUGGGUUGUUCGGGUUGCUCCCGUCGAUGUGCGUGCAAAACUUUCCAUCUGAGGGAUUAUUCGGAUCACCCUAAGUGCAUUUUCCAUAACAGAGAAAGUCGGGACCGAGGGGGAACAGGGGCUGGGCGCCCGCCCACCUGAGCUGGGCGCCUGCCCUCUCUCUGGCCCCUCUGUGGGCCCACUUCUCCGAGCGCGUUUCUAGAUGCAAAAUUAUUUAGAAAAAUAUAUAUAUCACCCAAAACCAUCAGACCAAAAGUGUCGGGCUCUAAUUCUCCAUGGGAAGGUAAAAAUGGACUACGUCUAUUUCUUCAAAUUCUUCAUUGGGCUCUAAAAAUAAUUUAAGACGUUGACCAUUUACCUUGAAUAACGUACCUUCGCUAUUUUGAAGUGUGAUAGCUCCGUGGGAUGAUGAAUUGAUUACCUUGAAUGGCCCUUCCCAUUUGCUCCGGAGUUUUCCAUGCCCGAAAAGCUUCACCCUGGAAUUAAAAAGUAAUACCUUAUCUCCGGGUGUGAACUCCUUCUUCUUGAUUCUCUUGUCAUGCCACCUCUUGACUCUUUCUUUGUAGAUCUUUGAAUUGUGAUAUGCCUUCUCUCGCCAUUCUUCCAAUUCUGAUAGUUGCAUUCUUCUAUAAUCUCCAGCAACAUCUAGGUCCAUAUUCCAUCUCUUUAUGGCCCAGUGUGCUUUGAACUCUAGUUCAACGGGUAGAUGGCAAGUCUUCCCGUACACCAAUUGGUAUGGAGACAUUCCAAUUGGGGUCUUGUAUGCUGUCCGGUAUGCCCAGAGUGCAUCGGGUAACUUGUCUUUCCAUGCCGUUCCCAUUUCAUUUACUGUCUUCUGAAGAAUAUUCUUGAUUUGUUUGUUGGAAGUCUCUGCUUGGCCACUUGUCUGAGGAUGAUAGGGGGUAGCGACAUUGUGACGGAUUCCAUGUCUUGAUAGAUAUUGCUUGAAGCGUUUGUCGAUGAAGUGUGCUCCUCCAUCACUUAUCACUACUCUGGGGACUCCAAAUCUUGGAAAUAUAAUUUCUUCAAACAUCCUCUUUGAACUGACGUUGUCGGCAUGCUUGCAAGGUAAUGCUUCUACCCACUUGGAGACAUAGUCAACUACCACCAAGAUGUACUCACACUUCUUUGAUGGAGGAAAUGGACCCAUGUAGUCUAUUCCCCAGACAUCAAAGAGCUCAGUCUGAAGGUUGUUGGUGAGUGGCAUUGCAUCCCUUGUAUUUAUGUUUCCGUGCCUUUGACAUGGCCCACAUCUUCUGAUAUAUUGCUUCGUGUCUUCAUACAUUGUAGGCCAAUAGAAUCCACACUGCCAGAUCUUUGAAUGUGUACGGAAUGCUCCAUAGUGACCUCCAUAUGGUGAUGAAUGACAUCUGUCGAUGAUCUUCCAUCCUUCCUCAGUGGUCACACAUCUCCUGAGUAAGCCAUCAGAGCAUACUCGGAAGAGGUAUGACUCAUCCCAUAUAUGUGAACGACUUUCUUGAAUAAGCUUCUUCUUGUUUGCUCCUGGUGGUACAUACCCUGAAACCAUAAAAUUAACAAUAUCUUCAUACCAGGGGUCAGACCUGUUAAUCCCAUAGAGCAUGUCGUCCCGGAGUGAAUCAUUGAUGGGGGUUUCCUGUGGAUUCUUAAAAUACAUUCUAGACAAGUGAUCAGCAACAGAAUUUUCUACUCCCUUUUUAUCUUUUAUUUCUAAGUCAAAUUCUUGGAGUAAUAAGAUCCAUCUAAUUAGGCGAGGUUUAGCAUCUUUUUUAGUGAGCAAAUAUUUUAAUGCAGCAUGAUCAGUGUAAACAAUUAUUUUAGCUCCAACUAAAUAAGAUCUAAAUUUAUCUAUGGCAAAGACAACAGCCAGAAGCUCUUUUUCAGUGGUUGCAUAAUUAAGUUGAGCUCCUGUCAAAGUUUUACUGGCAUAAGCAAUUGCAUGAUGCUUCUUAUCUUUAGUUUGUAACAAUACUGCCCCCACAGCAUAAUCACUAGCAUCACACAUAAUUUCAAAAGGCAACGACCAAUCAGGGGGUUGAAUGAUUGGUGCAGAGUGUUGACGGUCCUUAAUGCUCAUAUUUAACCAUCAAUUAAUCAUGGAAAAGGAUCCAAAUGCAACCAACACCCAGACUUAGGGUUUUAUCAGACAGAAUUCCACGAGUUUUGGUGUUUGCCUAUUUCUGCAGGGGGUUAUCAGGAAAUACGGAAGAAAGGCCCACACGUCGGGAUUACAUAGAGAUAUUAACGAGCCGCGCAAUUUUCUAUCAUCUAGAAGACUCCAGAAGCCACGGGAACGAACGGGAGGCCGAGCGGGCCCGGAGGCAGGGCGCCCGCCCUACCCCCCUGGGCGCCCGCCCUCCUCUGCUGGCCAAUCAGCACGAGUCUCGGGGAUUAUGCCCCACCGACUCUAAGGAUCGAGGAAAAUCACACGAUGAAGGUCGGUUUGAUCAGAUGGUGGAGAAUAACGUGGAAAUUCCUUGGGAGCUACUCUUCCUAGAUUUCUUGGGGGCUACUCUUCCUAGAUUUCUUGGGGGCUACUCUUCCUGGACUAUAUAAGCAGACCCCCACCAGCCCCUGGAGGCAUACCUCUUCUACAGAAUCAAAGCUAGGGUUUCAAUUCUUCAUCCAAGUAGAGAGGAUCCCUCUAGUUCUUCUAGUUCUACCUCUAGUUCAUCUAGAUCUAGUUCUAGUUCAUCUAGUUCUAGUUCUAGUUCCUCUAGUUCUAGUUCUAGUUAGUUCUAGUUGUAAUCUAGAAAAUAGGGAGAGAGAAGAGGAGAGCGGAGGAGGAGGAGCCGGAUCUGUCGGAUCUUCCUCAACAUUGUACUUUUGCAGCAACUGGUUCGUUCUUCAUCGUUCUCCAGGUUCUUCAAUUCAUAAUCCUGAGUUCUUUAAUUACUUUUAUUUACAUUCAAGUUAUUUAUUGGAUUCCCGCUUGCAUCAAGUGCUCUAAUCUUUGCAACAUUAGAGUAGUAAUUAAUAGAUUAGACGUGGUGUUUAGUCUUGCAAUUACCUAGAAUUGCACCCAAUCCUGCGGAUUGUUGUGGUAGCCCUAGGGUAGUGACAGCCCUAACGGUCGACGUAUUCCACCUCGUUCGGAUCGGUGUUUGUAGGACCGUAGUCAGACCUUCCUAGCCCCCUUCUCAUCUCUUUCUGUGGUUAGUGCUCUGAUGUCCCGAAAUAGAUAAUCUUGAAGUAAUUCUUGAUUCUCAGAUCAACUAGAGAACUCUCAGGAAACUUCCUCUCUUCCCACCAAAAAUAAUUAUAUAGUUAUCCUUGGGCGAUCUUGAUUCUUAAUUAGUACACUCACGUUCCUUGUGGAAAAUCGAUACUCUGGAAUACUCCCGGGUGAAAGCUACAUCGGUAUCCGUGCGCUUGCGGAUUUUUUCUGUUUGCGUUUAAAAUACCCAACAAGCUUUCUGGCGCCGUUGCCGGGGAACGGUAGCUGUGCUAGUUUCGAACCAAGUCGUCCGUGUAUCCUUUUUCUUUUCCCUUUUUACCACACUCACCUUACCAUUUUCACCAUACCACAUGGAUUUCACUCCUAUCUAUAAAUUCUUUGCUCCAAAGGGCGAGUUAUUAGAGCCACCACCAUCAUCACAUCCAAUUCUUACAGAUGGCUACGACCUCGGCCCUGAUCUAAUAGCCAUGAUUCAGGAGCAACCCUUCUCUGGGCAAGUAGAUGAAGAUCCAUACACCCACCUUAGAGAAUUCGAGCAGUUGUGCUCUUGCCGAUCUAUUUUCGGCAUGACACAAGAAACCCUUAAAUGGAAAUUAUUUCCGUUCUCCCUUUUGGGAAGAGCAAAAAAGUGGUAUGCUCAUUCUGUAGGAGGCGUUAAUGGAAAUUGGGAUGAACUUCGGGACAACUUUUGUCUCGCUUUCUUCCCACUUUUUUGAAUUGCUGACCUUAGAAUAGAAAUUCUUACAUUCAAACAAAGAGAGAAGGAAACUUUAGGAGCAGCUUGGGCUAGGUUCACAAGCCUUAUCAAUUCCGGUCCAAACCUUUCCCUGCCUGACCAUGUACUGUACUACCACUUUUAUCGUGGUGUAAGCAAGGAGGCUGCUCUUCACCUCGACAUUGCUUCAGGAGGCUCAUUCACACACAAACUCACAGAUGAGGGGAGAGCUAUCCUAGAGAGAAUCCUUGAAAAUACCCCUUACACAGGCAUUUAUGAUGAGUUUCCUGAAGAAGAAGAAGAAGAAGUCGAGCCUGAUCCUAAACCAAAAGAUGAGGAACUUGCAACCGAGUUAGAAAUUCCACCUGACCCACCUAUUAAUUUGGUUGUAGAGAAACCUCCUGAUAAGGGAAUGCAAAACCAACUAAAGGAUGAUGAACCACCACCUUUAGAGCAUCCGUUUGAAUUCGAGGAAGAUCUUUUUGAAGAUUAUGGAAACACCUCGAAUUUUCCUAUCCAAUCACGACCUCUAGUAAGGACCACUCAAUCUGUUCUAAGAGUAGAAUCUGUUGACAUAGAACACAUCAAAAGCCUUUCGGCUAUUCUGAGUUAUGAAUGGCUAACAGAAGCAGAGCUGUCUCCUGAGGUAGCUCGAAUCAUCACUCCUUCAACCAUUCUUUUGUGCCAAAUUAGAAGGUCCCCUAGGAAGGUCCACUACAGUCCAUAUGUUGGGAUAAAUGUUAUUUCCAAGGAGUUAGCUGACACUCUUUAUCCCAACGAGUCCAUAACCCCAUCUCAAAAACUUUUACAAAGUCCAUCUGGAUUAAUCCUAGAAAGCCAUGGGGUAUUAAGGACAGUUCCUAUUAGAAUCAAGGACUCUGGAAUAUGUCUAGAUUUUCACAUUUAUGACAUACCGGAGAUUCCUCUCUUGAUUGGCAGACCAAUCAUGAAACUUCUACAGGAACAACCACAACGAGGUCAUUUAGACUUCAAGGUUGGGAAUUCCACUAUUGUUGUUCCUCUUGCUAGAUCAAUUAACACGAUAGUGGAACCCAAACUUGACCCAGAUCCUAUUGAGGAGGUCUUAAUGGUGACUCAAGAGGAGAUGACCCAACCAUUCUUUAAUCAUGAACACUUUGUUCAAGAAGAAGAAGAGUUGGUAGAACCCGUUGAGCUAGACAAAAAUGAACUACCUUCACCUCCUUCGAUAGAAUUAAAACCUCUUCCUUCUGGCCUUAGAUAUGUCUUCUUGCACAACAACUCAAAAACUCCAAUAAUUAUCAGUGACAAGCUUUCCGAUUAUGAAACACAACAACUUGUCACUGUUCUUGAAAGACAUAGAUCAGCUUUUGGCUACUCUCUCGAGGAUCUCACGGGCAUUAGUCCCAUUCUCUGCACUCAUCGUAUCCCUAUUGAUCCCAAUUCUACACCUUCAAGGGAACCACAACGGAGACUUAACAAUGCUAUGCGAGAGGUUGUUAAGAAAGAGGUCCUCAAACUGUAUCGUGCUGGGAUUAUUUAUCCUGUGCCACAUAGUGAGUUGGUUAGCCCUGUCCAAGUAGUGCCAAAGAAAGGAGGAAUGAUGGUCGUUAGGAACGAGAAGAAUGAACUUAUCCCUCAACGAAUUGUCACUGGGUGGCGUAUGUGUAUUGACUAUCGAAAACUCAAUAAGGCUACAAAGAAAGAUCAUUUUCCGUUACCCUUCAUUGAUGAAAUGUUGGAACGGCUUGCAAACCACUCUUUCUUUUGCUUCCUUGAUGGUUAUUCUGGAUAUCACCAAAUCCCAAUCCACCCAGAUGACCAAGAAAAGACUACCUUUACAUGCCCAUAUGGAACUUAUGCAUACCGACGAAUGUCGUUCGGAUUGUGCAAUGCUCCAGCUUCUUUCCAACGGUGCAUGAUGUCUAUUUUCUCGAACAUGAUUGAGAAGAUCAUGGAGGUUUUCAUGGAUGAUUUUACCGUCUAUGGCAAAACCUUUGAUCAUUGUUUGGAGAAUUUAGAUAGAGUCUUGCAGCGAUGUGAAGAAAAACACUUAAUCCUGAACUGGGAGAAAUGCCAUUUUAUGGUUCAGGAAGGAAUAGUGCUAGGACAUAAAGUGUCCGAACGUGGUAUAGAGGUGGACAAAGCAAAGAUUGAAGUUAUUGAAAAACUUCCACCUCCCACGAAUGUGAAAGGAAUCCGUAGCUUUUUGGGACAUGCAGGGUUCUAUAGACGCUUUAUCAAAAAUUCCUCUCAAAUUGCUAGACCCCUAACUAAUCUCCUAGCUAAGGACGCACCUUUCAUCUUUAGUGAUGAGUGUCAUGAAUCUUUUCAAACUCUUAAGAAAGCACUCAUCUCAGCCCCGAUUAUCCAGCCACCUGAUUGGAAUCUUCCUUUUGAGAUCAUGUGUGAUGCUAGCGAUUUUGCGGUUGGUGCCGUUUUAGGACAAACCAAGGAUAGAAAGCAUUAUGCCAUAUCCUACGCUAGCAAAACCUUGUCUGGACCACAGCUCAAUUACACUACAACUGAAAAAGAGCUUUUAGUUGUUGUCUUUGCUAUAGACAAGUUUAGAUCUUACUUAGUGUGGGCGAAGAUAAUCAUCUAUUCAGACCAUGCUGCUCUCAAGUACCUCCUCACUAAGAAAGAUGCUAAGCCUCGUCUAAUUCGAUGGAUUCUUCUACUCCAAGACUUUGACAUAGAAAUCCGAGAUAGGAAGGGAGUUGAGAAUUCUGUAGCCGACCACUUGUCUAGGCUUCAAUAUAAGGAAACACAUGAUGAGCUUCCCAUAAAUGACUACCUAAGGGAUGACACCCUGCUUAAGAUAACACAUGUAGAUCCAUGGUACGCAGACAUCGUAAACUUUAUAGUAAAAGGCUAUGUCCCACCUGGUGCAAACAAAAGGAAGUUGCUUCACGAUAGUCGUUUCCACCUUUGGGAUGAGCCAUAUCUUUUCCGAGUCUGCGCUGAUGGACUCUUAAGAAGGUGUGUUCCUAUGGCUGAGGCUACUCAAAUUAUGGAAAGAUGCCAUGCCUCGCCAUAUGGAGGACACUAUGGAGCAUUCCGGACACAUGCUAAAAUUUGGCAAAGUGGUUUUUUCUGGCCAACGAUGUAUGAAGAUACAAAGGACUUUGUCAGGAGAUGCCACCGAUGUCAAAAACAUGGGAAUAUCAACUCACGAAAUGAAAUGCCUCUCACAAAUAAUCUUCAAGUAGAACUUUUCGAUGUUUGGGGCAUUGAUUUCAUGGGGCCAUUCCUUAUGUCCGGAAAUUGCGAGUAUAUCUUAGUAGCUGUGGACUACGUGUCCAAAUGGGUAGAAGCCCUACCUUGUCGAUCAGCUGAAUCAAAACAUGCCAAGAGAAUGUUCCAUGAAGUAAUCUUUCCUCGCUUUGGUAUACCCCGGAUAGUUAUAAGCGAUGGAGGUUCUCACUUCAUCGACAAAAUCUUCCGAAAGUACUUAGCCGAUCAUGGAGUUCGACACAACGUCGCAACACCAUACCAUCCUCAGACUAGCGGUCAAGCCGAAACAUCUAACAAACAAAUCAAAAAUAUUUUACAAAAGACCGUAGAUGAGAUGGGUAAGGGGUGGAAGGACAAACUUCCUGAUGCACUUUGGGCAUAUAGAACUGCAUUCAAAACACCCAUAGGCAUGUCACCUUAUCAACUUGUAUAUGGAAAAACUUGUCACUUGCCUGUGGAAGUAGAGUUUAAGGCUCAUUGGGCACUCAAGAAAUGGAACAUGGAUCUCCACCUAGCUAGUGAGAAUCGUCUGAUGCAACUAUCUGAGCUAGAAGAAUGGAGAGAGAAAGCCUACCAUAAUUCAAGGAUCUAUAAAGAGAGAACAAAACGAUGGCAUGAUAAGAGAAUCAAGCACAAGGAGUUUAAGUCUGGAGAUAAGGUUCUACUAUUCAAUUCAAGAGUUAAGCUCUUUGGGCAUGGUAAGCUACGAAGUAAGUGGGAUGGACCAUAUAAGGUUAUUGACACUUCAACUCAUGGAGCCAUUACCAUCCAAGACGACAUAGGUAACACUUUUAAGGUAAACGGUCAACGCUUGAAAAUCUAUCUUGAGCCACAAAACAACCUGGCAGAGGAGCUUGAUGUGAUUGAGUUUAUAGAAUUCUCAUAUUAAGCUCUCAUAAGCUCUAGACAAUUACCUAACCCUUAACAUGUUCCACAAGUUUUGUUGUCUAUUUGGAUUGUGCAGGAUUUUGAAGCUUAAGAAGAGUGAGACCAAACAUGCAAGCUACAAGAGUGAACGACUAUGUCAAGAUCCAGCUUGGGGGAGGCACCCCCACGUGUAUCUAGAUAAGUAUUACUUUUCUUUCUUGGUUUUAUUUACUAGUAUUCAGAAAUAAAAAAAAUGCAUAACCAUGAAACCAAACAAAGUUUUUCUUUUGAGUAAUAUACAAUAGUUUUGUGUAAUCCUAAGUUUUAAAUAAAAUAAAAAGAAAGUUUGAUUCAAGUCUAGGUAAUUGACAAACAUGAUAUGAGAAGGUCUGAGCUACUAUUUAACUUGUUCAAAGUUUUGCUAGAGUUCUGGAGAUUUUAUCUUUUGAAAAUCUAAAAAUUCAUAAAUAAAAAAAAUAUGAGAUCAUAAUACCUAGAGUCUUAUAAGAUAUAAAUAUUAAAACUGUGGGCACUUGCUUUGUUCAAGCCAUUGUUAAUUCUUGUAGUUUUGGUUGAGAGAAUUAUCAUACUCCCAAGAUCAAGAUCUUUUUGUUUUAAAAAUAUAAAAGAUUCACUCUUCCGAAGUAUUAUUGCGUUAGAGGCAUGGGACUAUGCAAAAAUUUGAUUCGAAAAAAAAUAGAGUGAGACGAGAGGUAAAAAUGGACAAGUGUCCGAAGUAGAAUUAGGGGUACAAAGAUACCCACCUGAGUGGAAAAAAUGGACAUGUGUCCGACAGUAGAAUUAGGGGUACUUGCUGCCCACUUGAAAAAAAAAGAGAGACUGAAAAAAAAGAAAAGAAAAAAAAAUGAUAGCCCAUGGUCCCUCUAAUAAGCAAUAUGCCAGUAAGAGAUGACAAACUUUUCAAAAAGGUCAAAGGUCUUGAUCUAGGAGUAUGACAUUCCUCUCCCUUACUCCGAGCGUUGACAUAGCAAAAUGCAAAGUAAGUAUGCUAAAACUUUUAAAGCUCUACUUAUAUAUCUUUCGAGAAGAAGGCAAAUGCCUCAGUUUUAUUUUGCGGACUUAUAAAAAACUCCAGAACAAAGGUAAGACAGAAGAACUUGAGGCAUAGUGCUUGACUUAAUCACUCUGUUUUUCAAUCACUUAAGACCUUAGUGAUAACUUAAAAACACUGUAGUAAGAGGCAUAGAAGUAACCCCUGUUUUCUUGUUGAUUUUAGCUUUGCUCACGGACGAGCAAAGGUUAAGCUUGGGGGAGCUUGUUGACGGUCCUUAAUGCUCAUAUUUAACCAUCAAUUAAUCAUGGAAAAGGAUCCAAAUGCAACCAACACCCAGACUUAGGGUUUUAUCUAACAGAAUUCCACGAGUUUUGGUGUUUGUCUAUUUCUGCAGGGGGUUAUCAGGAAAUACGGAAGAAAGGCCCACACGUCAGGAUUACAUAGAGAUAUUAACGAGCCGCGCAAUUUUCUAUCAUCUAGAAGACUCCAGAAGCCACGGGAACGAACGGGAGGCCGAGCGGGCCCGGAGGCAGGGCGCCCGCCCUACCCCCCUGGGCGCCCGCCCUCCUCUGCUGGCCAAUCAGCACGAGUCUCGGGGAUUAUGCCCCACCGACUCUAAGGAUCGAGGAAAAUCACACGAUGAAGGUCGGUUUGAUCAGAUGGUGGAGAAUAACGUGGAAAUUCCUUGGGAGCUACUCUUCCUAGAUUUCUUGGGGGCUACUCUUCCUAGAUUUCUUGGGGGCUACUCUUCCUGGACUAUAUAAGCAGACCCCCACCAGCCCCUGGAGGCAUACCUCUUCUACAGAAUCAAAGCUAGGGUUUCAAUUCUUCAUCCAAGUAGAGAGGAUCCCUCUAGUUCUUCUAGUUCUACCUCUAGUUCAUCUAGAUCUAGUUCUAGUUCAUCUAGUUCUAGUUCUAGUUCCUCUAGUUCUAGUUCUAGUUAGUUCUAGUUGUAAUCUAGAAAAUAGGGAGAGAGAAGAGGAGAGCGGAGGAGGAGGAGCCGGAUCUGUCGGAUCUUCCUCAACAUUGUACUUUUGCAGCAACUGGUUCGUUCUUCAUCGUUCUCCAGGUUCUUCAAUUCAUAAUCCUGAGUUCUUUAAUUACUUUUAUUUACAUUCAAGUUAUUUAUUGGAUUCCCGCUUGCAUCAAGUGCUCUAAUCUUUGCAACAUUAGAGUAGUAAUUAAUAGAUUAGACGUGGUGUUUAGUCUUGCAAUUACCUAGAAUUGCACCCAAUCCUGCGGAUUGUUGUGGUAGCCCUAGGGUAGUGACAGCCCUAACGGUCGACGUAUUCCACCUCGUUCAGAUCGGUGUUUGUAGGACCGUAGUCAGACCUUCCUAGCCCCCUUCUCAUCUCUUUCUGUGGUUAGUGCUCUGAUGUCCCGAAAUAGAUAAUCUUGAAGUAAUUCUUGAUUCUCAGAUCAACUAGAGAACUCUCAGGAAACUUCCUCUCUUCCCACCAAAAAUAAUUAUAUAGUUAUCCUUGGGCGAUCUUGAUUCUUAAUUAGUACACUCACGUUCCCUGUGGAAAAUCGAUACUCUGGAAUACUCCCGGGUGAAAGCUACAUCGGUAUCCGUGCGCUUGCGGAUUUUUUCUGUUUGCGUUUAAAAUACCCAACACAGAGAAGAGUGCUUUCUUUAAUAAAUUGAAAGAUGUUAGACAUGCAUCAUCAAAUUCGAAAGGAGCAUCCUUGGCUAGCAAAAGAGUAAGUGGUCUAGCAAUAAAUGAAAAAUCUUUUAUGAAUCUACGGUAAAAACCAGCAUGGCCAAGAAAGCUUCGAAUUCCUUUUAUAUUCACAGGUGGAGGUAGUUGUUCAAUUACUUCAAUUUUAGCUUUGUCUACCUCAAUCCCUCUUUCAGACACUAAGUGUCCUAGCACUAUUCCUUCCCUAACCAUAAAAUGACAUUUUUCCCAAUUAAGGAUUAAGUGCUUUUCUUCACAUCUUUGCAAAACCUUGUCUAAGUUUUCAAGACAACUAUCAAAAGUUUUUCCAUAAACAGAGAAAUCAUCCAUGAAAACUUCCAUAAUCUCUUCAAUCAUAUCAGAAAAUAUAGACAUCAUGCAUCUUUGAAAAGAAGCUGGUGCAUUACAUAACCCAAAAGACAUUCUAUGGUAAGCAUAAGUUCCAUACGGGCAUGUAAAAGUGGUUUUGCUUUGAUCAUCGGGAUGGAUCGGGAUUUGGUGAUACCCUGAAUAUCCAUCUAAGAAACAGAAGAACGAAUGGUUUGCUAACCGCUCUAGCAUCUCAUCUAUAAAAGGCAAAGGAAAGUGAUCCUUUCUCGUGGCUUUGUUUAGUUUUCUAUAAUCUAUGCACAUCCGCCAUCCUGUGACGGUGCGUUGCGGAAUUAGCUCGUUCUUUUCAUUCAUAAUAACUGUCAUGCCUCCCUUUUUGGGCACAACUUGUACUGGGCUCACCCACUCACUGUGCGGCACAGGAUAUAUAAUCCUUGCAUGCAGCAACUUUAUUACUUCCUUUUUAACUACCUCUCUCAUAGUGUUGUUAAGUCUACGUUGGGGUUCUCGAGAGGGUGUAACAGAAGGAUCUGUUGGAAUACGAUGGGUACAAAUCAUAGGACUGAUUCCUGUAAGAUCUUGAAGUGAGUAGCCAAAAACCGAGUGAUGUUUCUCAAGAAUGGCCAUUAAUCGCAGAGUUUGAUCCUGAGUGAGUUUAUCGCUAAUGAUCAUAGAGAACUCUGGAUUAUUGUUUAGGAAAGCAUAGGUAAGACCGGGUGGUAAAGUUUUAAGCUCUAUGGGAGGUCUAGGUGUUUCUGCAAACUCAUCUAAGGGUUCAGGCUCGGAAGGUUCGUCUUCUUCUUCUGUGAAGAAAGGAGUUUCGUCUUCUAAGUCUGGUUCAUCUAAAAGCUCUAGAGAUGCAGCCUUUACUUCCUCCAUAGGAUCAGGCAAAAGAUAUGACUCGGCCUUAUUAUUUAAGGAGUGUGAAAUUGUUAUCGGGAAUUUAAAAAUUUUUCCAAAAGAAAUGUGUAGCUUUCCAGUAUGACCUUCAUAAAGGAGUCUUCUAAAAGGUUGUCCUAUCAACAGGUCGAAGUCCCAUGUAUCAAAGAUAUAGAAGUUCAAAUGAACCAUGGAGCCUUCAACCGUAAGAGGUAGGACAUUAAUAAUUCCAAGACUGGGGACUAACCGUCCCGACGAUUCCUUUAUGACCUUUGUUGUGGGGGUUAAGAUAAGAUUUUUAAAUAGUUUAAGUGCAAAGGAUUCAGACAUAAUGUUGAUCCCCACAACAGGAUUAUAUAGAGCAUUAAAUCGAUCAGAAUUAUAAGCACAGCGUAUAGUUAUAGAGGGUGUGUCCAAACGGAUCACAUCAGAGGAAAGCUCUGAUUCCUCCAACCAUUCGCUACUCAUGACUGAGAUAAGCUCUCUCAAUUGAUAUUCACUUGGCAAAUAAAUGCUAAACUGACCGUUUUGGGGUUUGUCAAUAGAAUGGUAGUUUGAAAUGUUUCCAAAAUCGGCAAAAAGAUCGGAUUCUAUAUCCAGCAUGAAGUCCGGUGGUGGAAUUUCUUCCUCUUGUGGCUCAGAACUUGGGAUAGCUAAAGUAGAUAAAGAAUUUGGCAGAGUGUCUACUUCGGCUUCGUAGGUUUCAUCAUGAAGGGUAUUAUCCAUCUCAGCUUCUAGGAUUCUAUCUAGGAUCACUCUAGCUUCAUCAGCAGGGAUGCGAAAGAAAGAACCUCUAGACAUUGUGUGAAGCAUUUGUUUGUGAUUUUUCUAAAGACCUCAAAAAAAGUGAAAUAAAAGAACAGGGUCUUCAAGAUUAAGGUUUGGACCAGAUUCUAAAAGAUCAGAAAAACGUUUCCAGGAUUUUCCCAAAGUUUCAUUAUCUUUUUGUUUAAAAGAUAGGACUUCGAGUCUAAGGUCGGCUAUACGGUCAAGGGAAUAGAAAUCUAGACAAAAGUUGGCUCGUAAAACUCCCCAUUCACCUUGUUGUUGACUUACCUUCUGAUUGUACCAUUGUCUAGCUUCUCCCCUUAAAGAAAAAGGAAAAAGCUUCCAACGUAAAGUCUUAUCAGAAAUGCCUUCAAUGCGAAGACAAUCACAUGUUUGCUCAAAAUCUCUAAUAUGAAGGUAAGGGUUUUCGUCUUCCUUUCCCGAAAAAGAUAGGUUUUGAAUCAUGGCAAUCAACCUAGAACUUAACUUAUACUGGGAUGUUUGGAUAGGCUGUGAUGAUUCCCAUGGUAAAAGGUCAGUUGCUAAAGGGAUUGCAGACUCAUGGAUCGAUUUAGAAUUUUGGUUUUCCAUAAGGUAAGAAUAAAGAAAAUAAAUAAAGGAUAUAAAAGAUAAGAAAAGAUAAAAGUAUAGAUACAAGCUAGUAGCAAGACUCAGGUUAUCUCAGCAACCGUCUUUCUCCCCGGCAACGGCGCCAGAAAUGCUUGUUGAUAUUUGGGAACGCAAUAAGGAAUUGAUCCGCAAGCGCACGGAUAUCGGUGAGCACUUCACCCGGGAAAUUAUCCAGAGUAUCGUAUUUAUUUUUUUACCACUAGGAAAAAGAGUGCAUCUGACUAACCGGUCUAUUACUACUAACCUUUAGGCACAAAGAAUGUCUUUUGAUGUGAGUGAUAAAUAGAGAAGACUGCAACCGUAGUCUCCUUCUAACCUUGGUAAGGAUGAUCUACUGUUCUAAUGGGGAGGCUAACGGAAUCUAGACAACACAAAGAAUGUUCGACCCGCACCUAUAAACCCUAUCCUUCCUCCUAACGAGAUGUGAUCUACAAAGGUAGCUCGGAAUUGUCACGUUCCUCACUACUACCACGGUCCAGCUAGUCAAGGAAUAUCUAUGAGUACCCUAGCCUAAACACCACGUUUACGCCAGCAAUGAUUACUCUAAACUCUACGCGAAGAGAUUAAAGUAAACUCAUAAACCAUAAGAACAAUAAAACAAGAACUUACUAGAAUUUAGAAGUCGAAUUACUGAAGAAUCCUAGGAGCAAGCUUCGGGUUAGGAGAACUUGAUCCCGCAGGUACAAGCUUGGAGUAGACACCGACAGGCCGGGCUUCCUCCACUCUUCACCUCCACUCUAUCUCUCUCAAUCUAGUAGAAACUAGAAGAUCUAUUUCUACCUUACAUUGGUUGCUAAGCCCUAAAAAGAAAUAUUAAUUAGAGAAGAGGUUUUCCUUCGAGGGCACCCCUCAGUCUCUAUGAUAAUUUCUUCAUGUCUUCUCCAGGGGCCAGGGGGGCCUUGCUUAUAUAGUCCUCCCCUUCUAUGCGUUUUUGGGUCGAUAGGCGAGGUGGUACUAUGUUUUUCUUGAUCCAAUAGGUCGGUGGAAUAUCCCGAACGAAGAGAGUCCCGAAAGCAAUCCAGAGGGGGGCGGGCGCCCAAGCCUCCAGGGCGGGCGCCCUGGGCCUGGCCCCGUUUCGCCUCCGCUUCGGUCUCGUGGCUUCUGGAGUCUUCUAGAUGAUGUAAAAUCGCGCGGUGCGUUGAUAUCUCUAUGUAAUCCCGACAUGUGGGCCUUUCUUCCUUAUUUCCUGAUAACCCCCUGCAGAAACAGAUAAACAACAAAACUCGUGGAAUUCUGUCAGAUCAAACCCUAAUUCUAGGUGUUGGUUGCAUAUUGGUCCUUUCUCUUGUUUAUUUGAUAAUUAAAAUUGAUACUUAAGAACCGUCAACAGUCAUCAGUUCCGACGCACGUCGGGACUUCCGACACCACAAGUCUUAAAAAACUAUUCUACGUGCUCGUGAAGUGCUAGAGUGUCUCUCUUUUGAUUUAGUUUUAAUACUUGAGCACUCUAUCUUCCUCAGACCAACUAAAUUUGCAUCCCUCUUUAUAGUGCGGCAUAGCCUAAACUCAAGAUUAAAUAUUAAAUAAUUAAAAUGCCUUUGAGUCCAUCACCACAUCAUUUGGUAAUUGGGCUUUUGCCAUCUCACAUAUCAUGUGUUACCCUCAUUCUUAUUUUACCUGCUUGCCAUCUCAACAAAUCUCAUUAGUCCUCUAAUUGUGUGGUCAUUAUCACCAAAACCCACAACUAGGGCUUGAUUGCACUUACACUCUCUCUCCCAAACCUCCUGAUGAUUCUAGAAAUUCAUCUAGAUAUCCCAUGCAUAGCAAUCAUUAAGGCCAUAUGGAAGAUCGAGGAGAGCAACAUCCGUGGCUAGAGAGCAUUAAAAACCUAUAUGCUAUUGCCAUUGAAUGGAUGGACAAGGCCUUAGAUAAGAUCAAUUCAAGAGAUGACCCAAGGGAAUUUUUGGAUAUUGAUGACGGGGAAACGGGCGGCUAUGACCCGCCUCCGCGUCAGCAGAGACAAAUAUAAAUUUAAACGAGACAAUAUGAAAAGAACAGGUAUUGCGAGUCCAUACUUCCAUAAUUCUUAUAUUUGCAUAAAAGUUAUGUUAAUUACAUCUCCGAAGAGAACACCCCUGAUUAAGAGUUCCAACAUGAGUACAUGAAAAAAGAAAGAUUACAUCAUAUAGCUUUCUAUCACAAACUACAAAAGAAAACAAAGUCUUCAGUCUCGUAGUCGCGGAUGGAUGCACAUGCAUAUUGUUUGCUUGGGCUUUUUGGCGGACCAAGAUAUGGAUAUUUGGUUGAUGCACUAUAUGUGGUGCGCCAGGUAUAUGUAUGUGAUUUACUUUGGGGAUUUUUAACAUGGUCAAUUUGGAUCAUGCAAGAUCAUGAUUUGACAUAUUUUAAUACAUAGGAGAGAGUACUCAACAUAUAUAUGGUACAAGGUUCUAUUCAAGUAAGACAAAUUGCUUAUCUUGCUAAGAUUUUGAGUGUUAUGACAUUGGCCGGGCUGUACGCAAUUAAUUCACUUUAUCAUAUAUGCUUAUGACAUAGUAUUUAGCCAUGGAUUAGCAUAUACGAUGCUAACAAAUUUUAUUUGAUUGAUUCAAUUUAUCAGCUAGACACGCCUGUAUAUGAGUGCAGUCCAACUAAGGUGUAAGAUUUAAGUUAAUUAGCCGUGAUGCACAUAUAGCAGAGAUGGAGGGCCUACAUGUGGCACGACUAAUAUAUUUGUCCAAAUUAAUUGGGAACAUUAUGGCCCACGAGGGCGAUGAGUUUACCCAUAUUAGGUGAUUUUACACCAAAAUCUAUAAUAUUUUGGUUAUUAUGACCACGGCUCAACAACCUGUCUAAAUUAGCAUGAACAACUAUGGCUUGGGAUUUAACAUUAAGAAACUAAUUUUGUUUAGUCCAUCUUGGGAUUUGGCAGGGGAUCUGGUUCAGAUGUGGAGGCCGCCUCAACGUAUGAGGAGUUAUUAAUUUGUUAUUUAAUCUUGGUGAAGAUAGUAACGGUGAGAGCUAGCUACUAUUUGAUUUCAUCCUUGUAUUAUUUGUGUUGAAUGAUUAUAUGCACCGCGACUUUACCUAUAUGCAGGACGUAGGCACAUAUACUAGAUUUAUGAAUCCGGCCAGGCCUUGUUUACCUAAGCAAUGGACUCUUGCUAUUUUCUAUUGGGAUCCAAGGCUUCAUGGCAAGCGUGCACAGCGAACGACAAUUAUACAAUUUUUAGCCUUUGCUUAUCUCUCGGAUAGGACGGACCAAAUGUAUAUAUACGAUGGAUAUAUACACGCAUUCAGGUUUUUGAUAUGCCAUGCAUGCAUGAUUGACGCAAUAUACGAAUAUACAUAUAUAUGCUAAUUAUGCAAUGAUGCCAUAUACGAAUAUACAUACACAUGCUAGUUAUCUAAUCUGCAAUGCAUGGCUAGUUCAUCAUAUAUACGGAUAUAUGUAUGCAUCCGUUGGUUAACUACUUGGCUACUUUUUGGGCAGCACUUUGGCAUGGGAGUUCAGCAAAUAUAUAUACGGAUAUAUGCAUGCACACGUUAGUUAGCUACUUGCUACUUUUUGGGUAGCACUUUAGCAUGGGAUUUAUGCUUCUCUUAGGCGGCUUUCAAUGCAAGAACUCCUAUUGAUCUGAACUCAUGCACAUCAUGCAGCGAGGAACAUAUUUUGAAGAACAAUGCUCUUCCCUGUCCAGUUUGUAUGACAAAUCUGGCAUGGGGCCUUGAAACAUCUCAUGGUAGCUUGCUCGACGGAGCCAAGCUACGUAUGAGGCCUUGGUUAUAGGGAUGAUGGUGGGUAUAGCUCUCGUUUGCGGGAACGAUGCUCUUCCCUGUCCAGUUUGUAUGACAAAUCUGGCAUGAGGCCUUGGAACAUCUCAUGGCAACUAACUCAGGAGAGUGAAGCUACACAUGAGGCCUUGAUCAUGGCGUUGAUGAAGAGGUUGUGCUGAGUGCCGCGGAGCCGUGAAGGUGAAGAAAGGGAGAGGAUCAGAUGAGCGCCAUGAAGCUCUAUUCUCACCUUUCAGGAACUCCGACGUGCAGCGACGACGGCGUUCACCACGAGCUCUUCUCCGAUGGCUUCUGAUGGAUCGAGCAGCAAGGAGGCAGCACGGCAGUUGUUUUCUGGGAGUAUGGGAGCGGCAGCCUGGUGGCGUACGUGAGCAACGAAGCAGCCUGGAGGCAAUAUACAAAUGAAGCCGGGUGGUGGUUUGCUUGAGGGCAGCCUGGCGGCACUUUGGAUCAGAGGAGCCAGGCCCUGAAUGCUCUUGCUGCAGCCUGCUAUUUAUAGAGCAAGUGGCAAGGCGAUUCUUGUUUUUGAAUUCGCGUCCAGUCUAAAGCGGCGGGAGUGGUUGCCAGGUGCCUUCUCAUUUGAUUUUGUCUUAGCGCUAAUGAUGCCGGCGGCGGGAACAGUUGCCUGCAGAUUUGGCGCUCUUCUUGUUUGAUUUCAAAAUGAUCGCUUCAAGCCACGCCCGGCACCUUUCUUCGCGUUGCUGCGCGCGCUGGCAAGGAACAAUUUCGAUCGUGGCUUCAUUUGAAUUUGGUCAGAGCAGUUUGUGACGGGAAUUAUCUGUUUAUCCUUUGACUGAAGUAAUUUUAAGGAAAACACGAAAUAGCUUAUUUCCUAGCCGACGUGGCUAUACGCUGACUAUGUACGUACUUGUAUAUGCCACAUACACCCGUACUUGUGUGAGCCGUAUAUACACACACACACACGAGAAAAUGAGCCACAUCUUUGUUGCACUUUAGGCUCUGUCAAAGUACAUGUUUGACAAGGCAUAUUCAUGCUUACGCAUAUAGUACACAUGCAUGUCCUCAUCCUUUCUUUCUCCUAUAUUUCCAAUAAUCACCACGUUAUACAUAUAUAGUUUUUUUUUGUGAUGUAGGAAAUAAUUGAUAAGUCCAAUUAAUCAAUAAAGUAUUUGGUUUUUAUAUAUGGCCUUCACAUAGUAUGCCACCUGGCCUCGUUUUCAUGUGAGUACAUGAUAUUUCUUGGUCAAUAGUAUUUUCCUUGUUAUUCAUUUCUUAUUUAUAUGGAAUUUGAUCAUAUAUUAUUUACGUUUACAUAAUAUAGAAAUAUGACACACAUAUUAUAGAUGAGCCAAAAACCGUGUCAACAGAUAUAUAUGUCAAGUCACUCUUGGAAGUAGAAAAUGAUGGAGACUUCAAUGAGCAAGGAAGCUACUUCAUCAUCAUCUCAUCUGACCCUUGCUCAUAUGAAAAAUCUUCUGAUUCACUUAGUCUCUCUAACAUUGCCCCACGAGAGAUCUUCAACCCCCUCAUGCUCCCUAUUCCUAAAGUUUUUGAAAGGGUGGUUGUAGACACAUAUGUUUACCAUAAAUAUUGUAGAUCUCGUUGUGGCGAAUCUUAGUACACUUAGAUUGGUGUUGGAAGAGAAACCAUUUCACCAAAGCACAUCUUAAAGGUUUCCCAAGGACAAGCUUAGUGUCCUAAAACAAGCACUGUUUAGACCACGACAUGAGUGUUCAUCUUUCUACUACGCUACCCUUGUUAAUUGAGCAUAGAAAUUAUAAUUGUGAAAAUAUUCCUUCGGGUAUUCUUAUCACUAACCUUCCAGGUUUGGAGCAAAAAAUCGAAGGAAUGACAAAUGUAAGGUAUGUCCAACCAAUCAUUAUGCAACAUUGAAUUAUUUUCAAUCAAUCUUGAUUUUUGCAGAAGUCAAGCUCGGGGGAUAUGCUUUGACAGAUACAUCUAUUUCAAUGUUGCUACAUCAUCUUGGUUGUCCCUACCUUUAAGAUAUGCUCAAUUUGCUAAACAAUAAUGAUGCUCUAUCAUCACUAUUUGAGUAAACAUCUAUAAUGCUCUCAGGCUACCUUUGUUUGCUAUAGUAUGUGUAGGUUUUAAAGUCUUUUCAGAUACCUUUUUAAAUUAGGCAUGGUGCUUAGUUUAAACUGUUGUUCUAACUUAAAUUAGACAAGGUGUCUAGUUUAACUCUUGGACCAAAAGGUGUGUUGAUCUUACCUCUAAAAGGUUUUUAAAUUAAGUGUGGUGCUUAGGUUGAAAUGCCUUCCUGAAUCAAAUUAGACGUGGUGUCUAGGUUGAUUUUUGAGCUGAUAAUAUGCUAUAGUAUAUAUUGGAUAUUUUGUUGGACUAACCCCUGCAGGAAAACUUUAUACCAAAAUGGGCAUGUCCUAAGUUGAACUCACACUAGAGAUGAAGAGAGACACAACUCACUCAUAUCCAAGAAAAAAGAAGGGUGCCACAAAAUAUGAACCACAAUCGAAGCACUCACUCCAUGGAGUUACAUUCUCUUGUCAACCACUCAUUAUCAGGAAUCAAGAAAAGAUUGACAAGAGAAGAGCAUGCAACGUUCUGCACCCUCACCUCUGCGGUCGAGAAGCUGAGACAUGAGGAAGAAAAGGUCAACUUCUUAAGAUGAUCCAACCAAGUUCUUCCUCAUCUCAUGCUCUCAUCGCUCCACAUGCUAGUUUGCAAUCUUUAACUUCACUAUUGCUUCAUUUCUAUGAGUUUGAGUUGAUUCAUAAUGCCUAUAUUUGAUAAUCAAAACAUAAGGUGGGUAAAUAAAAUCAAUCCUUUAGAAAGAAGUAAUUGUGAAUAAUAGAUGUGCUAUGCUAAGUAUGCUCAAGCAAGUUCUUUUUUAUAGCAUAGAAAGUGACCCUUAGCUGUGUUACAACAAUGCCCUUGUCAUUACUUGUAUAUUCCUUCGGGUAUGUGUUGUCCACUAGUGAUUUGCAGGAAUAAAAAAAUAAGAAGAGCUAAAGUCCAAGCACAAAUUAGACAGAGAACAAAUGAUGACAUAAGGUAAGAAAGGAGUGCAACAAAAAAGAUAGUUGGUGCAUGAACAAAACACAUAACUAGUCAAGCAAGAAAAGCUUCCACAAGGUGUUAUGGCUUCAAGAUGCUUCAAUACUCGGGGGCAACUUGCUCGCGGCGGCGAUUUUUCCACGUACCACUUGCGUACUGCGAACUCCCUGCCAUCCAUAUCCCUCCGCCAGCUGCAGUCGCCGAGGCGCCGCCAUGGACCUCGAUCAUGGCCGUCCCAAGGAAGAAGAUGGUCAUCUCGUCUUUUUUUUCUUCUCGUGAUCAUUCUAGCCUGCCAUAGCCACCCAGGUGGGGGAUCUGCGGCAGCCUAGAGUGCACGCGUCAUCGGUUAACACUAUCCGUUGCAAGUAAGCCUAAGAAUUCCAAACAGUACAACAUUUUACUUUUGUUCAAGCAUGUUCGCUUCAUGGCUGUAACUACUGUUUACUAAUUUAUUAUAAAAGAAAAAUUGAUUGGUGGAAAAAAUACGGCUUAUAAAACAAGCGAACCAGGCUAGUUGAAAACAGAGCAUUCGGAUGGAAAAACACUGUUGUUCAGCAAUAGUUGAAGCGUUAAAACUCUAGUUGUGGUCAGAAAUCUCUGUCAAGUUGCGCACUGCAUGUCUGAAUUCUUGUUACGUAUAAAUAUCUUUUCAUGGGCAUCCAUUCAUAAUUUUAUUCUGCUAUUGAAAACAAAGCAUUCAGAUAGAAUUUGUGCAUGCCUACUUUCAUUGUUCCUUCGGAUCAUCUUUCGUUAACAAAUACCCGUCAUGUAGCAAAAUUUUUCAAGAAAAAGGGUACAGUGUGUCCCACAGCAAUUUCACCAGAAUAAUAGUGCCUUAUACCAAAUAGAUUAUGAUCCUUACUUGUAAUUUGUAAAACUGGCUGCCUCAUUCCAGACGACAUUGAGUGCUUCCUUUCAACAUGAUAUGAAGAUUUUGAAAUCCGAUAGAAAGGGGCACACGUGACUAUGAGAUGUUCAGAUCUUUGUCUAGCAUUAGCCACCGUCUGGUAUAGGAUUCCAGUGUCGUGGAUGGCCAAAUGCUAGAGUGCUAGCUAAAUCGGGUAGGGUGAGGAAUAUAUCAGCUGCUUUUGAUGUGCGCUCUCCUUUAAUUUGUUGGCAGGAAUGUCGCCUCGGGCGUCCAUGGAAUCCGUCGGUCCUCCUGCAUGCAGAGUAAAGAACGUCAAGGAAGGGGGAUGGACGGAUGGAAAAGGGAAAAAGGAAAAAGGAAAUCGACCGGGUUCCCGCAUACAGGCAUACAGCAGGACACCGCGUGAGUCUAACGCAAGGCAUAUGCAUGUGACGAGUCAUUCGCCAGCUUUUUCCCCAUUUGUGUUGAACAUUGGCAUUCACAAAGCAAUUGUUUGGUUGAGUGUUGUUUUUUCCCCAUUUGUGUUGAACACUGGCAUUUACAAAGCGAUUAUUUGGUUGAGUGUGAUAAAAUUUACCGCUCAUCGUAGUAUAGAAUGUUUGAACACAUGCAUGAAGUACUAAAUAUAGACUAUUUAUGAAACUAAAAACACAGCUAGAGAGUAAUUUAUAAGACGAAUUUUUUGAGCAUAAUUAAUCUAUGAUUAGACACUAAUUGCUAAAUAAAACAAAAAUAUUAUAGUACCUGUUAAACUUUAACAACUUCAACCAAACACCCUCAAAGUCCAGCAAAUGCCUGGCAGGUUAAAGGUCCUUUGGAUAUGUCAAACGCCACACGGGUUAGAUCCAGUUCUCAGAAACCAAGGGUCGGGGGCGAUCCACUCCUUCGUCCGCUCAUCAUGUGUGUGCUUGCGCAAGUGCUUGGACCAUCCUUUCCAUUCAGCUCAAUAGUGAAACUCUAAUGGUGAACAUUUUGAACUUAAUCAUUGCGAAGACUCUCCGAUGACAUCACAUUGCCUCUUACUGGAACAUCCUUGCUGUUGUCAUCAAUAUAGUAUUUGGAACUUUGCAAAAAGCUCUAGCUUCAGCAAAUCAUCCGAAGAUUAUCCGAUGUUCUCCGCCAUCACAGUUGGACCAUCCACUAUGGAAUGGGGUCCAUUCACUUCCAACUUCCACCGAGGUCUAACUUGUUAUAUUAGAUUCCUUGCUAUAUGAUUAAGCUCCCUUGACCAUUUGUUCACCAUGUUGAGUUUCUCACACAUUGAACACUUGGUCGAGCUUUUUUGUACUUGAAUAUGAUCCCCUUCCGGUGAUGCCUAAUUUUAUUGAGAGAUCUUUAACCUUCAUUUCGAUACGGAGUCCUUGAUCACCUUUUCAUCAUCACUAAGGGACAUCUUCAUAUGUUGUGACCUAACAUAAAACAUGUUUCUCCAAAAACAUUCAUCAGUUAUACAUACAAAGUUGUCAUUAACCACCAAAACCACUUACCUGAGAGGUUGGGAUUCUUACAACCAUUGUUAACACAUACAAACCAUCGAUUUUACUUUGCACGGAUAUUGGAGGCCUUCACUUGAGAAGAAGAAAAAACGCGUGAGAUCGAUUUGCUUUCGUGCUAGAACAUGAUAGGGAGGUGAAGAAGUCGCGUGACUUUCCAUUCACGUAAAGAUUGGUAGCUUUUUGUGAGAAAUAGUGUUGGAGGUUAAUUUUUCAUGUGCCCCCAAAAAAAUGCCAGCUUGAUAGAGUCAUUUUAUCAAACUCUUUGAGAUGGUCGAUGGUUAGUUGUUGCGUUAGGCUGCAAUUCAACAUGCCCUUGCUAAUGAGACCUUGUUUAGUUCAGAAAUUUUUUUGGUUUUGGCUACUAUAGUAAUUUUAUUUUUAUUUAGCAAUUAUUGUCCAAUCAUAGAUUAACUAGACUCAAAAGAUUUAUCUUGCGAUUUACAUACAAACUAUGCAAUUAGUUUUUAUUUUUAUCUAUAUUGAAUGCUCUAUGUAUGUGUCGUAAGAUUUGAUAUGACAGAGAAUCUUGAAAGGUUUUGAUUUUUGUAUUGAACUAAACAAGGCCUGAGUAGGAAUGUAAUAUUUGGGACAUACUGUUACCUCUCACGGUGAAAGAGAAUUCUGACUUUGCAAAUGAGAUUUAUCAUAGCCAGUGCGAAUUCGCCUACCAGACAUGCUCGAUCGUCUCGUCUCCUCACAAACAUUGACCCCAUCUGUCAGCCAGUCGCGGUCAACGGUUCGUUUGAACUAAUAGCUGUUGCUAGCGGCGCGGCUGCCCGCUGCCUUGCAAGAAUCUUCUAAGGCCUUGUUUAGUUUCGAAAAUUUUUCGGUUUUCGAAACUAUAGCACUUUCGUUUCAAUUUGACAAACAUUAUCCGAUUAUGGAGUAACUAGACUUAAAAGAUUCGUCUCGUGAUUUACAAGUAAACUGUGCAAUUAGUUUUUAUUUUCAUCUAUAUUUAAUACUCCAUACAUAUGCCGUAAGAUUCGAUGUGACGGGGAUUUUUGAAAAGAUUUUGGUUUUUGAGGUGAACUAAACAAGGCCUAAUAUGGCCAUGUUUGGCUGACGGCAACCACCGCCCACACAAGAGAAGCGGUCAUCGUCACUCAGCUUCAGCUUCUUCGUCUUGCCGUGGCCGUGUGUGUCCCGUGUCCGUGUGGAUUCAAAUCCGCUGACCGGCGGCCGCCUAUUUAUGCCCUACCCCGCCGGUUUUCUCUUCUCCUUUCCACGCUGGUCCACGCGGCUCCAACACCUGCCUGCCUGCCUGCCUGUUACACCAACCACGCGCGCCAAGCCGAAGCAGCCGUCGUCUUCCACCGAUCCGCCCGCCCGCCCGUUCCCCAUUGCUUGCCAAAUUGCCAUGGCGCAGCAGCAGCAGGUGGUGAGGCGGGUUCUGAAGGUGGCGCCGCCGGGGAAGGGCGACGGGGAGUGCUUUCCCACGGUGCAGGCGGCGGUCGACGCGGUGCCGCUGGGCAACCGGGCGCGCGUCGUCAUCCGCCUCGCGCCGGGGGUCUACAGGGAGCCCGUCUACGUCGCCAAGACCAAGAACUUCAUCACCAUCGCGGGGGCCUCGCCCGAGGCCACCGUCGUGUCGUGGGACAACACCGCCACGCGCAUCAAGCACUCACAGGUACGCGGCGGCGUCUGCUCCCUCACUCUCUCCGCCUGCCUGCGUCCUGCUCGACGAAAUGCCCGGCAGGCUUGUGUGCAUGUGCUACGGUCGGUCGCUGUGAUUAGUAGGUUCAUUCCAAGGACUGCGGUUGCCUGACCUGAUGUGGAUGUAGCUGGUCAAUAUACACCUUAGUUACUACUUCUUCCAUCCAAAUCAUAAGACGUUUGACUUUUUUAUCUCAAGUUUGACCACUCGUCUUAUUCAAAAAAAAAUUAUAUAAAUAAAGUCAAAUUUAAGUCAUAUUUUUAGAACUUUUAUUAAUAAAUCAAGCCACGACAAAAAAAGUGAAAUUUUGCACAAAUUUUUGAAUAAGACGAAUGGUCAAACUUGGUGUCAAAAAAGUCAAACGACUUAUAAUUUGGGAUGGAUUGAGUAAUUAAUAAGAAUUACAUGUGUUUCAGGCUUUGAUCGUUGCACGCAAUGAACCUUUCUUAGUUUCGGUCACAUAGUUUAGUUUGAUCAAAGUCAUACAAACCUUUAGCCUUUGGGGGUUUAUUAUAAGAUAAGAUGCAUGUUUCUUUCCCCUCCUUUCCGUAUAUCAGCCUAUAAGCAUGGACAAUACAGCUGGUGCAUAGAGACAACCGUAAACUGUUUUCACCAAUUUUGACAGAGGUGUAUAAGAUUCUCAUAUCCUAUGAGCACAAACGGAUAUUCGAUUAGGCAAUUCUGUAGCCACACCCCCUUGAGUUUACUCCUGAUCACAGCUCUAAAUGUGCUUAACAUUUUGAAUAAUUCUUAUUUAUAUCUCAUAAUGAUGAACUGUGCUGUUUUUUUCUCAUAAAGUCAUCCAGGGUUAUAGGAACAGGAACAUUCGGCUGUGGUACGUUCAUUGUUGAGGGGGAGGAUUUCAUUGCAGAGAAUAUUACGUUUGAGAAUUCAGCUCCCCAGGUAUUGGUUCUUUGCUUCUUCUCCUGGCAUAAACAGAUGAUCAUGCUGUUGGUGUGAGAUGGGAAGUUGAUGCGUGCUACUCAUUGAUACAGGGCUCUGGGCAGGCUGUUGCACUCCGGGUGACCGCAGAUAGGUGCGCUUUCUACAACUGCAGGUUCCUUGGUUGGCAAGUACGUCUGUCUCUUCAGCUCCUAGUGAAAUCGCCUCAGCAACCAGGAUAUAAGAAUCAACAAUACUUUUCAAUAACAUUUGGAAACUCUGACUCCAAUCAAAUUUUAACAGGACACAUUAUACUUACACUAUGGAAAACAGUACUUAAGAGACUGUUACAUUGAAGGCCACUGUGAUUUCAUCUUCGGUAACUCUAUCGCCCUUAUGGAACAUUGCCAUAUCCAUUGCAAAGCAGCAGGAUUUAUUACUGCUCAUAGCCGGAAGUCCACAUCAGAAUCUACUGGCUAUGUAUUCUUGAGGUGAGUCUGUUGUAUGUUGUUUGUUUAAUAUGGCACUCAAAUAUUUCGUAUUUUUAAAACUUUAUUUGCUUGGUUUGUUUUACAAAAACUAUUAAAAUGUUUCUUUAGCAAGUUUUUGCUCUUUUUGUUUUGACACUUCAGGUGUACUAUUACUGGAAAUGGAGAUGGUGGAUAUAUGUUCCUAGGUCGGCCAUGGGGGCCCUUUGGAAGGGUUGUCUUUGCAUACACUUUUAUGGAUCGAUGCAUUAAGCCUUCUGGGUGGCAUAACUGGGACAAAUCCGAGAAUGAGCGAACUGCUUGCUUUUAUGAGUACAGGUAAUAAUUGGACAAUUCCAUGUAACUAUCAGCUAGUGAUAUUAAACCUCCAUAGUUGUCUUGUCACUAACACCAAUCAAUCCUCAUGAAGACUAUCGACUUAUGUUCUUUGGUUGUUCUGGUUGUAAUAUGAUUGUGUUGUUGUGAAUCUAGUGUAUUGGGGAUGGAUGAUGUAGAGCAUAGACUGACUGCAGUGGUAUCUGCUAAUUAACACUGGUUUCUGCAGGUGCUCCGGGCCAGGCUCCCAGCCGUCGAACCGGGUGACCUGGUGUAGACAAUUGCUGGAUGUUGAAGCAGAGCAGUUCCUUGCACACACUUUUAUCGAUCCAGACGUUGAUAGGCCAUGGCUCCUCCAGAUGAUGGCAAUAAGAGUACCAGCCUCAGCAUAGUUUGAUCCGAGGUCCUGGUUCAUGCCUCCUUUGUAGCCCAUCUAAUAAAUAAUAAUAAAGUUGGUGGAUGCGGAUGCAUUUUAUAUUUAUAUAAGUUUGUAAAGUUUGUUCAAUUGGUAUCCACUUUUUCUCAUUGAGGGUGGUGGGGGUAGAGAAUGAGAGAGGUUUUGCUGUGAGAAGCUUGUAACGAACUCGAGCACUGGGCUGAAAUACAUGCAGAUAUUAUUUUGCAUGUCCUGUUUUUUUUUCAAUCUGAUAAAAGUGCACAAACGUUUAUACAUGAAGAAAAUGUGGCGUCCCGUUGCAGUUGCAGGUUUUUCUCCCCUGAAUGCAGCGGUGAAGCUGCCUGCUGCAGGUGUGCAGUGCUGCUGAUUUCUGGAUGAAAUUCAGCCACGGACCAGUAUGCAGAUUUUAUACAAGAAGUUGUGCCGCUAAACUUUUUUUUAAAAAAAAAGAAGUACCUGAAAGGAACCCUUUUAUGAUGUGGGUACAAGUGUAGAACCGGUUGGUAGUGGAUGCACAGCUAGCCUGUUGAAGUUAGACACUGACCAGUCGCGGAGCUAGAGCAAAUAUGAGGGGGGUGCGUUUGCCUUGUGGGUGCGUAGGAUUUUUCUAUGUGGGUGCAAAUAUGGUGAAAAAUUGAGACACUGACGAAGAGCUGUUGGACAGCAACGCGGUGAUGCGCCUGCCUGAACAAAUGGUCGAACAGAUGAGCUGAACUUGUUGCAAAAGUCGUAAUGCGCUACAGUAACGGGAGGGAUCUGGCACACACAUUUCGCGGUGAGUGAGUACGCAGCACAGUAGCAGAUUGUUGGAUAGUAAGAACGUAAUUUUCAUCCUUCAUGCCUCUUGAAUAAAUACUAGUAGUACCUGACUACCUGUGAUGUUGGACGGAAAAGUACAGGCCGGGAGCCCUCCCCUGCCCAACACAAGUUGAAGUUGUGAUCUCUCUCUCUCUUCAUCAGUGUCUAGUAGGCUUGGGACAUGCAUGCACGGCUCUUCUUGGCUCUCUCUUGGAGGCUCUUGAGCUUAGCAGUUCUACGUUGUGGAAAUAUCUAUGUUCCAGAAACGUGAAUAUUCUUCUUCUCAUGGCGAGGCGUGCAAUACGGGUCCAGUAGCGUCGCCGUCGGCCGUGGAUAUUCAGGGCCAGCCGGCCAGGCAAGCAAAGCACAGCUGAUCAUGGACAGACAAACAGCGAUGGCAACGGCCUGCCAGCAACACAUAACGACAGGGCCCACGUACGGCCGUGCUAUAUAUGCUAGCUUUGUUUUUUUUUAAAAAAAAACUGUUUGUCAUUGUGGGUACGAGUUCCCAAAUAAUUUAAGCCUUGUUUACUUCCAUCAAAAAACUCAAAACUUUUCAAGAUUUCCCGUCACAUCGAAUCUUUAAACGCAUGCAUCAAGUAUUAAAUAUAGAUGAAAAUAAAAACUAAUUACACAGUUUGGUCGGAAUUGACGAGACGAAUCUUUUGAGCCUAGUUAAUCCAUGGUUGGACAAUAAUUACCACAAACAAACGAAAAUGCUACAGUGUCGCGAAAAUUUUCACUUCAUCAACUAAACACGGCCUAAGAGACCAUGGACGGAUUUACAACGUUGGAUGUAGAUUGAGAUGGAAGGACAGGCAUCAAGCUUCAUCUCCAUCUUAAUUAUAUCUAAACAAGAGUUUUAUAUACACUGUCAGAUGAGUCUCAAAGCUUGCUCCAUCAGCCUAAUUAAGUUUAGAAUUGUUCGUCUCUAACAUGUGUAUAUAUGGGUCUCAGGUCAUGGGUGUUUAAUUCAAUUAUUUGUAGGGAGAGAAACAGCAACAUCAUCAAGCACCCCCAGCCUAGUAAAGGCGCUUAUUUCUGUUUCUGCACCCAUAUCUCCGGUGGUAGCUACGUCUGCGUGUGCAAAGCACACCUGAGACGUUCCUGUCGUCUACUAAUCAAGCAUUGAUGCUACAAGAUAUCAUAUACAAUAGUAAGUUAGUAACCCUUUUUAAUCUACUCUUAUUUUUUAAUAAAAAAAUGUAGAAGCUCUGCCGCUCAGUUAAGUAAGGGGAAAAGGUUUAUGUACAUAUUUUAACCUACUCGUACGUUGGCACAAGAAAUUAAUUAAUCUAAAUAUAGGUCAUCUUCUAUUCUAGAUUUUUUGCUAGCCAAAUAUAAAAAACGAAAAUGGUUCUCUAGAGUGUGCAAGAGAUAUAGAAAAACUGAGAGUGAAAUUUAUGAGAUGCUCUUGCAGAUUCAAACAGCUAGGACCCCAACGGCGCAUGCAAUGCAAAGCAACAUAUCCAUAUGCUGUUGUGUGCUACGUACAUUAAAAUCUCUCAUCUGACACCGUCCAAAGAUAGUAGUUACAAUGGCAUGAAUGAAUACGAGUGUACACAAGCACAAGAAGGCGACUACAAAAUAAAGAAUCGUCAGGCGCCGCUCCGUGGUGCCUUCUGAAAUCCUUCACUGCGCCGCUGCUGCGUCGCCGCCACCGCAUUUGGCACGGCCUUUGUCGUCGUUGUCGCCGUCGACACGUCCACGGCCCUGUGGCUGGCGCACCCCGCCAGAAUCCCGGCCGGCCGGUGCCCCCGCAGCUGCCUUCCAGCGACAGGAGGACCUCUCGCGCCGCCGCCGCCGACCCAUCUGGCGGGGACGCGGUCGCCGCGCUCCGACGCGUCCGCGGUCACCACGCUCCACUGGAUGCUCGCCUCGCUCGGCUCGUAGGGGCAGUCGCCGAUCAUCAGGCUCUUGAUCUCGAACAGGUCGGAGCUCGACUCGCUCCCGGCGUCGUCGUCGUCGUCGUCGUUGUCGUGGAGGUGAUGCGCGCCACCGACACCGCCACGGCCAACUUUACCUGCUCCGCCGGGAUCGCCGACGCGGCCGCCGCUCGCCGCCGGCACGUUGGCUCUGACCGGAGCCACCAGGGUAAAGUUGCUUCUCCUCCUCAUAGAACUUGGGAAGGUGAGCUCGGCAGCAGCUUCCUUCUCCUCCCCUGUCGUCACCUCCCUCCCGAUGGCCGCCACUUUCGCCGUCCCAAGAUUGAAGCUUGGCGGGAGACCGGCGGCCACCAGGCCAUGACUGUUGCCAUCCCCAGAGAGUCCGAGGGCGGCCUUGUGCAUCCUCAGCUCUCUGUACCAGUCGAUCCCGGUCGCCGCCGCCGGCUCUGCGGCGUCGGGAGCUAUUUCCUUGGCCGCGCAGCCGUCGUCCACGCGCACCGACCGCUUCCCGGAGCACGUGCGCAUGAGCACGCCGACCUGGACGCAGCACUUUUUGUCGCGGGGGGGACUGCGCCGUCGACGGAGCCCGCCCCGGAAGAGCGCCGUCUGGCUGUUGGCGCUGGACGCCGCCGAGCUCGCGGUGAAGCUCGCCGUCGACGCGCGCGUCGAAGACGGCUUAGCCAUUACCACGGCCUCCGCUGCUGGCCUCGCAGCGGCCGUCUCCACCAACGGCUGCUGCACCUGCACCGCUCCCGCGGGGAAGGUGACACCAAAACCUUCCUUGCGGUCGUCCCCGUCGUCGUCCAUUGCGCCUCUGAAGUAGCGCUCGGCGGAGAACACGUCAAGCUCGCCGUCAGCGUACGUGCGCCGCCGGCUCGCCAUGGCAUGCGCCGGCAACGGCCGCGGCGCCGCGCGGCCAACGUCGGCGUUCCGGCCCAUGUCAAGGUACGACGACAGGGAGCUGCCGUUCCAGCGCCUCCCGCUGAUGGCGUCGUCGAAGCUGACCACCUUGCCGCCACCAUUUCCCGAUCGCCCCAUCUCCAUGGUGCAGUGCAAGUGCAGCCAACACACACCAGUACAUACAAGGAUGAAGAAAAUGGUGUGGCCAAAGGAGAUGUUGUGAAUAGGCGCACUUAUAUAGACAUCACAGUACACAUCACCAAAAUAAAAAUGAAGAUAAAAAUUAUAUGGACACAUGAAUUUCACCAACUGUUCAUGUACGAAAACUACUACUAUUAUUAUCAUAAUAAUUCAAUUCAACGGAGAAAUAAACCUAAUUGCCAAUUUUGUCUGCAUGAUGGAAUAACUGCAACGGCAACAGGGAGGAGAUGAGGAGGCUGCAGGCCUGCAGCCUGCAGUGAAGUUUGUUCUGCUGGAGCACCGAUGGCCAUAUAUAUGUUUCUUUAAUUAAUUUAGCAACGUUUGAUGAUCCAAAAUUGAAAAUGAGACGGUAGCUGCUGCCUUUGACAUGAUCCAUCCUCCCUGACACUCAUGCUAACAACUAAAUUUGAAACUGUUGUGCAGCAUGACUCCGACAGUGACCCUGCUGCGAAGGCGACAAGGAAACCGUUGCUGUUCGUCGUCAGGGAAAAAGAAAAGGGCAACGAUGGCCGUUUCCUGUCCAUGAUCUGCCAAUGAGACACCAAAGAAAUUUCAACAACAGUGAUGCUUUUCGUCUCCAGGUAACACUUGGGAUGCAUGAUAGGAAGGGUCUUUAUCUUGCGAGAUGCUAAUUUCCCGGGGGGAAAUUAUCAAAUAUGUGAAUUUACGAACCGGAUUUUCCGAAUCAGGAGGCCAACCGCACAAGGUACUAUCUAUCUGGAACAGUGGUAGGAGCAAGACAGUCGGGUGUUUUAUGCAACAGUUGAGCUGUAGGCGUGUACCAUGGAACAGUUCAUCACUCUGCUCCACAAACCGCUCUUAUACUGUUCUUCAAAAAUCUGCUAUGCUGUCAUCACUGACGAUAUCCAGGGGUGUUUGGUGGUCAUCAUUUUCAUUUCACUCUUUAGUUUUUUGUUUGAUUUGUAGAACAUAAUAUGUUGAUCCAUUAUCACCAAAAUAAAUGCCUCCUAACAAAAUGGCUGGUUAAUCUGUUGAAUACAGAAGGUAUAUGGCAAUCUCUUUUAAAGAAUAAAUACCUAAGUUCUAAAAAUCUAUCCCAGGUCACGGCUAAGCCAAUGACUCUCAUUUUUGGAGAGGCCUAAUGCGCAUCAAAGAGGAGGUGUUGGCAAAGGGUUCUUUCGAUAUUAAGGAUGAACCACAACUAGAUUUUGGGAUGAUACAUGGAUAGGUGAUAAGCCUCUGAAAAUUCGCUAUCCAUCUUUAUAUAAUAUAGUGAGAGAUCCUCACGCUACAGUCUCAAAGGUUAUGAGCACUAGCCCAUUGAACAUUUCUUUUAGGAGGGCUCUGGUGGAUAAUAAACUUACAGAAUGACUUAGUUUAGUAGCAAAUAUCUUUCAUGUCGAACUGGUGGAUGAAUCAGAUUAUUUUAGAUGGAGUUUAACCAGAUCAGGUUUAUUCUCUGUGCGAUCCCUGUAUCUCCAUCUUAUAGAUACAAAUAUACCUUUUCGUCAUAGAAAGAUCUGGAAGAUAAAAGUACCUUAAAAAUAAAAAAUUUUCUUUGGUUCCUGCAAAGGGGUGUCGUCCUUACCAAAGACAACCUAGCCAGAAAAAAUUGGAAAGGGAGUCAGAAGUGUAUCUGCUGUAAUGGGAAUGAAUCUAUUCAACAUUUAUUCCUAGACUGUCCUCUUGCCAAAAUGAUUUGGAGGUUUAUCUUUUAUGCUACUAAUCUGACUCAACCUAGAUCAAUCAGCCACAUGUUUGGUAAUUGGCUAUCUAAUCAGAAUAAAAAGAUUAGAAAUUUGAUUUGGGUAGGGGUGGCUGCUAGGCUAUUUGGAGAUGUUGUAAUGAUGUUGUUUUUAAUAGAAUAAAAUCUAACUCUAUUAUGCAGGUCAUUUUCAGAGGAGCGUACUGGUUAUGCUUUUGGGCCCAAUUGCAGCAUGAAGAGCAAGCCAAGGACGCGCUCUCGAUGAUGAGCAAGAAAUUAGAAGUCAUUGCGUUAGAGCUAUCCAAUAAAGGAUGGAAACAUUUAUAUUGUUUGAAAUAGCGUUAUGGUCGUUUUAUAAGACUAUGGCUUCCUCUUUUUCACUUGAUCCAAGUUUCUGUAAUUUUGGGCUGUGUACAUACUUAGAUGUAGAGGCCAGAUUGUUAUCCAUUAUCUAAAAAAAAUUAGUACCAGUACGAGAAAUGUGGUCAUUCUAUUAAAUUUGAGGAAUGGACAAACAAAACACUCCACGAGUGUUUUGAAAAACUGCACCGUGCACAUAGAUUGGAGAUAUUCUUCUGGUAAUGAUAGGAAGCAGCGCUUUUGGGAAGAUAACUGGUUUGGGUAGCUUAGCUUUCGCUUGAGCUUAUCAGCCGAAUCCGCCAACCAUUCAGCAGUGUUUUUCUCUCACUGUCAUGGCUUAUCAGCCAAAUGAAAAGAGGUACUAUAGCAGAUUGUUGGGAUGCAGAGCAGCUCAUAGUUACUUUUAAGAAAGUAGGGUAUUGUCUCAGGGUCUGAUGAAUAUGUGGCAGGGCCCUAUCCAGAUAGCUGAGAGCAUCAUUUACACUAAUGAUAGUGAUGGGACCAUUUGGGCUUAUAACUCUAAUGCCAUAUAUUCAUUUCAAUCCUUUUUUUCUGCUUUUAUUAAGAGAAGAGAGAAUUGCAUCCAACAAUGAUCCAUGAUUCUAGCAAGUCUGAACUUAACAAUAUCAUUGACCGGAAGGGGUGACCUACACAAUCCUUGCGGUAGAAUCUCAUCUUACUCGGAGGCAAACAAUCUGCAACCACGCGCAGCUAAGUACUCCUAAAAUGUGUCGCAAGUUUAACUAGAUUUAUAAAAAAUAUAUGUAAAAUUUGUAUCUCUAAAUAAAUUUGUUAAAAAAACUAGAUUUAAAGAUCUUUCCAAUGAUAAUAAUUAUGUACCAUAAAUAUUAAUAAUUAUUAAUAUAUUUAGUUAAAGUUAUUUUUCGGAAAACGAGAACGACCGUUAUUUUAAGAUGAAGGGAGUAUAUACAAAUGGAAAUAACAAAGUGACAACUAAAGCGACGUGAAACGACCUAAGCUACAAAUACGUCCACGCAACUCUCUGUCAGCGGUGAUCGGUGAGCACAAGGGGGCACAGCCCCCUUCUUGCGACCAUGAUGCUUGAUGACUUGUUAAACAUCAUAAUAAAAGACCCGACCACUGCUUGACGCCUAACAUCUUCAAAAUUCUUCACCAAUGAAAGCCCACGGUUAGGAGUUGAGUCGUUGUACUCAAUGAUCACCUUUACAGGAGUUAAGCCAGUAGUUUAUGUUCCAGCUGUUUGGAAGCUCGCUGUCACUCCCUGAGUUCAUAUCGACCUGUUAACUAGAGGUAACUUGAGUAAAGAAGGAAGAUAGACGAUCAAUCAUGUUUCUUUUGCUGCGAAAAAUAAUCAAUUGAACAUCUUUCUUUGAUGGCAUUAUUGCUUGCAAUCUUUGGCAUUAUCACUACUUUUAUGAAUGUACAAGUGGGUGUUGACUUUGAGGGGUUUUUUUUUAACUUUGUUGACUUUGAGUUAAGUGAUUGCUGCUGCUGCUGGUGGGUAAGUAACAAGAAAGGUACUCCCUUCAUACGCAUAAAGAAAGUCGUUUAGAACAACGACACGGUCUCUAAAAUCUAACUUUGACUCUUUAUUUUUAUAAAAAUAUUUAUUGAAAAGUGGUAUAUGUAUAUUUGUAUGGAAGUAUUUUUCAAGACAAAUCUAUUCAUAUAGUUUUCAUAAUUUUAAACUUAACAACUUAAAAGUUAUCUAAGAUUUAUAUUCCUAAUGGUUAACCUAAAUUUUAUCCAAAAUGAAGUACUGUUGGCUGAUAAGCCAUGGCAGAAAGUACUAUUGGCUGAUUUAUUAUGAGAGAAAAAUAUUGCUGAACCGUGUGUGCGCUGCUCUGUUAUGGUGCAUUUGGAAGAAACAUAAUGAUCUAUGUUUUCAGGGCAAGGCGUGGAAGCAUCUGAACCAACUGAUGGAAGACAUAUCACAUAUGCAGCUCUUCAGGUUCAGGAACUGGCUGGUGCGGUGACUGCUAACACAGCACACCAGUGAUGCUCCUUCGUUAGUUUAGUCAUCCUGAUAAUGAGGACCGUGUGAUUAGCACUCAAACAGUAUAUCAACCACGGGAAGUGCGGCAUCUGCAGCUUGGUCUCCUAGCAGGACUUGAACUUCAGUUUGGUAUGUCUUUUCUGUUGACCUUUAUUUUGGAGGUGUUUACAUUCGGUAUGAACUUUAUUUGCAUGGAGAUCAUCUGCAUCUUCAAGUUGUGAUGCUUUGUUUUAAAAUUAUGUCUGUUUCAGGCCUUAUUUGGAACAUUUUUUUUCAAUGGAUUUCACAGAAUUUUCACUUGAAUCAAGCAAGAUGCAGGCCCUGUUGGAACAAAAUAAAAGAUAGAAAUUUAAGAAGAUCCCAAUCCCAUAGGAAAAUUUCUUAUAAACCACUUUGGGACAGAAGAUUUAACUAUAUGAAAUUCAUUUGGAUUCCUAUGGAUCCAAGAGUCAAUGAGAAUUUUUAGAAGAAAACAAACAUGAGGGUAAAACUAAUGCAAAAUUCAUUCGUGUUUCUAUCUGUAUAGAUUCUUGAAUCUUUCCCUUGUUUCUUUCGUGCUUCCCUUGUUUCUAUGUGUUUAAACCCUCAAUAUGGCCUUUGGAUCUACAGAGAUAGAAACACGAAAUAAUUUUAAAAAAUUAUGUAAAAUUCUUGAAUUUUAUAGGCAACAUACAUGAAUUUCACAAAACGGUUCCUUUUUCACAGGAGGCCUUCGUUUAGGCUCACAAGUUUCGUAUAACUGUGACCCUACGUUUUCUCUAUCCUAUGUUUUGAGGAUCCUAGGUUUAAAAGAAAAAAGAAAUUAUCUUGUUCCAAAGGAGCUGUAGAUCUCUUUCUCCCAACAACCGUAUGAAAUUCCCCUGAAACAGGGAAAGCAGAGAAGAAAUAGCUUUUGUUGAGUAAAAAAUGUGGUUAUGUGGGUGGGGGUAUCCUGUUCUCUGAAACAUAAUUGUCGAAUUGAAUAAAACAAGAUACCAUGAUAUGCUUCCUCAAAAAAAAAAAAGAUACCAUGAUAUGACAUGACACACUGAAAACCUGUGUUUGGUAGAGUUUUGUCUGUCCGAUUCCGCUGCAUCCAAACUUCAGAGUCCAAUGCUAUGCGCCAAUAUCUCAAAUAGGAGAUUUGGAGCCUCUUGGUUUGAAAUAAACGAAUGAUCAACGAUUCACGGGUGUGAUUAGCACUCAAACAGUAUAUUGACCGCGUGAAGUGCGGCAUCUGCUGUUUGGUCUCUUGGCAAGGCUUGGACUUGAGUUCGUUCCCCUUUUCUCUUGGAUUCAUAUGAGAUGGAUGAAGCAAUAGGAACUUUUGGAGGAAAACUAAUAUGAGGUUAUGCAAAAUUCCAUUGUGUUUCUAUCUUUAUAGAUUCUUGAAAUUUCCCCGUGUUGCAUUCAAAUUGAAUGCACGAAUUUCAUAGAAAUCAUGAAUUUCAUACGAAUCGAUUUAUUUUAUGUGAAAAGUGCAGUAAAUAGACAUAAAAGAUCCCGUCUACUAAAAAAAGAAAAACAUUCAGGUAGGAUUAAAAGGUUCCGUACAACAGUGAUCCUAUCUGCCUGUACUAUGUUGUGAUGAGAAUGGUAUGGAGAGAGAGAGAGAGAGAGAGAGAGAGAGAGAGAGAGAGAGAGUUCUUCCAACUACCAUAUGAAAUUUCCCUAAAAUAAAAAAUAAAAAGGAGAAAAUUAAGAAAUAGCAACGGUGGCGGCGUCAGCAUCAGUGAAGGGGGUUACCCGUACUAAAGUGUGGCCCUAGAAGCAAAAUGGCAAUUGUUGAACACUACUUGUCAGAAAUGAAAGAAACAACGGCAACACAAAAUGCAGACAAAGGAGACAGAAAUCUUUUUUUUAAAAAAAAACUUGUGGAUGUCGCCCACAAUGUUUUCCGUGCAAUAUUUGAGGUGACACGAGGCACACGUAUGAUCUUGUGGACCACAAGAAGUGUCUGGUUUAUCUUAGCCAUCACGUAUGGACCCUGCGUCCUAUGUUAUCAUGAUAGGAGUUUGUCACCAUUCUCCACAAAUUAAAAAUUGCAUCACAAUGAUCGUUAGCAUUAUCCAGGUUUGACCGGCAAACCGACCGAGCAAGUAGAUAACACCCAAGAGUUUGUUUGGUGCGACUUGAGCUCACAUGGGGUAGAGCUACACCAAACAAUAUCGACAUGGAGCCACAGCCGUUUCCAAUGUUGGCCGCAUCCUGGUCGGGUCCCCUACAUUUAACAUGGCGCCCAGCGAAAGCUACAGGGUAUGCCUACCCAUGUUCUGAAGUGACGCUGUGAAAGAAUCGUCAGAGCUCUCAAAACCAUGGAAAAGACACUGCAAAUUUUCCAGAUACAUUCGUCAAUUACAGAAGCAACACUGCAGAGCUUUUGCAGUUGACAAUUGCAGCUGACAAGUUGGGAUAUUAUAGUAUUGCUAUUGCACAUGACGAGGGAUGUUUUCUAGACAAACAGAAAUACAACACCGUUUUUAUCAGGGGUGAGGGGUCAUUGAGGCUUCUCUCCUUGUUCUUGUUCUUGUUCACCUUCACCCUUCCCAACAAGCUGUCAACAUUAAAUAAAGCUUGAGUCAGCCCUCAUAAAGAACAUCAUACUAUGAUAGCAUUAUGGCAACACAAUUGUGUCAAUUGAUCAAAUGUCAAAACAUGAUCUGUUUCAAUUUUACAUAGACUCAUCAUAAACCAUGCUUUCCAGUAGUCCGCUCAAACAACUAUCUCAACAGUUUUUUUUUUUUUUUUGACAACAUCUCAACAGUUCAAGAGUUGCAACAAUGUGAAGAAUCAAACAUACAGAAGUAGAGCAGAUGCCGAGAUUGGGGGCAAGGACAGGAACAUUAACAAUUACAGAGACUAAAAUUAGCACAAGGGUAAACUCAUCACGAGAAAGUCCUGCAUCAUAUAGGUAAUAGCUCUCGGAAGAUUAUAAGAUACCUACGACAUGCAGAAACAGCAUGUCUAUAAAGCAAAAACCAUUCAACAAGUAUAUGUAACACAUGGUCAAACUAAAUAGAGAAAAUAAUAAAAAGUUCAGCUGUUAUACCAGGGAACCAAUCAGUUCAUAUGCUUCCAUCACUUUCGGGUCCUCUUCAUCUUCAUAACCAACCUGCAGAAUUCGUGGACCAUUAACUGACCAAAACGACCUGCGGCCAUCAUCCUGAAAAAGGUGAAUUUUCAGUAAGAAUUAAAGCAAGUGGCAGAAUAGCAUGACUACAUGAGAUGUGAGGUAAAAAAUGAUAUAAAGUCAGCCGUUUGCCAAAAUAGCUGUUAUAAAGUAUAUUAGCCCUGGCCUGAAACUGUUUCAUGCUUGGCCUCCCAGGGUAAGUGUCUUUCUGUUACACUAUACAUCUGUGGUGCUGUGAAUACUGAGGCAUCAACACAGCAUCACCUGUGCUAUAAUGCCACAUUGCAGGGUGCUAUCAAACGCCGGGGGGGGGGGGGAGGGGGGGGGGCAUGCGCCACUUGAACCAUCAUUUCAAUUCAUUACAGCUAGAUCAUGUUGAUCUACUGACCACAGCCACAAGUGCAUGUUGAUCUACUGACCUUCGACCAGGCAUGCACCUCUGCGCAUGGAUUCACCCUUCUAGUUUAACAAGUACCCUAUCUUAGAAAAGUGUACUAUGCAGUGCUGGAAAUUUCAUUUACAACAGAAUUAGUAACAAAUCCGCAACCAAAACCAGUCUUUAAUAUGUACACUAAGAAAGUCAAGAGACAUUUCCAAGUUUUUCCUGAGGUAACCAGCUAUAUAUUGUUAAGGUUCACAGUAGAAAUCAUAAUUGCACAACAUGAUCAACAGGACUACAAUGGUAAGAGGUACAGAGGUGGACAAUGCAAUGGAGUUUAUUUAGUCAAGACAUCUUAAAACAAGACAGCAUAGGAUACUGUAUAAUUGAAAAUAGGCAUGCAAAAUGAACCAGGAGUCACUGCCAUGGAAUGUAAAAAUCACCUGCAAUACGAUCAUAUAAAUAGCCUCCAAUGCCUGCUGCCGAAUUUCAGAAUCAUCAACAGCUUCCCGUUCAUGAGAGAGUGCACUCGAUAGCUCAAGUGGCAUUUUCGAUCUGUCUUCUUCACUAUAUAUCUGCAGUAUCAGCCAAAAGCCACAUGAGUAGUAAAUUAACACAUGAAUAUCCAUCAUUCAGCACAAAACAAAAGAAAAGGAAAGUAUUUCUGGGAAAUUACUUUAGGAAGCUAAAAGCCAUAUGUGUGCCUCUUGCACAAAAAGGAUAACAGAUUCACCCUUGCUAAUUAUUGAUCCCUAUGUCUAUACUUUUGCAAAGUGUACCAAGGAAUUAAAUGCGCAACAAAUGCAUUUCUACAUGAAAAUGUAGAAGUAGAGGUCUUCAACAAGAAGAUAAUAUGUUGUCAAAACUUAAACUCUACAGCCAGGCAGUCUUAUUGGAAACAUUGCAAUGCUUGUGUGUUUGAGGAUGCUGGGCCUUGUAUUUCGGAAGUGUUACAGGCAAUGGAAAAUGAGAGUAAUUUGUGGUGUAUGGCUGGUGCGUCAGCUCUCCAUGAACUACUCAUCAGGUUGCUUAACCUUGACACCUAAGGUUAAGGUCUGUUUGGUCGACAUUGAGUCUCUACUGUAAGUAGUGUGUCUGUAACUAGACAUCUGUGGGAGUUGGCCGCCGGCCUCUCCUCAUUUUCUUUCUCUUCUUAAUGAAAUGAAACACAACUCUCCUUUGUCAUUCGAGGAAAAAAAGGAGUCUUCUACAAGAAUAUGCCUUUUAAAACAUUAAGAAAAUGCAACGCAAGAUUGCUCAAAGCAAGAAAACAUACUGCUAGUUCUAAAUUUUUAAUUGUAAGAUGUGCAAUCAGCUCAUGAAGUCUACACAACAGUGGUCAUUACUCAUUAGGGCCACUGGACCAACACAGGUUACUAGUCAAAAGGGAAUGAAAAUUACCCCAAAAAGAAAACAGUGGAACUGACAGUCUGGCACUCGAAAGUUUAUGCCAACUAGAGGCAUACCUCACAUGUUGCUCUGGGAAUUGCGGAUGUUUCAGAAUGAACUUAGACUAUAUAUAAUUACUUAUACAAAGGAAUAAACUAUUAUAAAUAAAUGCUAGUGGAUUAUGUGGCAUGUUGACAUGGACAACAAAAUGCUUGUGUCUUGCUGAUGUGGACAUCACAAUAGCAUGUGAUAGUGCAUUGCUGAGGUGGACAACUUGCAUGUUGAGAUACAUCACUAGUGGUGUUUAGGAUUAUAAGCGAUAUAGAUAAAGGAUACAAUGAUAGAAAUGUUAAUGAUAUGUAGUACCUUCUUUCCAGCUACAGGCAAAAGUAGAGCUGGCCAAAGAUAUUCUGCUAAAGAAAGCAAACUCUGAAGCUGAGUAUCAGCCUCAAAGCAACAGUUACGAAUUGUACCAGCAACCUGCAAAAAACUCAUCAAGGAAUAGAGAAGUACAAAAUUUAGUGGGAAUACAUCAAUUUGAUAAUAACUUAUACUAGAUUCAUAACAUGUCAAUGUAAAUCAAAAAGGAAAAUUAUGGCACUGAAACAGAAACUGGUUUUUAGGCCUGGUUUCCCUCAUAAACUGGGUCAAUUCUAUUUCUUCUUAUUUGAAAGGCAGAGCUUCUGCCAUUGCGUUUAGAAAAAACAGAAACUGGAUACAGGACAGCAACUAGUUCUAAUUGCAGGCAAACCUAGAAUUGGUACAUGCAUACAAAUAACACAGCAAGGAAUUAUGAAAUAAUGCACAUUCCAAUUUACAAAUUGAAUUGUAAGCAAACUGAACUAUUAACAUUUCCCUCUAUAUGUCUGCAGUAGAACCCUUCACAGCAACUCGCUAAAACACAACAGUUGAUGGUAAUAAUUAGCAAGUAGCAAUAGCAACUGAUAAAGAGCUGGUCAAAAGUAGGCAAACCAGGAGCAACCCUUUCAGUAUAGAUGUCACAUUUAUGCCAUCAUAAAGAUUUGGCUGCACGUACCCCUUUCUUUCUAAGUUGAUUUGUUGAAUCAAAUUGUCGAAUAAUCUGCUUCAGAAGACCUCUCUUAGGCUCCAUCAAUAUUCUCCUUCCAGCUUCAACCUUAGAUAUAUUGACAAGUAUGGAGGCAACAUAUUCAAAAAUGUCUUCCUCUGCAUUUUUGUAAAAUAAAAAAGGUUGUUUAGAUGUCAACUGAAUAUUUCAGCGAUGAUUCAAGACAAACAACCACAAAAGUAGUUAAGAGGCUAUGUAAGGGGUCACAGAGAUGAGAGGUAGAUCAAUUAGCAACAAAAAGAAAAGGUGAAUCUGGAAAAGAAGAUUCAUGUGGACAAAAAGAUGCUUCAAGCCAUGUGAAAAUAUUGUAGUUGCAGGAUAAGGUCACAGUAUAAUAUAAUAUAAUCAGACAGCAAAAAAAGGAAAACUUAAAGAAAAGGAGCAAGUUCAAUAUGGAGCAGAAUCUUCUUAAAUAUAACAAAUAAAAAGUAUAAAAAAAUAAUGAAUAAAAUAGAGGAAUUAAUCACAGUUUCUCAUCUGAACAAUGAUUUCAGGUCGUCCGAUUAAUCGUGAUUAAUCGCGAUUAAUCGUCCAGGUCGCUCCUAGGAUUCGAUUAGGAGGUCCGACUCGAUUAGUUCGACCAGAAAGCUGGUCGUCCGAUUAAUCGUCGAUUAAUCGCGAUUAAUCGGACGACCAGGUAAGAUGGACGACCAGGCUUCUGUUUUUUUGGGCCUUUUCUAACUGGGAGUGGGCUAAUGGGCUUUAAGUUUUUGGCCUGUUAGGGUUUAGAUAGAAUAGAGGGGCUGCAGGGGGGGUUUGGGACAGCAAUAUGGACCUCUGGACAGUGCAGAAAAGAGAAGAAACCAACUCCCACAAGUAAUUCACUAUCUAAACACUAAUGUAAUCUUGAUGCUAGCUUGAUUGUGUAUAUUAUAUAGUAUAUAUAGAGGUAUAUAUAUAGGCAUAUAUGCCCUGAAAUAGCUGGACGACCAGGUGGACGACCAGGGUCGACCAGGGCGAUUAAUCGCCCUGGUCGACGAUUAAUCUCGAUUAAUCGCCUGGUCGGUCCUAGAGCGACCAGCUUCGACCAGUCGACCUGAAAUCAUUGCAUCUGAAUGUAGAAGCUACAUUGAACAGAAGAAACUAACCUUCAGAAUCACUGGACGACCUACAGAAUGAUCGCACAAGCUUUGCAACAUACAAGCCUUGCACCUUCUCAUCCCCAACCUUUCAAAAUGAAGGGAGCCACAUAAGUCUUUCCAUGAAUGAUCACCAGUAAGAAUCUCUAUAUAUACUACUAAAACUUGGUGAAGCCGCAGCCUCCACCCCACCCCAUCCACCCACCACAUGUUUGUGCCUCCCUUCACAUAAAAAUCGGCACUCAUAGGUGGGACUCACAUUUCUCUCUCCUCCCCCAUUUAUUCUCUUCCUUUCUCUCUCCACUCUUGUUCUCGGAGUUCAUGGCUACCCAAAAGCUCCGGGAAUGGCAGCAAAUCUGAGUUGUAGGGUGGGCGCUCACUGGCCGCAUCAUCCGUCUGCAUAUGCCAAGGCAAGGCUGCCAUCCGCGACCGCCCUCGGCACCUACGAACUUGAUUGGCGUCGCCCCAUCUGCACUGGCUGUGUGUAUGCCACAGUCACAGCAUAGGAACACACGCUCUCGUCUCCUUGUCACUACUGGCACCACUGGGCCUGGCGUACCUGUCUCCAAGUACUUGACACCUGCCCCGUCCACAACUCUGCUGCAUUGGCGUCCUUCGAUUCAAUCAAGCCGACGCCUUUGACACUAUCUCAGACGUCAAGCCACAACCAAUGUAGGUGUAGUCAGGCACUCAGGCAACAGGCACCGCAGCAGGUGAGUUGGCUCUUCUUUCCACCCCUUCUUCAAUUCAACAUCCAUCCAAAAUAAAAUUAGCACAUAUGGAUGCAUCUCGACGCAGCAAAGUGCCAGCGAACACCAGCUGUUUGUGAAAUGUGCCUUGACCCAACAGUGUUUGUGUGAACGCCAAUUGGUUAAUUCAUUUAUUUAUGUGUGCCCAGUUUUGCUUCUUCAUAUUGAAAGAAUAAAAUGAUAUUUGUCUUUAAUCUACAGCUAUACUAGCAAUUCAUUGAUGUUAAGUACUGUGAACAUUGGCUCACAGGAGGAACAUAUAUGUCUUGGUUGUUAAGCAUAUGAUUUAUCUAUCUAUGCUUUUUUUUUUAAUCUCUUAGCUAGGGACAUAUUAUAUACUCCCUCGGUCCCUCCAUUCCAUAUAAGACGUUUUGGCUUUUCUAGACACAUUGCUUUUACUAUGUAUCUAGACAUAGUGUAUAUCUAAGUGCAUAGCAAAAGUUACAUAUCUAGAAAAGCCAAAACGUCUUACAAUUUGGAAUGGAGGGAGUAUAUCUCAAUCCCAUUACAUGUAGCAUAAUAUACAGCCUGACUGUGGUUUCACAAUGAUAAUAUUUCAGUCUUUACUCUGUUUCUACAGCAGGCAUUUAUUUUUGAUCUACAACAGGAUAGUUCACCGAUAUUGCUGUGGGACCUGAUUAAAUGCUCUUUUUCAGAAACUGAUCUAGAACAGCUAUGGCUUUCCAGGUUAUCUGAACUAAGCUGCAGCACUGGCUUGGUGCAUGUAUAACUGAAACUCAGGCCGAAAGAAGGAUUUAUUGUAAGGUAUUUUUGUUCCCAUGUCCACAAAUAUUACAUUUUAUUUACCAAGGAAUUCGUGACUGCUAGCUUCUCUGUCAUAUAAUUGGAUCGAAGUGGCAACAUUGCAUUCAAUUGUUGUAUCAUGUGCAGGCUUCAUGUUCAUGCUACUGGUUUUGUUUUUGCUACCUAUUUCUUGAUUGUUCUUGGCUUCUUGCCAUUUGUUGCAGAUGAGCUCACUUGAUCUGUUUUUCGACAACUGCAGCAGCUCCCAAGGAUGCAUAAUCAUUUGAAUUACUGUUUAUGCCUUCUCUGCCAUGGUCUUGUGUGUUGCAGAUCCCAGGAUGCAUAAUAAAGGAAUCACAUAGUUCCGCUAGGCGGCGCCUAGGCGCGACUAGGCGCUGGGCGAGGGGUAACCGCCUCGCCUAGGGGGGUAGGCGGCAUCUAGGCGCUGGGCGGCGCCGAGGUGGUCGCAGAGCUGGGCGAGCCACGAAAUUUUGCCCCUGCAGGCUGAUGGCACGGCGCGGAGGCGGACGACGCGGCCUUUCGCACGCGCGCGGAUGGCUUCGGCCGUGGGAAAUCACGCGAAAUCCCCGCCGCCUCCUCCUUCCUCCUGCUCCACCGCCGGCUGCUACCCCGCCCCAAGGUCAGUCCCCUCCCCUGCUCAUCUUCUCUCCCCCCUCCGGCAACUCCUCCCCUGCUCAUCACCCCUCCGCUGCCAGCAGCUCCUCCUCCCCUGCUCCACUUCCUCUCCCCUCCCCUGUUCCUCCCAGCGCCUAGGGAAACGCCUAGAACGCCUAGGCGCGAUUACUCCUGCCUAGGCGCUAAGCGGAGGGUCACCGCCUAGAAUCCGCCUAGCGCCUAGCUGAACUUUUCAAUCACCUGUUGGCUUUCAAAGGAUAGUUUCGAUAUUGUUGCAAUUUCUGCUUCUACAUCCUCAGGUGGUAUUGUGGUUAUUUGGGAAAUGGCAAUUGGGCCCACCCCUGAUUUUAAGAUGGCUUACACUUGUGGACUACGAAUGUUCCUGUCAGGAGCUUAAACUUAAGAGCUAUGCUGGUUUAGCUAUCCAAAUUAUUUCUUUUCUAUCUAUCUUAUAAUAUAUGACCUUGGCGAUUUGGAUUUUUUCAGGAAUGUGUGCUAUUUUUGGGAAUGGAUGGUUUAGAUCACAUGAUCCAGAUUUAUUGUGGGGAUAAGGCGGGCAAGGUUUGUAAUAUAAAUGUUUUGCAACAGCUUUCUUUGUUCAGUGUUCCAUUCUCGCAAUCUCGCUCCUUAUCUGUGAUGAUCAGUGAAAGCACAUCUUCUCCUUGUUAGCUCGUCUCAGGACAUAACCAAACCAUUCGGAUAUGCAAAAUGACUUGAGAAGCUGUUUCUUCUGGCUCCACGGUACAAUUGAGGAAUGGAAAUAUUGAGAUGACCUCCUAAUCGAUUAUCCAAGGAUCUCUAUUCUAGCCAGUAACACAAGUUACCAAGUAUCAUUGAAACUUUCAUGUCAAGGAGAAGGUUAGGGAGGCAAAAGUUGCUCAUUUGGAGCAUCAUCAUUUAUAUAAGCUAUAAGUAGCACUCUCCUUGAGUAGAAUGGCUCAACGGAACGGACCUGGAGGAACGCGGCGACGCCGGACUCGACGUGGGUGAGGUUGACGAGCAGCAUGACGAGGCUGCGAGCGAGGGCCGGCUGCGCCCCGCCUCGCUUGGCCACAACGUCCAUGGCGGCAUCGACGGCCCCGAGCGCGACGAGGCGCGCCGCGAGGUCCGCGUCCUGGCUGAGGUUGACGAGCGAGUCCGCCGCGGCCUCUCCCGCGCCGCUGCCGGCCGCGGAAGCCAGCAGGCGGAGCAGCGCCGGCAGGGCGCGGUCGGCGCGCGCCGUGAGCGCCCGGAGGCCGUCCUCACCGCCCGUCAGCCCGCGCACUAUGUCCACCGCCGCGCCCCGCACCUGGGGGUUGCGGUCCGAGAGAAAGCCGAUCAGCUCGUCGAGCUCGUCGGCCAUGGCGCGGAGGCGGCGGCGGCGGCGGCGUCGAGGGUUUAGCGGGCCUUUUGCUCGGGUUCGGGGAUUUUUUUUUUUUUCUGAGAUGAUGCAGCACACAAACAGCGGCGGCGGGAUGAAUACGGUGAUGUUAGUUUACGUGAAAGUGGCGCGAACACGGAUUUGAUGGAAAUUACGUAUCCUUCGUUGGCGACGCGAACGACACAGGUCUUCAUAGUGUGGUGGGACGGAGGCGGAGGGGAGGGAGGACCGGGGACCACAGAGGAUCAGUUGCGCAGAACACGUGUCGUGGUCCCAUUGGGGACCGGGGACCAACAGGCCACAAAGGAUCAGUUGCGCCCGACACAUGUCGUGGUCCAAUUGGGGCUAGGGACCAACAGAGUGUACGGUUAGCAUAUGGAGGGACCAGGACAGGGACCCGCGACCUCGCUAGGCUAAAAUUUUAUGUAUAUUAAAUAUGUUGAUGUAGAAUUGUAUUAAUAAAAAAAGAGAUAAUAAAAAUUUCAUUCCAUAAAACUCUUUUAUACUAUUUUCAAAAUAUAAAUAUAUUGAAAACCAUGUUAUGAAACUUACACUGAAGAUGACCUCACAAACAUGUUUUGUUUUUAUUAAGCACCAAACUCUUCGUGUAAUCAACACUUUAGAAAAGGCCUAUGGCGGAGCAAGGAUUCGGUUGGCUAUCAUUCAGCUAGUAUGUACUAUCAGUUUUUUUAUUUAAGAAUUAUAAGAAAAAAAAACUCAUAAGUGGGAUAUUGGUGCAAUUUUAUGCCUAUAUCCAUAUACAUAUACUCACGUGGAUAGUGGGUCUCCAAGUUAUUCACACUCGAACAGAAAUAUAACAAUAGAACUUCAAGCGAGCAGGGCCAUUAGACUAUAUGCUCCACUAGCCGUUGUUGGCCCAACGACUACUAUCUGAUAGAGAGCGCGUGAGGGAGCAUCGUAAUGGCAUCAGAUUGGUUGCCUUAACAUUGGAGCAUGCACUACGCCUAAGCAUAUACUUUGAUGGGUUAAUCCGAUGACCAUCAGAGGACCUAAUGCCACCAAUUUCUAUGCACUGAGGAGCCCAACGGCUAUCUCGGCUUAGGUGUUAUAAUAGAAGUUGGUUGGGUCUUAGCCAUCUCUCUUGCAUUAUAAGUAAGCAAACACCCUUGUGAGCAUCCAAGAACACCUCCCACUCACCUCUUUGCCUUCUGCUUUCAUCCAAAUCGAGAUUGGAAGCAAUCUAGUGCAUUUUGCAUUGAGUGUUGCAUCUAGUGGCACUAGUUGGUAUUUUAGGCUACGAUUUUCUUGUUACUCUUCGCGGUGACUGCCACCGACAUCUUAGAGUAGCUUGGGGUACUUGAGGAAGAUCGGUGAUUAUUCUUCAUGCCCAACAGAUGUUCUUUGUGAGAGGUUUUGAUCCCAACUCGUGAAGUGCAAAGGGAUACUCUAGUGGAAUGCUCAAGACUAGUUUGAGUGCACCAUUUGAUUCAUUAUUGAGGCAUCCACGUUGUGGGUCUAGCUUGUCACGCUAGUUAGCGCUCAAAUCAUCACUUGGAGACUCGCUACAGCGAGGAGUAGGUUGUCAGCAAGCAAUCAAACCUCAGGGAUAACUCUUAUGUCUAUCACUCAUACUCAUUGGUUUAUCUUCUACUCUUACUUUUAUUUACAUUCAUAUAUUGCUUGUGAGUGGUAGUUGCUUGCCUUGGCUAGCUAGAGUAGCUUAGUAGUAGCUGUACCAUUAACUAGUGUUAGUUGCUUUGUUUAGUAGCUCUAUUGUCUCUGGUGUAGUUCUUGUUGGUAGUAGCUUGUUUGGUAUUGUGCUUUAGACUAGAAACCAACCAAUUAAAAUUGUGUAGGUGCUUUCAUCGGGUGAAUUAGAGCUAGUGCAAAUUGCAUACAAGCAGGGCUUCUUGGUGUACUAAUCAACCUUUUGAUCUGCUGGUGUUGUGUCUUUGGCUCUGUUUGGAUACUCUAACUAAGUUAGAGGUUAGAGUUAUUCUCUAGCUCAUGACUAACCCUCAACUAACUCUAGCCAAAGAGGUGUUUAGAUGCAAGGGUUAGAUUGACAAUAAAUAUACUUUUCUAAUCAUUUAGCUCUUUCUCGGCUGGAUUUGGUGUGGCCGGCUGUUGUGUGGCCUCCUCCCGCUCAUGGCUCCGGCUCGCGGUGGGCAAUAGGGAGGGAGGCCGGAGCCCCUCACGUGGCCACGGAGGAGCUCGUCACCGUCGCCCUGGAGGAUGGCUCCGUAAAGCCCAAGCCCUAGGAACCCCUCCACCGUUGGCGCUUGCGAGUUGAGAUUGAGAUCCGCGAGUUUAGGGCCGCUCAACGACGGUUGCGAGCCCCAUGUGUCGAAGCCAUCUCCGUCCAUCGACGAGAGGCGGUGGCGAAGCGAGCUUAUGGCGGUGGCACUGGUUCCCGGGAGGCGGCAGCGUAGCUGCGGGUUCAUGUCGUGCGUGGGGAUGAAGAGGAACCGGCCACGUGACGGGAGCCGAUCCCAUGCGGCAAAACAACGUUUUUCCUAUGGGCCCCACCUCAAAUAGCCCCAAAUAGCCCAAAUAAGCACCUCUUUAAGGGGAUAAUUUUUUAGGGUGGGUUAGAUACAAAUAACCUCAAUCUAACCUUUAUAUUUGGAUGCUUUAGGGCUAUUUGAGUCCCAAAUAGCUAAAUCUAACUCUAACCAUGGAUCCAAACAGGGCCUUUGUAGAGAAAUUUUUAGGCUUCACUCUGUGUAGUCAUCUAGAUUCUUUCAGUAUUAUAAGUCUCUUUUAUGCCUAAUAUAUUUUGAAUUAUCAUUAUGAUGGUUGAACUAUUUAUAUUGUACGUAAUUUGUGGCAGUUUCCAACUUAAUAUUUGAAUGUAAUACUUAUUAUUUGAUGCUGGUACAUCAAAUUAUCUCCUACAACUAAAAAAACUAAAGUGUGGAUAAUUUUUGGUUCGUCCGUCUGCUUGGCCACCUGCGAAUGACGCCCCACUCGCAAGAUUAGGAAGUUUUUGCCUCCGUUAAUCAGGACAUCUCUUUCCUCUCCAGCGCCACCAAUCACGGGAGGAUUCAUUGUUCGUACGCCGUAACCUGUGAUCCCUCCCCUGCGAUAGCGCCUCCCUACCCUUCUCUCUCGAUACCGCCUCCAGCUACUCCCGUGAUAUGCGUCUCUGGCACACUUGCCCCCCCGCCUGCUCACACGCCCUCUUGCUCGCCCGGCACUGCGUUGUCGUGCACGCGCCGUAGCCAUAGUCGCUGCGUCCACAGCAGCAGCGCCGUCAGGAUCCACGACGACAGCGCCGCCACCACAGGGUCGAGCAGCCGCCUCACUCCACGACUGGUACGACUGCCCCAUCUAUCCUGGUGGAUGAUGGCGCGCAUAGCCCCUCCGUCCCAACCCCGGCGCUCAGAUCUGCUGAGUAGGAGCGUGGCUGCAGGGCCUCGACACCGACACGACGACGAGGCCACAUCGGGCGUCACUUUCUCCAUAUCCUUAGAUGUAUGAGGCUCCUGCACUGAGGUUUCCAUUCGAGCAGGAGGACCACCACCAUUGGAGGAUCUACAUUCAAGCACUAGGAUCAGCGUGGAGAUACUAACUCGCAAUGCUGUUUGUUACAUACGUAGACCAUACCUAAGUCAGCACUAAUAAAAACUUAUGAAAUACCGCUGUCCAGUAAUAUUGUUAUCGCUUACAGGGAUUAGAAUAUGGCUCGUGAAGAUGUUGCAUCAUUGGGACCACAAGCAGUCACCAAGACCCAUCAGUUUUUUGACUGGGAGAAGAAAUCUGAUAGGGGUUUCCUCCUCUUCAUAGAUGAAGCAGAUGCUUUCUUAUGUGAGUAAGUGAAAACAAAAUAUUCAUAUACUUUUCUUGUAGCCAUCUUUGAUUCACAUAUCUGUUGAUCUCCAUUUAUUCAGUGAAUGGUAUCAUUUAAAGAAAUAUACAGUGUCAGCGCAUAACUGUAGAUCAAUCCUGAAAGAACAAAUAUACAAUGUAGAAUAUCUAUCCAUCAGAUCUAAUGCGAUCAUGUAAUUGUGGAACAAAACUAAUUUGUAUAUAUGUCUUCAAUUAAAGGGAGAAGUCAUUUUGGAGCCAUUCAAUUACCAUGUCGUGAGGUCAUCACAGCAACAUACUCCUAUGAAUUUCAUGGCCACUUGAUUACCAUAUCGUGAGAUCAUCAUAGCCACAUCAAUGAAUUUCACUUGGGCAAAAAAUGAGAUAUAAGGUGAGGGACUAUGGGGCAUCACAGUUUGUGUUACACUAUUUAUUUAUUUAUUUAUUUUUGUUUAUUUUCUGGUUUUGAUGGUCACCAAUUUAAUAACACUGUUGAUUGUGUCUCAUUAGCAAUAUACAACAACAAGAGAUGGUAAUAAAGUUAUCUCUGGCUCUCUGCACCACAAAAUGCAUGUGGGAAUGACCUUUAUCUAUUGUCUCUCAUUAAUAAGUGGAAUACAUAUGUUGUACUAAUCUCAAAAAUUGGCAAAUAGGAAUAUUCAUGAUAUAGGUUUUAGCUUUAACUAAUCGACACAAAAUGGCUAUCAGCUGCAAAUGAUUUCCUCAUCUAAAGUUCCAGGAAUAUGUGUUUCCACCUAUACUAAUGGUUUAAAUCAAGUUCAGAGGGACUACUGUUAGAUUGCGAAGAUCCUUCAUCAGUUCAAGCUUCUCUGACUUUUAAGGCAUACUGAUAUUAUUGAGGAAAACAUGUCAUAUUACAUCUACUGAGGAAGGAUUUCAAAGAUAUUUAUGUUGUCUUUUGAACUAAUGGAUAUCGACAUGGUAAUUCAGGCUAAUAGAUAUGAUGGUACAUUGCUCCUGACCCAUGUGGGUCUUUCUUUACGAAAUAUUUCAUAUUGUUGUUUUGUUAAUUAAUCUACUCUUAUUUCAUGGCCUCCACCUUUGUGUUUAGUCUCAAACACCUAUGUAAUCUUGAUUAUAUUGAGUUAUUACUGCAACUUUGCAAAAUUAUAUUAUUUCAAAAAAAAAGUGUUGUAUGAAAGAUCAGGCCGUGGAUGAUGCUCAAUUUAAAGGCAUUGGAAAAGUGAAGAGGGAUCAUCCUGCACGCUAAUUUUAAAAUGGAAUUUGAGUUUGAUCUGUUGCUGAACAUUUAAUUAGUUUUAUCAUGUGCUGAACAUAGAGUUUGGCCAGAAAAUAUUUGCUGCGUAAAGUUAUUUUUUAUAGCAUAUCAUAAUUAACUCAAGAAAAUAAAGUAAUUUAGUUGGCAACUGUACAUGCUAUCUUCAGACCAAAUGAUUUGGAGUGAACCUUCAGCCGGCACAAUGGAAAGAUCUGAGGCUCAAAAGAUUCAUCUCGUAAAUUAUAGGUAAACUGUGUAAUUAAUUAUUUUUUAUCUAUAUUUAAUGCUCUAUACAUGUGCUGCAAGAUUCGAUGUAACGGGGAAUCUGAAAAAUUUUACAAUAUUUUUUGGGAACUAUAUUGAACUAAAGCCUGAGUUUUUCAAAUAGGCUUCGGCAUGCAAAUUGUUUGUCACCUAUACAAGAUCUUUGCAGCUGCUGAGAAAAACAUUUACAAUGGUGCGUAUUUUAUUUUGGGUCACUUUUCUGAUAUAUAUAUAUAUAUAUAUAGUUUUUUCAAUAUUGAUUUAGCAUAACCAGUUUACUUCUCAUAGUUUUGAUGUGGUAUAUCAAGGAAAUAUUAAUGAAAGAAAAAUAUAUCAAACAAAUAUGAUCAGUUUUUAUUUGUGUUUUGCUCUCCUAUGCUUCAUUUCUUUAUCUCUUGAUUUUGAUAUAUGUCUUGCAUACAUUCAUUGGAGAAAAUCAGAGUACUCAUUACGCGGCAUUAUGGUGCCAUUAGUUUCUCCAAUUUUACCCUUAUUACAAUUUAAAUAUAUGAUUAAUUACUCAUUGUUAUUCAUCUACAUCCACAGUCGCUGGCUACAUCAUGCUCUUUGUGAUUGUUAAUUUCAUGAACAUUGCUUUUGGACUAAAUGUAACAUCGGUAUUUAAUUUUACAGUAAUAUUAUUUUAUAGUGCGAUCCAUGUGUUUUUAGUGUAAAAGUUUUAUUGUCCCGUAGCAACGCACGGGCAUGCUACCUAGUGUUAGUACAAAUUUUAUAAUACAUGUUCGGUUGCCCUUUCUUCUACAGUAACUUGCAGCCACUGCACCUGUGACUGUGAGGCAGUGAUCAAAAGUGACAAGUGCAGCCACUGCCGCUAGAAAAACUAUCAGCUAAAUCAAGCCUUGUCUACUCAAAUAGUUUUACCAAAUUGCAUAUACUUUUUUUUGCACAACAUAAAUUUUAGGAUUUAUUUGGUACGAUUUUCUCUCUCGACCUAACCUGUUCGCUUAUCUGAAAAGUCAUGCCCGAAAAAUACUGUUUGCUAAUUUGUUAUGGGAAAAAAAACACUACUAAUUCAGCAAAUAAGCUCAAACGAACAGAACAAUAUUUUUUAUAACUUCAACUUCUGUUCACUAGAAAAUAGCUCAUCUUCUUAAAUUGUUUGGUCUGCCGGUAGAGCCUUAGACCAGUUUAUAAGAUUUUUCAUCAUAUCGAAUUUUUGAACUUAUCUACACCUAAUAAUAAAUUGUGAAAAAUUUAGUUCACCACAGAAUUCUGUUCACCAUGAAAUUCUGUCCACCAGUCCAUCCGUAUAGGACUAUGAUUCUUUACCUAAUAUUUAAUCAUGAAAAUUUUAGUCUGCUCACUUCUUCUGUCCGCCUAUAGUAUAUGAACACAGCCCGGCCGGGUCAGUUGAGUUCGAGUAGAAUACGGAGUCCGAUCCGUUUCCAAAUUCCAGCAAUGCAACAAAUUAAUCACGGCAUCGACGGACCCGGCUAAUAAAAAAUCUAUUGUAAUAUAGAACGUGUAAAUCUUUACCUGAUAUUUAAUCAUAAAAAUUUCAGUCUGUCCACUUUUUUAUCCGCCAAUAAAUUAUAAAUUAGGAAAAAAAAUUACGCAAGCCCGAGGGCUUGAACCCAACACCUAACGAACCAAAAUCUACCUAGAUACUAGAAAAUCAAGAACAUAAUUAAAACCAUUCUUUUCUUUUCUUAAUCCUCAGCAAACAAUCGUAAGAGUUUGCAUAGGGCGAGCGGCGGGGCGUCAUGCUGGAGUGGUAGACAAGAACCUUAUGGUUAGUGUAGGACGUCGUGAAAGGUUAGUGAGACAGUGAUCAUGUGUGAGGUGCCAAUUGUGGGUGCUAGAAGUCCAAUGGAGAGAGAGGCAACUGAGGAGUGCAUCAUGCAGUUUACAACCAUGCAAUCCUUCUCUCGUAGCAACGCACGAGCAUAUUUUCUAGUACAUGAAAUAUUAAAUAUAAAUUAAAAUAAUAAUUGUAUAAUUUAUUGUAAUUUGCGAGAGCUUAGUUAGUUUGUAGUCGUACAAUAAUUAUUAAAUAUAAAUGAAAAUGUUAUAGUAACCAAAUUAAAAAAAUUGAUCUAAACGAGCGUUAGUAGCGUAUAAACAUGGCUUUCGGUCUUAAAUGCUUGACCUUGAUUUUUGGGAGCCGAGAAGGAUGCGUGUUGAUGUUGUAAUCCUAUAGAAAAAACAUGUUGAUCGGUGUAUUCCAUACGGUGUUUUUUUAGCACUAAUAGCAUAUUAGCAUGGAGUAUAUUAUUGGCUUUUGCAACAACGACGUGACUCACUUUCCUUGCCUGUCAUAUGUUAUCAUCAGUUGUCUGUGUCUACUGUUCUCUUGCGCCUUUUUGUCCGUAGCUGUUGAAAAAAAGGCAAUGCCAAACUCAAUCUCCAAGACGAAGGGUCGUUUACUUCACCCCAAAACCAAAAACUUUUCAAGAUUUCCUGUCACAUCAAAUCUUACAGCACAUGCAUAGAGCACUAAAUAUAGACGAAAAUAAAAACUAAUUGCACAGUUUACCUGUAAAUCAGGUGAUGAAUCUUUUAAGCCUAGUUACUCUAUGAUUGGACAAUAUUUGUCAAAUAAAAACAAAAGUGCUACAGUUUUGAAAAUCAAAAAAUUUUCAGAAUUAAACAAGGCCUAGUUAUAGAGACAGAAACUUUGUAAAAUGGUGUUUGGUUUCUAACUCCUAAAAUUUAAUCUUCGUCGCAUCGAAUGUUGGACACUAAUUUAGAGUAUUAAAUAUAGAUUAAGUAUAUAAAACAUUGCACAGAUUAGAACUAAUUUGCGAAACAAAUCUAUUAAACCUAAUUACUUGAUGAUGAUGUGUUUGGUUGGAGGCUAAAAGUAUAAUAUGUUUUGUCUAAUGCAAAUUUAUUAUCAUAUUCUAAUCAUACACAAUUAUAAUAUUAUAAACUAGCAAACGAAUACAUACACUUCACAACAUAAUUAUAUAUUUAAAAGAUAAAUCUUUUUUUUGGCUCAUUUCUAAGUAUUACACUCAUAGUUAAGGACAAGGUAUAGCAGUAUUUUUCUAAGGCCUUGUUUACUUCCCAGAAAAUUUUGCAAAAUUUUUCAUAUUCUCCGUCACAUCGAAUCUUUAGACGCAUGCAUGGAGUAUUAAAUAUAGACGAAAAUAAAAACUAAUUGCACAGUUUUGUCGAAAUUGACCAGACGAAUCUUUUGAGCCUAGUUAGUCCAUGAUUGGACAAUAUUUGUCAAAUACAAACGAAAAUGCUACGGUGUCCAUUUCCCAAAAUUUUUUGAAACUAAACAAGGCCUAAUAAAAAAUGGUGGUAUGGUUGUAUUUAGCAGUGAGGUAAUAAAUAGAGAGAGAGAGCAAUGGAAAGAAGAAGAAAAAAAAACAAAAUACACAUAUGGACCAAAAAUGCUACUCUCUCGGUGUCAUGAUUUUGAUUACAGAGCCAGACACGCCCUGACGCUCGAAGGCCUUGUUCAAUUUUGCAAAAUUUUUUAAUUCUAAUUACACAAUUUGUCUAUAAUUUAUGUUGUAGUACUUUCAUUUGUAUUUGAUAAAUAUUGUCCAAUCAUGACUAAUAAGACUCAAAAAAUUUGUCUCAUAAAUUACAAGCAAACUAUGUAAUUAAUUAUUUUUUUUAUCUAUAUUUAAUGCUUUUAUGAAUAUAAAAAAAUUUUAAAAUUUUUUUAGAACUAAACAAGCCCUAAACAAGGCCUCAGUGGCCUGCUCUCGCUGCAGUUGCCCUGACCAGUCACUACUCCACUCCGAGCCUCCAACCAAACACCGAGCGCGAGUACGUCCUGGUAACUUUCCCCACAUCCGGCCAAUCCAAAAUGUGCUGGCUCCUCCUCUUCCUGGUCCUGGAUGGCUCGGAGUCGCAGCCCACCACAGACCGCAGCUACCACCAGUACCCCCAAUCCCUUUCAAAAAAGCGCAGGCAGACGAGAGCUGCUGCACGCGGCCGCACGCACACCCCUCCGCUUGGCUCUUCCGUUCCGUCCGCUCCAAGCAAGGCACCCCCAUCCAAUUCCAGAUGGCGGAAGCCUGGGCGGUUGCGGCGCUCACGGCCGCAGCGUGGGCGCUGCGGGCGGCGGUGUGGGCGUGCCUCGCCGCGUCGGCGAUGCUCGUCGCCGAGGCCGCGUACAUGGGCCUCGCCAGCCUCGUCGCCGCGAUGCUGUGGCGCUGGCGCCGCCUCGACGAGAGGUACCGAUGGGAGCCCAUGCCCAUGCCCGUGCCCGGGUCCGGCGCCGGGGGCCGCGACGACGUCGAGGCGGCGGCGGACUUCCCCAUGGUGCUCGUGCAGAUCCCCAUGUACAACGAGAGGGAGGUGAGGCGCUCUCUACUUUUGGCUUUGGCCAUCACAGCUACCUAUAUCUAAAAUUAUCUGUGUGCCCCCAUUAUAUUAAUUGAUUGCUGGCCCAUUCCCCUCCAACCUUUGCAUUGCCUGUUAUACGUCGCGAUCAUAUCGCGAGAAUUGUACUACUGCAACCGUACUAGGUAGGAUGCGGCGUUAUCAGUUUACCAGGUUUUAGACGUCGACCGUAGUUAGUAGGGCCGCAAUACCUUAAAUGCAUCAUCAUGCGGAUCAUUUCUGAGCACUUUAUCGACCAAAUUUGUGGGCGCGCUGUGUCUAAUACACAAUUACACAUAAGGGUUCUUAGGGGGUCCUUUCUCUUGUUUCUGAAUGAGAUGGGGGAGUUUAUUAUGGAUAUGAUUCAAAACAAAGUGUUAAGUGUGUCCUUGUGUUUCUUCUGUACUUUCUCAACUCUCAAGUUGCAAGGUGGAGCUAGUAUCAGAAAUGGGCCCCACUGUUUACGCGCAAGCUGCCUUUUGUUACUGCAAUCAUGAUACUAGUACUAAGGCACAGUUAUGGUUUUUUUUUUCGCUACAAGUGACGGCAUUGUGGUUCAGUUAUGAAAGAAAAUCUGAAAAAUACCAUGGGAACCUAAGGAAAAAAAAAAGAAUCCUAUUAAUGAGGACAAGUGGCACGCAAUGCAGUGUGUGCUUGUGCUAUCCUAGUAUUGAGUAAAGGAAACCAGUGAUGAUUAAGAUGGAUGGGGACCGUCUCGUUUUUCUUGCUGUGCAGACACUGCCACUAAGCAAGUUUAGUCCUUUCUUUACAUUGCUGGGCAUUUGACUAUCAACGCUAAAAAAACAAUAGUUUUUCUUUUUCCAAAGUGUCUGAACAAUGUUCCUGUGUGUCUUGCAAUGUUAUAAAGUUUCACACUGGAUCAUUGCAAUGGUCAUUUCUUUGUACAGGUGUACAAGCUAUCCAUUGCUGCGGCGUGUGCCCUCACAUGGCCACCAGACCGUAUUGUAAUACAAGUCUUGGAUGAUUCCACUGAUCCGAUUAUUAAGGUACACCUUGGUUUCGGAGACAUAGCUUAUCUUGAUUGACUAAAAGACUAGAGAUAUUCAUAUGAUUUUGGGUCAAAUUGUGGUAGAUAUGAUGCAUUUUAAAAGUUAAUUGUGACUUGCAAUUAUAAAGGAAUGAUCAUUUUAUCAUCAUCAAAUGGAGCAUAUGAGUGUUGAUACUAAUUUGCUAGGUUAGCUCCAACAACAUUGUGUUGGUCUAAUGUAUGUAUGAAUAAGAUCAUUAAGUCACUUAGCGAAUAUGGAAAUAUUGAUGCUGACUAAAAAAUUUAAAAUUUAGUAAUGCUUUGGAUCAAUAUACUGGAAUAUAUAGACAAAAAGGAUUAACAAAGCUUCUGUAUGUGGCUCCCCCCAGUCAGUAUUAAUUGGCGUUCAGACAAACAAAAAGUAACCAAGUCUAAGUCAGUUUAGUCCAUCUGAAAUGUCAACUACAUCUGACUGGAGGUGGCACUAGAUAAUUUGAUUACUGCAUUGCCAUUGUGUAAGAUAUAAAGAUAUUUGUGUUGGCUAGCAGCCUGGUAUAAUGCAAGUUACAGGAUAUUUUAAGUGUCUAGUAUAAGGUUAGCUUAGUUUGUUCUGUUUUUUCUACAGAAAGGACAUUUAGUAUGUAUGUUUUCAGUUCCCCCACAUGCUAAAUGCAUCAAGAGCUUCCAUUUCAUGGUUGUAUAUAGAAAGUCAUGCCACUGUAAUAUUUUGAAACCAUUUUCCUUGAAUGCAGGAACUAGUGGAGCUUGAGUGCCAGGAUUGGGCAACCAAAAAAAUUAACAUCAAGUAUGAGGUUAGAGAUAACAGAAAGGGAUACAAAGCAGGUGCGCUGAAGAAGGGCAUGGAACAUAUAUACGCCAAGCAAUGUGACUUCGUUGCUAUCUUUGAUGCCGAUUUCCAACCUGAACCUGACUUCCUUUUAAAAACCAUACCGUUUCUUGUGCAUAACCCAAAGAUUGCACUUGUACAAGCACGUUGGGAGUUUGGUAAGCAUAAAUAUAUCAUUUUGUAGUCACACAUAUAUUUUGGAAUACUCUGUUUUUGGAGUUCCUACUUUAUCUGUGAACAAUAUGUAGAAAAUUUUAAAAAAAAUGUUAUGUGUGUGGUUCUGACACAUGCAGUUGUCCACAACAAGUUUUAUUCAUGUCUAGUUAUCUUUAUUCAUUAGAGAUUAUGUUGGUUUGGUUAAUUUAGAUUCUUUUGUCUAUUUUAAUUGUUUCAUUACAGAGCUUAUUCCUUAAUUCUCAGGAUUAGUCAAUUCAUCCUUGUAAGAGACAUGGUAUUUGCUCCUUUUAAUUAACUAAAGACAUCACCCAAGAACUCAUGUGCUAACUUGGAUGUGCAUACCUGAUUGGCAUUUGGAAUGUUUCCACCUUACAUUGGAUACGUGAUAUUCAACAUUUAAAUUGAUAGUGUUACCUGUAUAGUUAAAAAGUUUAUACACUCCCUCUGUCUCAAAUACUUAACCUUAUAGCAUUCAAAUUUUGUCCCAAAAUAGUUGUCGUUCUCACUUCCCAAUGCACCCUUCUCUUCUCCCAAUACGCCUUUUUCCUUUCCCAAUACAUCUCUCUAUUUCUAGGGGUACUAAAGUUAUUUACCUUGAGCAUUUCUAGUAUUUGUGAUAGAUCCUAAAACGUCUACUAUUGUGGGACAGAGGGAGUAUUUCUGAUAAUUUUGUCUGGACAUGGAGAAAUGUCAUGUUAUCUUUUAGUAAAGACAGUUUUGUCCUGAAUUAAAGAAACAUUGUAAUCUUUUAGUAGAGUGUUCAGAGUGGUGACAAAAUCUCUGGUUUAGUACACAAAUAAAUGACAAAGUACAUAGUUUGUUAAUUCUGUUUCAUUAAUGAUCCUUUUGGGGAAGCUUUUUUGUACGCUCUUCAGUUUAGGCUCUUAAUAACAAAAUUUUGAGUGACACUGACACAGUAAUAUGUCAGCUGACAAUUUUAAGCUGUAAAAGAGGUUCUGAUUACUACUGAUGUUCUGAUGCAAUUUCUUUGGAUUUGCUAUGGCAGUGGUCAUAUUGAUAAAGUAAGCGACAAAUUUUGUUCAUUAUGAUUACAGGAUGUUCCUGACCUGGCCUUUGCCGGGUGAUUUUGCAGUGAACUAUGAUGUUUGCCUGAUGACAAGGAUACAGAAGAUGUCUCUGGACUAUCAUUUCAAAGUUGAGCAGGAAUCGGGAUCAUUUGUGUAUUCAUUUUUUGGCUUUAAUGGUAAGUGCCGGUUCGUAGCCAUACACUGAGGUUCUGAUUUUCCCUGAUAAGUUUCUUGUCAGUUGUCACAGGAUGGGGUGGGAUAAACUAUGUGAGAAGCAAUAACUAUAUUCUGUUUACAGGUACAGCUGGUGUGUGGCGUGUAUCUGCUAUUAAUCAGUCUGGAGGAUGGAAAGAUCGCACCACUGUAGAAGAUAUGGACCUGGCUGUACGGGCAGGCCUCAAGGGAUGGGAAUUCUUGUAUGUUGGUGAUAUUAGGGUAUUCCACUGAUUCUCUGUGAACUUCGAACAGUUGUUUUCUUAUGAAGCUAUAUAUAUUGUACCAUGUCAGCAUUACAAUUAUUGCAAAUCUUAUGCAGGUUAAGAGUGAACUACCAAGUACCUUCAAAGCCUACCGUCAUCAACAACAUAGGUGGACCUGUGGUGCCGCUAAUCUCUUCAGGAAAAUGGCUUGGGAAAUCAUUACAAACAAGGUUUGUCUUCUUGGUCCUCACCUCACAAGGAAUUAACAUGAGUUUGUUAUGUUAUAAUUGCCAUCUGCACAUGAUGCAGGAGGUGUCAAUAUGGAAGAAACACCAUCUGCUAUACAGCUUUUUCUUUGUCCGAAGGGUUAUUGCUCCCCUUGUGACAUUCUUGUUUUAUUGUGUUGUCAUCCCUUUGUCUGCCAUGGUUCCUGGUGUCAGCAUUCCUUUAUGGGGGCUGGUCUAUAUUCCCACUGCAAUUACAUGUAUGAACGCCAUAAGAAAUCCUGGGUAUGAAUAAUACAACAAUGCACAACCUUCCAUCUCCCGUCAAUGUGUCCAUCUUCAGAUUAUAUUGUGUGAUAUAUCAGGUCUCUCCAUCUGAUGCCCUUCUGGAUUCUGUUCGAGAAUGUUAUGUCCAUGCACCGCAUGCGUGCUGCUGUAACUGGUUUACUUGAGACUGCACGUGCAAAUGAUUGGGUAGUCACUGAGAAGGUAGGAGAUCUUGUGAAGGAUGACCUGGAUGUUCCACUCCUUGAACCAGUGAAGCCAACAGAAUGUGUCGAGAGGUAACAGAAGAGGCUUACAUAGUUCAAUUCACUUUUUCAGUGUUGAAGGAAUAAAGGAUGAAUACUGCUACUUGUUUAAUGUGCUUAUUUUUCAAUCAUUGCCUUUGCAGGAUUUAUUUUCCUGAGCUCUUGCUUGCACUACUCCUCCUAAUAUGUGCUUCAUAUGACUUCGUACUUGGAAGCCACAAAUACUAUCUUUACCUAUACCUCCAGGCCUUUGCAUAUGUUGUAAUGGGGUUUGGUUUCGUUGGAACAAAAACUCCAUGUUCAUAGCUGCUGACAUAAUGUUACUAUUUCCCAUUUGACAGUUAGUUCCUAUGAAUACUGCCACUAUGCGCAAAGGUGAAUUUUAUCUGAUGGUAGUGUUAUUCAGGUUGCAGGGCCAUGGUUAGUCUAGUGGGGUUGGGGUUGGGGGCUGGGUGGGGGUUGGGCCUUUGGUUCUUAGAUUCCUAACAAGUUCCUCAACUACCACCGGUAAACUCAGUUUUAUGAUUUGCCACUGGUAAACGCGUUUUCACUGACAUACAUGUGUUUUCUCAAUAAUCACCUUGUGCUAGAUGUAUUCAUCUGUAACAGGUCCCAUCUCAGAACUGAGAGUGUAUUAUUGGCAUGGAUUUCAGAUUAUGGAUUCAUGGUUGUAAUAGGGAGAGAGGCAAGGUUGUAUCCUAGCUGGAUUUGGAACUUAUUGUAGCAUAUUCUUAUGAUUGCCAUUUGUAGAUUGGCACUCAAAAGGAUGUAUGGGCAUAACGAGAAGAUGUUGAAAGAUGAAAUUAAUUCUUGUAUUGUGACAUAGCAACAGCCAUGUCCUGUUCGCUUGAGCUUAUCUGCCGGUGAAUAGUACUGUCCAUUAUGCAAAUCAGAGCAAUGUGUGUGUGUGUGGGGGGGGUCCUACAUUGGUAUCAAAGCAUAAAGGGGGUCCUACAUUGGUAUCAAAGCAUAAACCAUAUAUUUCGUUGCAUGACGAUACCUAUGCUACAUAGUUAUGUAGACCAGUAAUUUUCCUUUUAUACAUGCCAGGGGAGAUGAUCAUAAAUGAUUUGUAUAAAUGAAACAAAGAUGGAUAAUAGGCAGUGCUGAUGCAGCAUCAAUGUGAACGAUGCAACCAAAGGCUUUUCAUGGGGAUGUAACAAUAAUUUUCUACAGGAACCAUACUAGAUGUCAAGAGCGAAGUGCAGCAUAGCAGCUCCUAAUUUACAAUAGAUGCAGAGCUGCCAAAGAUCACAAAGGGCCGAGCUUAAUAUGCAGGUGCACAUGCAAGGGACCUUUUUUCGUUUUUCCAAAAAAGGAAAGCAAAAGAGUGAAAUAAAGGCAAAGUAUUUUUUAAUAUAAAAUAUAGCCUUCCUUUUUUUGCUUUUCUUUUUUUUACAUGUCUCAUGAGAUGAGAGUUUAUAUCAAUCAUGUACAAAUCGGAUUAGAACAUAAUCUAAUUUCCAUUAUGAGUAAAUUGCACUCACCAUACAACAACUAAUUAAGUGGGUGCAUAUUAGUCCAUUAUUUUCUAAUUUGUUUAAUAUAAUACGACAACUAUCUAGGUGGAUGUUUAUUGGUCCAACAUCUUCUAAUCCGUUUAAUUUGAAGUAAAAACUUAGUUCAUUGAUGCAUGUAUGUUCCAAACAGUGUUUUUGUACACUCUAAAUCCCUAUCAUCGGAAGUUACAUACCCUAGCACGCUCAUUUCGUCCAUCACUCAACUUCAAUUAUUUAUUAUAUUAUGAUAUCAUUUUUCUGACUCUGUCCAAAUAAAAGCUUACAUUCAACUUCUAUUUUAAACUUGAAUAUAGGAAAAGUCAUACCAUUAAGAGAGACAUAAAAUGGUAAGGUUAUGUGGAAUCAAAUGCUCACUACCUAUUCUUCUAAAACUUCCGCGAGAAUUCUGUAGAAGCUCCGCAUUAUGCUAAUCCGCUAAAUCGAGUUUUAAGUUUUUACAAGGCAAUUAACCUCCCCCUCUCUAGGCCUUUCCUAUCCUUUGGACGGUGCAACUGUUGCAUCGUCUUCUUUUUUAUGUCUACUACAUCAUCUUAUUUUUUUGUGUGUCUACUACAUCCUUUAAAAGGUGGAAACCACUUUUUAUUUUCUUUUUUCUUAGCUUGGUAAACCUAUACAAGAACUUGGUUAGUUUGGUUAUAGGUAGAACCAAACAAAAUUUUUGUUGAUUCUCGUUUUUGAAAAAAACCAUUCGGUCCCUGAUUCUUAUGAUAUGGACAACCCACAUAUCAGUUCAAGCCAGCCAUAAAUGACAAUAGGUUGAAAUUAAAAUAAUAUUAUGGUAUAGAAAGAAAAAUGAUCGGUUUGGAAUUUUUCAUAUUUAUGAAAUCAAUGACAACUUUUAUAUUUGGCCGGGUUCAUAAAUGAUAUCGUAUAGUAAACGAUUCAAGCUGAUUGAUGGAUGAGAUGAGCAUGCUAGGGUCUACAGCUUGCAAUGACAGUGAUUUGAAGUGUACAGAGAUGCGUUGCUACAAUACUUAGACUGUAUAUACACGAAUAAGUCUUGUAUCAAAUUAAACUUAUGAGAAGAUUGUGGAUCAAUAUGCACCCACCUAUAUUGUUGUUGUAUUAAAUUGGACAAAUUAUAAGAUGUUGGACUAACAUACACCCACUUAGAUACUUGUCGUAUGGUGAGUGUAAUUUACUCUUCCGUUAUUAUUAAUGAGAAUUUCUUAAGCCAACUGUCAUUACAAAUCAUGUAUUUAUACUUACGGUUCUCUUAAGCCUACUGCUAGUGUUAGCAGUACUCUUAAGAUAUCUCAAUAUAAAUAUAUGAUAUUUAAUGAUGGUAGGCUUAAGAUAUCUACCAAUAAAGAUGUUUACAACUUGACACUAGUCGAGAUAAUUGAAAUCAUUUUAAUAUUUUUUGAAAUGAUCUUGAAUGGAGGUAUGAUCUAAAAGAAAGUUGCAGUACUCGAAAAGAUCUGCAACUUUGUAGCUGAUUACUUUUUUUAUUUAAAAUCAUUUAGAGCACAUAAAUUAUGUUCAAAGAUUAAUAAUUUUUUAGUUCAUAUUUAUUGUAUUUUUCAAAUGACCUUGGAAGAGAAAUAAUCUAAACUGAAGUUAUUGAAGAGAUCUAAAACUUUCAUGAUUAAACUUUUUUAUUUGCAUUCGUUUAAGGUCUUAAAUAUGCAUUACAAUAUACAUUAAAACAAAUACAAAUGUAUUCAUAUUAGUGAAUACAAAAAGAAUGUAUCUAGUACUCAGUCUUAACUAACUUUAAGACGUAGUGAUUAAGGAGUGACUGAACGACAUCUGAGGUUGUGAGUUCAAUCACUAGCAACUGCAUGCACACAACAAAAAAUGUUGUCAACUGCUUUAAAACGCCAUUGAUUGUUUACCAAAUGUUUUCUCGAAAGAAAAUCAAUAUGACUUUGCAAUAUCCGAACUACUGGACCCAUAAUUUUCGGUUUACCGGAAUAUCCACCCACUGCCAACAAACAAGCCCUUAAUGCAAAUUUCACAGAGAUAAAGGUUAUCCUUGCUAAAGAAAAAGGACAAAUGUGAAUGGACGGUCUAUUUCAGCUAGUUAGCUUUAAAGUCAAGGAAAGAUGUCGUUUCCAUUUUCUUGCUAGUCCUCAUUGUGGAAAUUAAAGUGGAUCGACUAACUGGGAUGUUACCGAGGAUGGGGACUAAAGAAAAAAAAUAUUAUCUAUUAAUUAAAGGUGAAGAAGUUUCUGGAAGAGGAACGUGGAGUUCCAUUCCACGACGACGCGAGUUGGAUGUUUCAUUGCUCGUUUGACUUGGGCCUCAACAACAACUUCAGUUAUUUGAGCUUAUCUACCAAAUCUACCAAUCAUUUAAUAAUAUUUUUUUCUCACUAAUAAAAAUACUUUCAGCCAUAGCUUUUUGGAUAAGCGAACAAGUUCAUAAGUUAUUGCGUACUCCUAUUGUUUUUUUACGAAACACUCAUUUCUAAAUAACUUCAUGAGUCAAGCUGUUUGUUUGCUCCUCUCACAAAGACAUGCGGUGGGAUGAAGUUUAAAAAAUAGCUUAUUCCAACUCUCUCUCCCUCAUUUCUCUCUCUUAUCCAUACAUGAAGUUGUUGGUAAAGUUGUUUUGCCAAACAGAUUUUCCAAGACAUCUUAGCUUCACCUAGAAAGUUGCUUUGAAACUAAUUUUAAAAAACAAUUUUACUAAUGAAACCGAGCUAGGACAAACGUAGCCUUUGUUUUUUUUAAAAAAUAAAGAAGCCUGAGCUAUUUUAUAGCUCAUCUAAAAUGGCUCUAGCUCGCUUCUCAAGAGGAGUCCUAUGAAACACCCCCUAACCUCCUCUCUUUUCUUUCUAUGUUUCAACUUAGGAGACAUAGUUAUGAUAGAGUAUAUAUACAUGAUGAUAUGGCAUUUAACUAAGGCCUUGUUUAGUUUCUCAAAAAUCUUGCAAAAUUUUUCAGAUUCCCCGUCACAUCGAAUCUUUAGACGUAUGCAAGGAGUAUUAAAUAUAGAUAAAAAUAAAAACUAAUUGCACAGUUUGGUCGAAAUUGACGAGAUGGAUCUUUUGAGCCUAGUUAGUCCAUAAUUGGACAAUAUUUAUCAAAUACAAACGAAAAUGCUACUAUUCCUACUUUGCAAAAUUUUUUGGAAGUAAACAAGGCCUAACUCUUAUUUUUUAUACUAUUUGUGUGCAUGUUUGUAGUGUUGCAUGUAGUCCAAACGAGACAACAUAAUGGCAAAAGAAAAGAAUGUUAUAAAAUAAAUUAAAGCGAUAAGAGAAAUGCAAUACAUAUACUCACUAUUCACUUACAUAUCUUAAUAAACUUACAAAGCUAGCCCUUGCAGAGACCAAAAUAAACUCCCUUUUCUAAAAAAAAGAGGUUAAAUUUCUGGACAGCCUACAUUUCAGUGGGUCUUAUUAUUAUAAUUAAAGAGGUAGAAUUGGAGUGCAAAUACAGUAAUACAAGAGUAAUCUAUCUAUAUCUCUUAUAUAGAUAAACCCCACUAGCUAAUUCUCUUGAUGUGCAAAGCAUUCACAUCAUCAUCUACUAGAGCAUCCCACUAACUACUUCUCUUGCCAUACAAAGCGUCCACAUCAGCAUCCACUAAAUCAUCCCACUAAUACAUUACCCCGCUAUGCAAAGUGUUCACAUCAUUAUCUAUUAAUAAAUCGAACUAACACAUAUCAUUUUAUCCUGUAUCUAUGUUAUUCACAUUAGCAACCAUAUUAUUUUCUAACAUAUAUUUAGUUGUCCAUGCUAUAAUACUAAAAAUCAUCCACUAACAUAUAUUACGAUAGUAUAAUUUUACCGGUAAUUUCCGCAGCAACGCGCAGGACAUUCUCCUAGUAACUUUGAAGGAGAAGUUGAUGGUGUAGGCGUGGUAAGAAAUCAAAUUAAUAAUCUAGCUAGAAAAGGCAGUGAGAAAAUCCAACUUGGCAUAUCAUUAUCAUCAGCUUGUCAAUAUACCAGUGUGGGAUCGAGUGUGACACAUAACAGGUGUAAGUAUCAACCUGGUGGACCAGGCCCAUCUAGACACUUUAUAUAUGGACUUCAUUGGGUGGUGAGUAGGAAGGAAUUGAAGCAAAGCGAAAGACGAUAAACUCCUUUCUCCCUCCACCAUCUUUUUUCCACGCCAUUUGAACCUUUUUUUUUCAAAAGGGAAUCGAAACGCUUUAAUACAUAUAUGUACUCCUCUUUUAGAGAGAAAGACCCAAAAAACUCAAAACACAUACACUAUUUUUUUAUAACUGAGUUUUGAAACAUUUUCUUAAGAGCAUCUCCAAAAGUAUUCAAUUUUUCCUUAAAAACAUAUAUUUUUGCAACUCCUAAAAAGAUAUUGGGAGAAAAAAAUAAGACAUCUCCAAGACUUUUCAAUAAUCCACUCCUAAAAUAUAGAAAACAAUUUUACAUUAAGAAUCUUGUAAUAUUUCUAAAUUAUUGUAACCACUUUUAUAUAUUCUUUCUCUUUCGUAUAUUUGUAUCAAGAACCCUUUUCUCCUCUCUAUUCUUUCCCACACUCUGCCACCUUUAGAUUGACUGAGAAGACGGCGCGGGGAAGAGCGAUGCGCGCAAGAAAGGCCACAUGUAUUUUUACGCAUGAUGCCAGCCUUGUUGGGUACCAUAAUAAGGGAUACCCAAAUCAGAGUAACAAAAAACGCGAAGGAACAUACUAAUUACAAUCAUCAGGGCCUCGGACGCAAGUUCCGACUCGCCCGACCCCUCAGGGCCUCGGACGCAAGUUCCGACUCGCCCGACCCCUCAGGGCCUCGGACGCAAGUUCCGACUCGCCCGACCCCACAGGGCCUCGGACGCCAGUUCCGACUCGCCCGGUCCCGUCCAGGCUCGGGCACCGGGCCCCACUCCACCUGGUCAACAAGACUUCCCCCGACGUGACGGAUGUGACGGCCCCCAUGACGCGGCAGGGCAAGGAGACGACUGUUCCAACCGCCCCAGUCAAUGUGGCCUUACCUCUGUCACUAUACACCCUUACCCCUGUUCACUGUAGCACAUUAUCGCACAGUAGAAAGGGAAUGUGCGAGGUAAAGCCGCACCACUGUUUGUGGUCAUUUCCCACUGUUGACAGGAUAUGCAGCAGUGACCGGUGAUCCGGCCCCCGCGACCCCUACAGGACUCGGUAACCCUCUACAGGAGCAGCCAUGCCGUCGACCAUCCCCCAAGGACGAGAUGGACAGGCCUCAACAGGGUCGGGACUGUGUUUUCACCCCUCAAAUAAAAGAAAUCUACUCAUGUAAAUACCUGGCCUCCCCUUGAGACUAUAAAAGGGGAGCCAGGGUUCACAACUGGGAGACAGGUCCAGAACACGCACACAACACUCUUUCGCAGAGCAGCAGCCCGCACUCUGUCCACACCAAGCCGAGACCUGGGACUUAGCCCUCUCUCGCAACCAGCUUGUACCCCCUACUACAAGCACCUUUGGGUGCAAGGUUAUACAGAAUCCACCACUACACUGGACGUAGGGCAUCCUUAGCCCGAACCAGUAUAAACCCUCUGUGUCUCACUUGCAUCACCAUCCAAGCUUGGUCAGUCACGCAGAUUUAUACUUGUUAGUGCCUAGACCGCGAGUCUAGACGCCGACAGUUGGCGCGCCAGGUAGGGGCCUUCUGCGUGACGCUCUCCAGUCCCUACUGGGGAGGUUUGGAUGGCAGACGGAUUUCACCCGCUCCGUCGCGGCACCAUCAUGAUGUUUGGGAGUUUGGAGUUCAUGUCCCUCGGUUCCGGCUACGACAUGAUCCUCCUCCCGCCACGUGACAACGUCGAACCUAGCCCCGAGCCGAUCCCACCACACUCAGGGUGUGGGAGACGUUCGGGACACCAUGCGGGGGGCCCACGGAGGGGGCGUCAAAGAUUUAGGAUCUCCGACCCCACCACUGAGGCCAAGGUCCGUCCGGUCUUCCCCCCGCAUGUUCUCAUCAGGUCGCCCGCUCCUCCGGUCCAGCCGGCGCUAGAGGAAGGGCUCGCGGGGCAUCAAGCUCCGCUCCUAGGAUCAACAGAGGGUCAUCGCGGCCCCCCGUCCCACCCCGUUCAAAGGGGAAGGCACGGCCCGCGCCUGUUCCCCGCAAGGGGGACAAAGGGGCCUCGACGUCCCGUCCUCCUCCACCUGCGGAUGACGUAGCAGCGGCGGCACCUCCCGAGUUACCUUUCGGGCUCAGGAAUGCCGCCGCUACCUACGCCUCUUCCGUAAGCACUUCAUUAAGUGCGUACGCAGAACUUCCCGGGCACCACUUAAGGUCUACACUGGACCUCGUCUCCACACCGCCCGUCUCAUCCUACCCAGAGGACCUCACCUCGGGCAACGACGAGUGGGCCGGCGCUGAUUUCUCCGGGUAUGGCGACCCGGAGACUUUCAUGCGUUUCCUGGAGGCCAGCAACUAUUGUCUCGGCUACUCCGACUCCGACGACGAAAGCUACGACCCGUCACGAGAAUGCUUCAACAUAGAAGUCGGAGGUACGCCGCACGGCGCCCACACGGACGCAGGGCCCUCUAGGCAAGAGGACGCAACUCCACCUCCCAAUCCAACUCCCGGAACCAAUCUCGGAGCCCGUGGGGUGGCAUCUGCCCCCGCUGGGGGACACCAUCCUGACCUCGCACAGCUCGAUGAGCUGGAGGCCAGGCUCGAAGAAGAGCGCACACGCCUCCGCCAACUCCGCGAGGCCCUAGUCCGAGAGCCGUCCGCCCGCGGAGACGGGGGCGAAGCCAGACGUCGCGCCCGAGACGUCAACCGUCGCAUUGUUGCGGACGAAGGGGAAGACGCCCCAGUCUUCAGCAUGGCCAGCCAGAAUGUGAUGGCAGCCGCGCUCCUCCUCAGGGCGAUGCCCGAGCCUUCGACUCCUGAGGGAAAAAGAGUGCGCCAGGGGCUACGUGGCCUUCUGGAACAGGCUGUGGUGCAGAACGCGGAAAGUUCUGCUUCACAAUCCCACAGUACGAGACAUCGAGGGGAACGCCCCCCUCCUAACAAGGCACCAACAGUACAGGGUCCACCGCCCCCUGACCCACAAAGGGGCGACAAGGCCCCGUCGGUGCACGAGCGCGUCGGAGCAGGCGCGGACGUGCGGGCCACCCUCGAGGCCAGGCGACGUGACAGGGAUGAAGCCGAGUCCCGACGAUACCGACCCCGCCGAGGUGGGAGGUACGACCCCGAUCACGAUCGCAGCGCGUCACCAGAGCCUCCGGGUCCCCGCGUCUUCAGCGAGGCCAUUGUUGACGGUCCUUAAUGCUCAUAUUUAACCAUCAAUUAAUCAUAGAAAAGGAUCCAAAUGCAACCAACACCUAGACUUAGGGUUUUAUCUGACAGAAUUCCACAAGUUUUGGUGUUUGUCUAUUUCUGCAGGGGGUUAUCAUGAAAUAUGGAAGAAAGGCCCACACGUCGGGUUUACAUAGAGAUAUUAACGUGCCGCACAAUUUUCUAUCAUCUAGAAGACUCCAGAAGCCACGGGACCGAAGCGGAGGCCGAGAGGACACAGGGACAGGGCGCCCGCCCUCCUUUCCUGGGCGCCCGCCCUCAGCCAGAGUCCAAUCAGGACUCUCUUUCGGGAUAUUGCUCCACCGACCUAAAGGAUCAACAAUAACCGUUCAAUCAAUGUCGGUUUGAUCCAACGGCCCAGAUUCACUUGAAGGGACUAUAAAACCAGACCCCCCUGGCCCCUGGAGAUCAUACCUCUUCUACAGAAUCAAAGCUAGGGUUUCAAUUCUUCAUCCAAGUAGAGAGUAUCCCUCUAGUUCUUCUAGUUCUACCUCUAGUUCAUCUAGAUCUAGUUCUAGUUCAUCUAGUUCUAGUUCUAGUUCCUCUAGUUCUAGUUCUAGUUAGUUCUAGUUGUAAUCUAGAAAAUAGGGAGAGAGAAGAGGAGAGCGGAGGAGGAGCCGGAUCUGUCGGAUCUUCCUCAACAUUAUACUUUUGCAGCAUCUGGUUCGUUCUUCAUCGUUCUCCAGGUUCUUCAAUUCAUAAUUCCUGAGUUCUUUAAUUACUUUUAUUUACAUUCAAGUUAUUUAUUGGAUUCCCGCUUGCAUCAAGUGCUCUAGUCUUUAUAACGCUAGAGUAGUAAUUAAUAGAUUAGACGUGGUGUUUAGUCUUGCGAUUACAUGGAAUUGCACCCAAUCCCACGGAUUGUUGUGGUAGCCCUAGGGUAGUGACAGCCCUAACGGUCGACGUAUUCCACCACGUUCGGAUCGGUGUUUGUAGGACCAUAGUCAGACCUUCCUAGCCCCCUUCUCAUAUCUUUCUGUGGUUAGUGCUCUGAUGUCCCGAUAUAGAUAAUCUUGAAGUAAUUCUUGAUUCUUAGAUCAACUAGAGAACUCUCAGGAAACUUCCUCUCUUCCCACCAAAAACAAUUAUAUAGUUAUCCUUGGGCGACCUUGGAUCUUAAUUAGUACACUCACGUUCCCUGUGGAAAAUCGAUACUCUUGAAUACUCCCGGGUGAAGGCUACAUCGGUAUCCGUGCGCUUGCGGAUUUUUCUGUUUGCGUUUAAAAUACCCAACAAGCUUUCUGGCGCCGUUGCCGGGGAACGGUAGCUGUGCUAGUUUCGAACCAAGUCGUCCGUGUAUCCUUUUUCUUUUCUUUUUUUUACCACAGUCACCAUAUCAUUUUCACCACACCACAUGGAUUCCACUCUAAGCAUUAAUGAGCAUGGAAUUUAUUUCAUAGCCACUUCAUUUACUCCAUGCUCAUAUGCAAUAUCUUCACAAUCCAUUGGUUUUUCCAACAUCACCACAUUCGAGAUCUCCAACCCCCUCAUCCUUUCUAUUUAUAAAAACUUUAAAAGGGUGGUUGUCGAUGCAUAUGUCUAUAUUAAAUAUUGUAGAUCUCGUUGUGUUGAUCUUGAUAUAGGUCAGAGUUGGAGGGGAAACCACUUCGCUGACAUAAAUUGAUGGUUUCCCAAGGACAAGCUUAGUGUCCUAAAACAAGUAGUGAUCAGAUUGUAACAUGAGCUUUUAAUUAUUUACAACAUUACCUUGUGUAUUGAGCAUGUAAGGAUAAUUGUAAAAAAAUUCCUUCGGGUAUUCUUGUCACUAACCUUUUCAGGAUUGGAGCAAGAAGAUCGGAUGAAUGACAAGCACAAGGUAUGUCCAACCAACCAUCAUACAACAUUGAAUUAAAUUCAUCCAAACUUGAAUUUUGCAAAAUUCAAGCUUGGGGGAGUAAUUUACAUAAAAACAUCCUUUGCCAUGUUGCUAUGUUGGUUGUCCCUACCUUUGAGACAUGCUCAAUCUGUUAAAUACUAAUCACACUACUUCAUCUCCACUUGAGUAGAUCUCUAUAAAUGCUCUCAUGCUACCUUUAUUUGCUUUAGUAUAUUUCUAGGCUUGGAGUAGUUUCAUUUAUCUCUUAAUUAAGCAUGGUGCUUAGUUUAGGGCUGAUGAUCUUACUUCCAAGGGAGUUUAAAUUAAGCAUGAUGCUUAAGUUAAAAUGCCCUCCUAAAUCAAAUUAGACAUGGUGUCUAGGUUGAUCUUUGAGCCGAUAGUAUGCUAUAGUAGAUAUUGGAUAUUUUGUUGGACUAACCCCUGCAGGAAAACUUUCAAUAUCGACCUGGGAAGUCCUGAGACAAACUCACAUUGGAGACAAAGAGAGAGGCACAUAAAGUUUAACAAUUUACACAAGGAAGGCAUAGCUCACAAGAGAUGAUCCAUGGAGGGUGCCACAAACACGAUGCACAACCGCUGAGAAAGGAAAGCUUCCACAAGGAGAUAUCGUACCAUCAUUCUUCAAGUAAGGUAACAUCUUAAGGUACUUGACUAUCACUUUUAUAAGCUUCUCCUUGGUUCUGGCGUUCACAUGAAUAAAAGAGACAAACAUGUAUGAUCUACAACUCUAGAUUAACCAACCCAAUCGAUUCAACAUGUUUAGUCCUUCCACCUUUGUGAUUCCACACUCCUAAUCAUAUUAGCUAAAAUGUUGCACACUCAAUCUUUGGAAGAUAUAAACAAAACAUAUAUAUAGAUAGAUUAUCUUUCCAUUAGGUUGAGCGAUCUGAUCUGACAAAUGUUUUAAAUGCUACACUCAUGAUCUUAUUAUCCAUCAACUUUGUUUUGCUCACUAUGCUUAAGGAUAGAGAAGAAUAAAUACACUUUUGGUUCUGUUGGUGUUUUCCACCAACAGGGCCCAUGCACUUGAUCUCUGCCUUGUCUUUAUGAGCAGGUACACUUCGAGCAAAAUAUGAAUGACUUUUACAACUCCCAGACUCCACCAAGUGAAGAACCUAGAUCUACGAGCUCAAACACACUGGAGAUACUGGACACUCAGACAAUCACUGCCCUGAGAUGCUUGAGGAUGUAACUACUGGAGUAACCCCAUUGUGGAAGUAAUUACUGACCUUCUGCCAGUCAAGAGAGACAAUCCAGGACGCCCCAUCAUCCCGAUCUCCAUCGGCAUGCUUGCAGAUCGUACGCUAAGUUUCCCAAAGGGAAUAUUGAAGAACCUCUGCGUCCGAGUUGGUAGCUUGUACGCCCCAGCAGACUUCGUGGUGAUAGAGACUGCUACUGAUGAGAGGGCACCCAUCCUAGGGAGGCCAUUCCUAAACACCUCAGGAGCUGUCAUCUACGCUAGUGCUGCCAAGAUUAGUUUCUACAUCAAGGGGAGGAAGGAGACGUUUUCCUUCAAGAACAAGACUACACAAAUCUCAGAGCAUUCCCGACAUGAACCAAGGAAGAGGACCAACAGGAGAAACAGGAACAAGCAAGUGUGGACCGAGUUAGCUAAGAUGGUCACUGCAGUUCAAGGAGGUCAAGAUCAUCUAUUUAAGUCACCGUUCCUGACCAAAAAGGACGACCCAAGUAUGCCAAGCAUCCAGUGCGCCAUUAAUGGAUACAACUUCCAGAAGACGCUUUGCGACACCGGGUCAGGCGUCGACAUAAUGGCCGCCAGUCACCUAUCAGCUCCUAUUCGGAACCAUGCCCCUAAAACCGACAUACAUUCAGCUUCAGAUGGCAGAUCAGACAUUCUGAAAGAUUGAAGGUUAUUGACAUGGGAGAAGACGAGUACGAUCCACCCAUCAUCCUUGGAAGACCGUUCUUUAGCACCAUUAAAGCAAUCAUAUACAUUGGAACCAGAGAAGUCCACAUGCAUUUCCCCUCUGAGAAGGUACGCCGCUAUCUUACUGACCCUAACUAUAUAGUUGAAGACUCUAAGCAGGUCAGGACAAGAAGGAGACGACGCAACCGCAACCAGAGGAGGCAAAUCAUCAAGGAUGGAUGGGCAGACAACGAGGAGAAAUAGUGAGGUCUGAAGACAUACAGCUUGAACAGAACUGUUCUGAGGAGACCAUAGCACCGAGUCAGGUGUGUAGAGAGAAGAUAGUUAUACACGAAGAGCGGGCGCCGCCGGAACCACCGACUACGCUAUCUAGCGAAUCCCAGGACGAAUGAGAAAACGGAGAGUCCCGUUCGGAGGACGUAAAAACACCGAACGCCUUGCCAAAAGGUAAACUUGGUAGUUAUCUUUUUCCUUUCAAUUAUUUAAAAUAGUUUUGUUAGUUAAUCAGGUUCAUAUCAUCUUGAAAAGAAAAUAAAAAUGUUAAAAAUAGUAAGCCCCAUGUGAGAAUGCUCAUGGCAUAAAACCCAUAAGUACAUUCACUGUGGUGGCGUAAAAAUAAAAUAAAUAUAUUCCUGUCCUAUAAAAAUAAAAAUACAAAAAAAAAUUUAUGAUCCUACUAAAGAGAGUAACAUUUAUUGAGGAGGCUCAAUAUGAUAAAGGCUAAAUAUUUAUGCUAACACUUAACUAGUUCCACAAAGCUUUGUUGUCUAUUUGAGCUCCACAGAAUUCAAGGAUCAAAGAAGACUAGCAGACGGAGGACAUCCUAAUCGCUGUCAGAGUGCUGCCGACAUUCAAAUACACCUCCGCCACCUGCUAGCUACAUCAAAAGGAAUUAUGUCAAAAUCCAGCUUGGGGGAGAGCACCCCCAUUUAUCCAGCUAAGUAUUCUACUCACGUUUAUACUUUACUCUAAUAAUAAAAAGAUGCAUAAUCAUAUAAACCCAAAUAAAGAUUUUGUGCUUAUAUACAUAUAUCUUUGCUUAGUUUGCUAAAUAAAUAAAUAAAUAAAGUUUGCUAUGAACCCUCAUGAUAAGCUCUCACAUGGAUAUGAUGAAUAGUUGCUCUACCAUGACUAGUUCUCAAAAUUGAAAUCUCUCUCAAGUUUAGGCAUGACUGUUAUUAAUUAAGAUUUGCUCUAAACCUGAACUUGUGGGAACAGUACUUGAUCUAAAGUCUAAGUCGUUAACGGAUAUGAUAUGGGAAGGUUGAGCUGCUGUUUAUCUGUUCCUAGAGAUGCUAGAAUUCUGGAGAAUUUUAUCUUUGAAAAUCUUUAAAAUGUUGCAUGAUGAGUUCCUGUAUGAUGAGUGUUUAAAUUCCUACCACAGCCAUAUAUACAUGCUUGCUAGACUAUGAGCCACACAUUUACUUUUUACUACUUAUGAGCAUUGAGUGUGGUCAAGCUGUGUAGACCCUUAGGAGCUUGUCAUGUGGUUAAAUCAAGAUUCACUUGCACGUUCACUCAUACAUGCUACUUCUACUUCGGAAGUACGCAUCCACAUAUGUCCAUCCAUUUCCAUCUCCAGAACCACCCAAAAAUAUUCUACUCCUAAUCUGGGAGAGAAUAGCCAAAAACAUUCUCCUAUUUCUGUUUUUCCCUGUGAAAUAAAUGCUCAAGUUAUCUUGGUUACUACCACUUGCUAUAUUAUUUCAUGAGAUGAGUGCUCUAAAAAAAGAGAGAAAAAAAUACGAGGAAAUAAAAAGGGGCAAGUGCCCGGAACCUCGAAAGAAAAGAAAAAGUGAGACGAGAGGUAAAAAUGGACAAGUGUCCGACAGUAGAAUUAGGGGUACAAGAUACCCACCUGAGAGAAAAGAAAAAGAAAACAUAGAGCAUCUCAUUCUCCUCAGAAAGUUUUAAAAGUGCAAGAAAGGUAUGUAUUCCCUCAAAAGAGCAUAUGUAGAAUUAGACUUUCACCAUUGUUAUCACCAUCAUCACCAUAUACUAUUCAUUCGCCACACAUGCACAUCUUGAUUUGACUUAUUGACUUGUUCUUCUGGAUCCAUGGUUUGACUAUGCAAUAAAUGUCUUGUAAGUAUGUAUUAGCUGUCUCCCACCUAUGAGCUCCAGAUAUCAAAGCCUUAUUAGAGUAGGGUGAGAGAGAAGGCAAUGUCACUAUGCCUUAUACCACAAAUACCACAUACUUUGAGAGAAGGCAUAUACCAAUACUGCCUUGGUAAGGAUCCAGAAAUACCACAAAAGAGAGACUAGAGAGAGUCAUACAAGGAAUCUCUGAGUUUUAUUUGAAAAUCUGCAAAAACUCCAGAGCUAUAGUUAAUCGAAGAACAAGAGACAUGGUGCUUGACUAGACUGUUCUAUCUUUUAACUACUCAAGACAGAAGUGACGGUUACAAGUCCCAUGGUGAAAGGUAAAUGAGUAAGUUUUAAGUCUUAACAGUUUACUCUAACCAGAGAUGAGAUCUUGUUUAAACGCAUGUGUAUCUUUAAGUUAUGAAACCACUGCAGAAACUCUUGAGUUCAUCUUUGCUCAGGGACGAGCAAAGGUUAAGCUUGGGGGAGCUUGUUGACGGUCCUUAAUGCUCAUAUUUAACAAUCAAUUAAUCAUAG